Molecule: long non-coding RNA, 128114 nt
Filed under: Triticum aestivum (bread wheat)
Lineage: Eukaryota; Viridiplantae; Streptophyta; Magnoliopsida; Poales; Poaceae
Description: long non-coding RNA (TAES_LNC012525)
Source: RNAcentral
GAUGAUGGCAUGGGCGGGAGGAGGAAGAAGGGCAUCAAGGAGAAGAUCAAGGAGAAGCUCCCCGGUGGCCACGGUGACCAGCAGCACACCGGUGGCACCUACAGACAGCAGGGUACUGGCAUGGUCGGCACCGGCGGCACCUACGGGCAGAAGGGUCACACUGGGAUGACCGGCACCGGCGGCACCUACGGGCAGCAGGGUCACACUGGGAUGACCGGCACCGGCGGCACCUACGGGCAGCAGGGCCACACUGGGAUGACCGGCACCGGCGGCACCUACGGACAGCAAGGCCACACCGGGAUGGCCGGCACCGGGGCGCAUGGCACCACGGCCACUGGUGGCACCUACGGGCAGCCGGGCCACACCGGGAUGACAGGCACGGGGGCGCACGGCACCGGAGGCACCUACGGGCAGCACGGCACUGACACCGGCGAGAAGAAGGGCAUCAUGGACAAGAUCAAGGAGAAGCUCCCAGGCCAGCACUGAGCGCUGAGGAGAGCCCGCGGCCGCCACUUCUGAGAGUGGAGGUGCCGGUCGACCACCGUUGCAGAAUCAAUAAUAAGAUCGCGAUACGAUACAAUAAAAUUCCACCAUACAACGUGAGCCUAGUUCACCUAGCUCACUUGCGUGUUGGAGGAGCCACUGUAUCUAGGCUCAAGUUUACGUGAACAAACAGUGUUUUGAGUUUUUCGUCUGUUUAUUACACUGUAUAAUCUUGUAAGUUUCCUGUGGUUAAACCCUGUAUGUACGCUUUACGGUAUGGUCCUCGCGUACAGGUUAGUUCUUUAUCAAAUAAAUAAUACCGUCUUAAGAGUAGCUUAAGAGCGUCAUAUGUCUUUUCUUUUUCAAGGAAAGCCCCAUGGCGCACUUCAUUUAUUAUUAAAAAGGACUACAUCAUUGAAAACAUCACUUCUAAUAAAACUCGGGAGUAUCACCCUCCCAAAAACUAUGAAUUUGAAUCAAAAGCAUAUCUAGCAAUCUUGUGCGCCACCCCAUUAGCUUCCGUAGAACAAUGAAUAACCUUGAUAGAGCCAUGCACUUGGAAUUUGUGGAAACAUUCCAUCAGUAUAGCAGCAUAUGGACCUAGCACCUCUGUCUCACCAUUACAUACUUCAGCAAUCACCAGGCCGGUGGUUUCAAUUUUCCCCUUUUCAUUUUCGUUUUAUGAACUUCUUUCAAAUUCUCGAAUACUUGCUGAAAUCAUGAGCAUUUUUGCAAUUCAUGAAUAUAUUUUAAAAUCAUGAACAUUUUUUGAAAUAAUAAACAUUUUUCGAACACCGGACAUUUUUUUAUGAAGUCCCGAGCUUUUUCUGAAAUUGUGAAAUUAUUUAGAGUAUGCAAACAUUUUUAGGAAGUUUUCGAAUCGACGAACAGUUUUCUGAGCCGGCAAUCAUUUUUCAAAAUUUUGGUAAAAAAAUAAAUUCAUGAAUAUUGUUUUGUUUAUAUGAACAUUUUUAGAAAAUGCAUGAACAGCUUUUGAAUUCAUGAACAUUUUUUGACUCAGCGAGCAUAAUCGAUGAACCUUUUUGAAAUUGGGGAGCAAAAUUAGAAAUCAUGAUUUUAUUGAAUUUUGUUUUCUGUAUGUAACAAAAAAAAUAUAAAUUCUCCAACAUGUUCCAAAUAUGCAAUCGUUAUUUUAAAAUUAUGAAUAUAUUUUUAUUUCCUGAAUAUUUUUGUGAAAUCAUGAUUUUUUUUAUAAUAUCCAACAGUUUUAUAAAAUCACCAGAUUUUUUUGAAUUCGUGAAUAUUUUACAUUUUUCUGAGCUUUUUUGAAUUCACGAACAUUUUGUUUCGAAACUCGCAACUUUUUAAAAUUUGACAACCCCCAAUAAUUUUAAUGAAGGAAAAACAGAAACAAAAUUGAGAAAAUGAAAGGUAAGAAAACAAGCGCUUCCUAUUCAGAGAGAAAAAGGGAGAGAAUAAGGAAUGAAACUAGGAUCGAACUCCUGUCUCCAGGAUAGAAGAGUGAGCCUUAGCUACUGUGGUGCUUAUGCGCUUGUGAUAUUUAAGGAUAUCAUCGUAUAAGGGUGUGUCUGGUUGAGGAACAAACUGUCACGGAAUGAAAUGGUUCCAUUCCAGAGGAACGGGUCGGUUUCGUUCCUGUAUUUGGUAGGUGCAAAAAAGUAGAACGGGUUGGUUCCGUUUCAGUGUUUGGUUUGAAAGAAUGGAAUGAAAAAUAGAAUAACAGAAAUUCAAAAUUUUGGCAGCAUUUCAUUUGUAUUUUCAAAAAAAACAACAUAACAAUAUAUAUUGACAUAGAACUCAAUUUUCAGCAAUGAAGUAGCAAGUUCAUUUGGUACAUCCAGAAGCAAUCAGCCAUUACAUGUCUUUAACAUACAAAUAACCAAAGCAAAGUGCACUACAGCCAUACACCAUUACAUAGCAGCACAUAUUGAAAUAAAAAUUGGGUAACCAUGGAUCUGCGUACUACACAGAAGCACAUAUAUAUGAAACAAAUUGAGGAGGAACAUGGCACACAGGAAAUAAAAUCUGCCCAAACAUGAACAUAUACAGAGAUAUGCAAAGGGGUAGUGGAAACUGCACCUUGCCUCCGCUGCUAGCUGCUGAUCUAGACCUUCUGCAGCACCUCCGGUCGCCCCUACGUGGUAGCCGCCCCGCUGCUUCGUCGCUGCUCCUAGGAUCUGGAUCGUGGCCGAUCUGAUUUGUCGUUGCUGCUUGCUAGGUCGCCGCCAUGAUGCAGAUGCGCGUCAUCACAGAGGAGACGACGGGAGGAAGGUGAAGCCGGGCCGGGGAGGGAUGGAGAAGGCAGAUCGAGAGGGGGGAGAAGCGGGAGGGUGGCGGUGCUAGUCGAGGAGCAGCGAGAGAGGGGGAGAUGCGGGAGCAGCGAGAGGAAAGCGAUAGGGUACGGGUGCGGGGCGAGGGGCUCGUUCCCUGUCGUCCGGCCGAUUUCGAGGUAUGCCUCGGUUCGGCAUAAUGAGCGAAUAUUCCCUUUCCUGGGACGAGUGGGUUCUGAAUUGUUCGACUUACUAAACGCUGGAAUGGGCCGUGGGAAUGGGUCGGACCCAUGACGUUCUACCCGGUGACAACAACCAAACACACCCUAAGAACCAAAGCUGACAACGACUUUGAAAGAAAAAAAAUUGAAUCGUUUUCUUCACUUAUAGUUGAUAUAGUUAGUAAUUUAUGGCUGUUUUGGGGGUAAUUUUAGGGUGGACGGGCGAAACUCCGUCUUAGAUACAGUUGUAGAAAUACAUGAGUAAAGAGAAUAUAAAUGUUAUGAAUUUAGUUCAAAUAGAAAUGGUUGAAGACUAAUACUAGGCUUUUGCUCUAUGAUUACAUUUGAAGUCAUUUCAAGUACUGACAUGUUCACCACUAAGGGCAUCACCAAAGCGGACCCACAAAUCGCUUGCAAUUGUCUGGACUGCUCGGUCCGGGCGUGUUUUGCAUGCAACACGGGUCUAUACCGGUCUGUCGAGUGGUUCGAACAUAUUUUUUCCCGUAAAUCAGAGACGAACUGGGGGCGGGGCCGGGAGUCCAGACAACACCCAUGUAGGACUCUGACACCCCCGGCCACCCAAAACCCCACCAAAACCACUCCCGACCCCGUGCCUUCAUCCUCCCAUUUUCUCUCCCUCUGUUUUUCUCUCUUGCCUUCACCGCCGCUCCAUCAUGCAAGCAUGUGUUGCAGUUGUUCGUGGACCUACUAAACAAUGGAUCCGAAGGCCUUGUGAGAGAUGAUGACCUGUUGUGUAAUCAUCCACAAAAUGAUCAUGGAGGAUGAUGGUGAGGAUGUUGUCGUAGUUCUUGAAUUUAAGAACAUGGGUGAUCCUAUCAAACUUACAGACCAGAAUUUGUCCACAUUUGAAGAGUUUGUUGAAAUGCAUCAACAAAUUCGUCAUCGAGAAACUCACUAGCAACUGAAGUAAGAUAUGAUUAAGCAUAUUGAGCAGUUAAAGGGGACAACGAUGUUGGGUGUAAUAAUUGAACUAUUUUAAAUUAGAACUACUACUCAUUUGAACAUUUGAACUAUUCUAGACUAAAUAUAUGGCUAUUUGAGCGUGCGAACUUAAAAGAAAUUGGGCCCGGAUGUAUGCGGAUAGUGUGUUAAAUGAUCGGCUCCUGCAUCCGUGUUCACGGACUAAUCCCUGAUCACGGACGGACGCGGGAGAAAAUUUGCGAGUCAGCAUUGGAGAUGCCCUAUUAUGGCUUUGCUAUCAUCAUAUCAUCAUCAUCAUCAUUAUUAAUACUUGUACUACUACUGUUACUAUUAUUAUUAUGGAAUUUGUGGGACUAAAGUUGGAUUGCGGAUUGGAGCCAUCUUGCUCAAUAUAUUUGUGUUUUUGUUUUGUUUCUCUUCAUUACAAAUUACAUUGUUAUGAGGGAAGGUAUAUCACCCCACUCCAUCGGUCCAGCCAGUCUAACUUUAUAUCAGUAGGAUGCCUUUCCAGAGAUAGGUACCCUUGUGAUUUUCAGCUCUUACGUAUUUAUUCUACUAGAUGAUACCACACGUGUUGUUGUGGUAUUUUUUUAAAUGAAAUGCACAAUUAGGUGCUACAUAAAUAACUAAAACUAACAAAAACAAAAUUUAAAAGUAUUUUUGAUAUACACUUUAAAAACAUUAAAAAUUAUGAAGCAUAUAACAAAAGCAUAUGUCAAAGAGGAAAAAAAUAGAUUGCAACUAAAAGAGUGUCAUUCUGAAAUAAUCUAAAAUAUCUACUACAUAGGUAUGCUCCAAGCGCCCAACACAUAUAUCGUGUCCAUGAGGGCACAAAACUUAGUGCGAGAAAAUUAAUUGAUAACUUAAAUGAAUGAACAUCAUAUGAGAGGGCAGUGCUGCAUGGACAUAGUAAUGCAAAAAAUGUAACCUAUAAGUUACAUGUAUGACUUACUGAUGUGGCAUGGUUGUAUGUAGUAAAAAUAGAUAACAUGUUGUAGUUAUUUAGCAAUAGAGAAAACGAGUGUAGUUUCUAAAAAAAAGUGAAGCAUCAACUAUAUAGGUAUGCUCCAAGCAUCCAACACAUAUACCAUGUCUAAGGAGCACAAAACAUAAUGCAAAAAAUUAACUGAUGUUCUUAUAUUGCAUGAACUGAUGAUGUGACAGUGCUGCAUGCUGGAAUUUUGUCUAUUUUGGGCCUAGCCCAAUUGCAGUUACAGAAAUUCCUAAUAAAUCCUAGAGGCCCACGCCAGCCCAUUCGUGUAAGGCAAGAGGUGGAACUAAAAUUUAGUCCCACAUUGCUAGUUUAGAGGGAGUUGGACCUCUUUAUAAUGGAGGCUCUUUCUCCACAUGUAUGAGGAUGAGAACAAGAGGGACACCCACGCCACGCCACGCCUCGUCACGUCACGACGCGUUGCGGUGCGAGUUGCGGGAAUAAGCUGAGCCGAUGUCUAAAUUUUUGCCACGCACGAUGGGUAUACGAAAGGUCACUCGGAAGCUGAAACGUUUUUGCUGUAGUGGAGAUUGAAUACGAACGGCGCACCUCUUCGCCUGCUGCCUGUUCGUUUUCGUCUCCCUCGUUCUCUUCAGCUCCCGGUGCAGCCUCUCACCUCCUUCUCUUGCGCCUAUAAAAGGGAGGUCGCUCCUCUCAGAAAGACGCAUCAGAACCUCUUCUUCCUCUCGCCACAAGUUCCUGAGCACUGUGCUGCUGCUAUGUUCUUCCCCAUCCCGACUUGCGGCGUGCACCGAAGGUCGGGACAGUAGGCCUCCAAAACCGCACCUUUUGAGUCAUGUACAGAAGAAGGGUGAUAAGGUUUUUGGGGAGCGCUUCGCACGACUAUUGACUUCUUUGUCACGGACGUCCCGAACUCCGACGACUACUUCCCCAACGACGACUUCUUCCCCGACGUCGACAACCUCCUCGACGACAUGGCUGGCGAGGACACCGACCCCAAGUCCAGCUCUUCUGCUGCUGCUGUCCCGUACGCGUUCUUCCUCUUUCUAUUAGAGGCCCUGCUACAGUUCCUUGUUCUAGUGUUUGCCCUAGAUAUGUUAGACUCUGUUUCAUAUAUGCAACUUGCUAUAUUGUCUACUUUAUAUGUGUUUAGUUAUAGUUCAUAUAUGAAGAUGAUGUUUACCUUCUCUUUGUCAAAUCGCAUGACCUGUUUUAUCACUGCUAUACUAGUCGUGCUUUAUCUAGUAUUUCUGUUAAUAAAAUCAUUCGGUAAAUUGCUCAUAUUUCCAACAAUCCAAAAACCUUAUUAUAGGCAAUUUACCCCGAGUGGUUUUGCUUCUUCCAUGAAACCUCCUAUGUUUGAGGGUAUCCACUAUAAGAGGUGGCGCGUGAGAUCAGUCUUAUGGUUUCAAACCAUGAGUUGCUAUGACGCCACUCUCGGCAAACCUGAAGGAGAGCUUGAUGCUCAACAGGCACAAGCUUUUCAGAAAAUGGAUACUCUGUUUAAGGCUGCUCUCUUGAGUGUUCUUGGUGAGAACAUAGUUGAUGCUUAUGCGUCAAUUGAUAAUGGAAAAGAUAUGUGGGAUGCACUCGAGGCCAAGUUUGGGGUCUCGAAUGCUGGCACUGAGUUGUACAUCAUGGAGCAAUUCUAUGAUUACAGGAUGACUGAAGAGCGCUCCAUGGUUGAGCAAGCUCAUGAGAUACAGUCAUUUGCUAGAGACUUGAGCACUUCAGUUGUAUGCUACCGGACAAGUUUGUUGCCGGAGGUAUCAUCACUAAGCUUCCUCCUUCAUGGAGGAACUUUGCUACCUUACUGAAACAUAAGAGACAUGAGUUUUCCGUCCCGGAUCUCAUUGGCACUCUUGAUGUGGAAGAAAAGGCGAGAGCAAAGGACACACGUACUCGAGGUAUUGAGGGAGAAUCUAGUGCCAAUAUGGUAUAGAAGAAGAACUUCUAGCCCCACAAGUUCACGAACAAGGGCAAGUUUGAUGGUAAAGCAAAGUUUGAUGGGAAGAACAAGGCUGUGCAACACACGAACUUCAAGAAGAAGAAUGACAAGAAGAAAGGUGUUUGUCAUGUGUGUGGGGAUCCUGAUUAUUGGGCUCCUAGUUGCCCCAAUCGCUAUGAUAAGCGUCAUCCUGGGAAAGGCGGCAAGACCGCUAAUGUUGUCAUUGGAGACACUAAAAUGAAGGAUGCUGGACCGCAGGGACUUCAACCGUGCUGAUGGGCAACAGUUCAAGUGCUUCUAUUCGUGGUGUUGGCACGGCCAAUCUGAAGUUUACUUCGGGGAAGAUCGUGCGGCUGAAGAACAUGCAUUAUGUCCCCUCCGUCAAUAAAAAUCUUGUUAGCGGAUCUCUUCUGAGUAGAGAUGGCUACAAACUUGUCUUUGAGUCGAAUAAAUUUGUAAUAUCCAAGUAUGGAACCUUUGUUGGUAGAGGCUAUGAGUCAGGAGGACUAUUUCGUUUAUCCUUAUCAGACGUUUGAAAUAAAGUUGUUAAUCAUAUUUGCAACAAUAGUGAAUCAAAUGUGUGGCAUUCACGUCUUUGUCAUGUUAACUUUGGUUGCAUGUUGCGACUAGCGAAGUUGAACUUAAUCCCUAGUUUCACCACUGUCAAGGGAUCCAAGUGUCAAGUGUUUGUGCAAGCUAAGCAACCUCGUAACUCUCAUGUGACUACGGAAACGAGAAAUCUUGCACCACUAGAACUCAUACAUUCAAAUUUAUGUGAAAUGAAUGGGUUUUGACAAAAGGUGGAAAGAAAUAUUUCAUGACGUUAAUUAACAACUCCACUAGAUACUGCCGUGUGUAUCUUCUGAAAUCUAAGGAUGAUGCUUUGAACUUUUUCAAGAUCUAUAAAGCUGAAGUGGAAAACCAACUUGAUCGGAAAAUCAAGAGGCUUAGGUCCGACCGUGGUGGAGAGUAUUUUUCCAAUGAAUUUGAUACUUUUCGUGUUGAACAUGGUAUAAUCCAUGAGAGGACGCCUCCCUAUUCACCUCAGUCAAAUGGGGUGGCCGAAAGAAAGAACCGUACUCUAACAGAUUUGGUUAACGCCAUGUUAGACACACCGGGUCUCUCCAAGGCAUGGUGGGGGGAGGCGAUAUUGAUUGCAUGUCAUGUCCUAAACUGAGUUCCCACAAAGAAUCAAGAGAUAACUCCAUUCAAGGAAUGGGAGAAGAAAAGAUUAAAAAUCUCUUAUCUACGAACCUGGGGUUGUUUGGCGAAAGUCAAUGUGGCAAUUCCAAAGAAGCGCAAGCUUGGACCAAAGACCGUGGAUUGUGUUUUCCUGGGAUAUGCUUUUCAUAGCAUUGGUUAUAGAUUCUUGGUUGUAAAAUCUAAGGUACCUGACAUGCAUGUCGGUACGAUCAUGGAGUCGAAUGAUGCGACUUUCUUUGAAGAUAUCUUUCCAAUGAAGGAUAUGACUACCUCAUCUAAUCAGGAGAUGCCUAGUUUCGUCGAAUCAGGAACUGGUUAUAAUUACCGAACCAGCCAUUUCGAUGGAACACUUUGAAAAUCCUAUGGAGGAGAACAAUAAAGUUCCUACUAGGAGCAAGAGACAGAGGACUGCAAAGUCCUUUGGUGAUGAUUUUCAAGUGUAUCUCAUAGAUGACACUCCCAGUUCUAUUUUAGAGGCCUAUGCAUCUGAAGAUGCUGACUACUUGAAGAAGCGGUUCGUAGCAAGAUGGAUUCCAUCUUGGCGAAUGAAACUUGGGAGAUAACUUAUCGUCCUUAUGGGUGCAAACCUAUAGGAUGCAAAUGGGUAUUCAAGAAGAAGCUUAGGCCUGAUGGUACUAUUGAAAAGUACAAGGCUCGGCUCGUGGAGAAGGGUUAUACCCAAAAGGAAGGUGAAGACUUCUUUGAUACUUACUCACCUGUGGCUCGACUGACCACUAUUCGAGUUCUACUUUCACUAGCUGCCUCACAUGGUCUUCUCAUAAAUCAAAUGGAUGUUAAGACUGCUUUCCUAAAUGGAGAGUUGGACGAGGAAAUUUAUAUGGAACAACCAGAUGGGUUUGUACUAGAUGGUAAGGACGGAAAAGUGUGCAAGUUGCUGAAGUAUUUGUAUGGACUCAAGCAAGCACCCAAAUAGUGGCAUGAGAAGUUUGAAAGAAUUUUAACAGUUGCAGGCUUUGUUGUAAACAAAGUUGACAAAUGUGUGUAUUAUCGCCAUGGUGGGGGCGAGGGAGUUAUCCUUUGUUUGUAUGUUGACGACAUACUAAUUUUCGAAACAAAUCUAAAUGUUAUUAAGGAGGUCAAGGAUUUCCUAUCUCGUUGUUUUGAGAUGAAGGAUUUAGGAGUGGUUGAUGUCAUUCUGAACAUCAAGUUGUUGAGAGACGAUAAUGGUGGGAUUACAUUGCUUCAAUCUCACUAUGUGAAAAAGAUCUUGAGUCGCUUUGGCUAUAGUGACUGUAAGCCCUCUCCAACACCAUAUGAUGCGAGUGUAUUACUUCGAAAGAAUCAAAGAAUUUCUAGAGAUCAAUUGAAAUAUUCUCAUAUUAUUGGCUCACUUAUGUACUUAGCCAGUGCUACAAGACCUGACAUCUCUUUUGCUGUUAGCAAACUGAGUCGGUUUAUCUCAAAACCAGGAGAUGUGCAUUGGAAAGCUCUAGAGAGAGUUUUGCGUUAUUUGAAAGGCACUGCGAAAUAUGGAAUUCACUACACCGGGCACCCAAAGGUGCUUGAAGGGUACAGUGACUCAAACUGGAUCUCAGAUGCUGAUAAGAUAAAGGCCACGAGCGGAUAUGUAUUAACUCAUGGAGGUGGCGCUGUUUCGUGGAAGUCUUGCAAGCAGACCAUCUUAACAAGGUCAAAAAUGGAAGCAGAACUCACAGCACUAGAUACAGCUACGGUCGAAGCAGAUUGGCUUCGUCAGCUCUUGAAUGACUUGCCGAUUGUUGAGAAACCUGUACCGGGUAUCCUUAUGAACUGCGACAAUCAAACUGUAAUCACGAAAGUGAGCAGCUCAAAGGAUAACAUGAAGUCAUCAAGACACAUUCAGAGAAGGUUAAAGUUUGUCAGGAAAGUGAGAAACUCCGGAGUUAUUGCAUUGGAUUAUAUCCAAACGUCUAAAAAUUUGGCAGAUCCUUUCAGUAAGUGUCUAUCACGUAAUAUGAUAGAUAAUGCAUCGAGGGAGAUGGGAAUGAGACCCACAAUAUGAGUUGUUCAAAGUGGUAACCUAGUCUAUGUGAUUGGAGAUCCUGUGAAUUAGAUGUGGAAGAGAAGCUAUUGGUCAACUAAGAGGAGAGUAUCCUGACUAUUAAUACCACUCCAUGAAGAUGCAAUACUCUCCUAAUCUGCAUGGCAGGUUGAUGUAUAUCUUAAUGUGUUCUAAGUGGCUCUUUGAAGAAGAGAUGUUGUCCUGCAGAACAUCUUUUGAAGAACGCACCUAUAUGAGUCUAAUUGUUAAACGUCACAAUCUAUGAGAGUAGGGUUCUCUCUAGUAAACUCAUGAAAGGUCUCGGAGUAUGACGCAUAAGCUCCACCCACGGGGAAGACCCACGGUAGCCAAGUAUUCGCAAAAAACUUGCAGUUCAAGGCCCAGUCCAUUGUCCAAGUUGCUUACUAGUGUAGCAUAGAGUUCUAGGAGGAAGUUCAACUUAACAGUCUCCACUGUAGUACUGGUAUAUAAAACAGUGUUUGGAACCAAAGGCAAAUUUUGUGUGCCUUUGGGAUCUGGUGGGGGAUUGCUGGAAUUUUAUCAAUUUUGGGCCUAGCCCAAUAGCAGUUUCAGAAAUUCCUAAUAAAUCCUAGAAGCCCACUCAGCCGAUUCGUGCAAGGAAAGUGGUGGAACUAAAGUUUAGUCCCACAUUGCUAGUUUAGAGGGAGUUGGACCUCUUAUUCCACUCGCCACAAGUUCCUGAGUAUUGCGCUGCUGCUAUGUUCUUCCCCAUCCUGACUUGCGGCGUGCACCGCAGGUCGGGACAGUAGGCCUCCGAAACCGCAUCUUUUGGGUCAUGUACGGAAGAAGGGUGAUAAGGUUUUUGGGGAGCACUUCGCGCGACUACUGACUUCUUCGUCACGGACGCCUCAGACUCCAACGGCUACUUCCCCAACGAUGACUACUUCCCUGACGUCGACAACCUCCUCGACGACAUGGCUGGCGAGGACACCGACCCCAAGUCUAGCACUUAUGCUGCUGCUGUCCCGUACGCGUUCUUCCUCUUUCUAUUAGAGGCCCUGCUACAGUUCCUUGUUCUAGUGUUUGCCCUAGAUAUGUUAGACUCUGUUUCACAUAUGCAACUUGCUAUACUAUCUACUCUAGAUGUGUUUAGUUACAGUUCAUAUAUGAAGCUGAUGUUUACCUUUUCUUUGUCAAAUAGCAUGACUUGUUUUAUCACUGCUAUACUAGUCGUGCUUUAUCUAGUAUUUCUAUUAAUAAAAUCAUUGGGUAAAUUGCUCAUAUUUCCAACACUGCAUGGAUAUGCUAAUGCAAAAAUGUAACUUAGCAUGCAUGACAUGUUGAUGUGGCAUGGUUACAUGGCUAGGAAAGGAGUAGUGGUUUAUGUCACAAUUAAAUCCAAUGUGAUUUAAGACACACUUAUUGUCGGAGGGAUGAACCCCGGGCAGGCAACGGAACCUGGAUCCUCUUCAAAAAUAGUGGGGCCCGCAUCGCCCCUCAAACCGGCACGCGCCCGACCGUGUCGCUCGACCCGGCAAGGCCUGCAACCCGGAAAAACUCUCUGACCCGGCAAAGUACGUCGACCCGGCCUCAGCAACUGGCGCAUGGCAGCCGAACCCGGCACGACCAAGGCUUCCCCAACAAGCCGACCCCACCUGUGGUGUGCGUCGCAGUCCAGCCACGGGUCAAGCUCCCGUCCCAUCCAGGCCGUACGAUGGGACGAGAUCUCAAUCACCAAUGACCAAGACAACAGUGCUUCCACCCAUGCCUUUGGUCAGCCGGAGCAUGGCAACAGUGCCCCUCACCUACCCGCUGACUGGGGCUGGCGUGGCAACUGUGCUCCCGCCCUCACCGCUGACGGCAUCAAGCGGCAACCUGACAGAGAGUAUUGUACGCGACUCGACUCGGCCAUGCCCCGACGAUCGACAAGAUGGCGCACAGUCCCCCUAGCACGCGGGGCCCGCACCUAGGGGAACCCGGCGAACCACAAGCCCUCAGCGGGACACAGCCCGGCAUCCCGGACACCGACAAUACAGACCCACCGACUCGGCGUAUUACCAUUGUAACCCUGGGUGGGUUGAUCUAUAAAACACCUCAGGAACCCACACCUACAUGGGCAUGUACAAGGUAGCAUGUGAGAAACAGAUACAAGGGACAAGCAAGAAAGCAUAGGACUAGCCACCAAACCGCAACACCGGAGAGAAGGAACAGCCCAAGCCUUGGCCAGCUUCCUUCCUCCUCCAUACAGCUCCAGGAGAAACAUUGUACUAUCGAUCAUCCAACUACACUCAGCAGGACUAGGGGUAUUAUCUCUCCGGAGAGCCCCAAACCUGGGUAUGUCCGGUGUCCCGUGCCCACUCAUGCCAACCUCGCCUCUGGAGCCCACCAGCGCCCUCGAGCCUCCUCCUCUCUUUAGCCAUCCCUUGGCAUCUGCUGUGCACCCACCACGACAGUUGGCGCCCACCAUGGGGCAGCUCAAGGAGCUAGCCGGGAGCAUGCUUUAGAUGGGGCCCUUCUCCUACACCGACGAGUCCGUCGUGCUGGCGGACGAUGUUGUCGGCGUGCUUACCGCCUCCUUCGCCGCACUGCGCAUCUCCGAUGCGUUCGUGGCUGAUGAGUACCCCAGCGAGGUGCUUAGCUACUCCGACUCGCCGCUCUCCCUGGGCGGUGGCAUUGCCGCCGGGGCGAUGGACGUCCAUGUGGAGGUUUACGUCACCGACGAUGGCGCCUCCUCCUCGUCGAGCAAGACGAGGAAGGCCGUGGAAGCCAGGGCCACUGCGGAAUGGACCGAGCCGUCCGAUCCGCUGUGCACUGCGAUGCAGAGCCUCCGCACCCCCAUCGGCACCGACGUCGACGCCACCAACGUCGCCGAGGCCUGAUCUUAGCUCGAGGAAAGGCGCCAGCAGAUGUUGGACCUGUCUGAGACGCUCGCCGCCACCAAGCGGCGCCUGGAGUCCGCUUAGAUGGAGAAUGAUGCCGCCCACGGAUUCACGCCUGCCACGGCUGAGCCAAGUCGGGUCGCCAAUGUGCGUACCCGGGGAGGAGCGAUUGGUUGGGCCCUCGGCGCCGUCCGAACCGUCUACGAGACCCCAGUGAAGAACAUGCGCGCUGCAGAGGCAGCCGCGGUCGGCAUGGACCAGCUCACGGGUGAGGAGCUGAAAGAGCGCAUUGGGCGGAUGCGAGCUCCUCCACGUCGCCAACACCCAGCAGGAUUGCCUCAACCAGUUCGCCAAGCCGAUGGGAUCCAGCUCCGCCCACCUUGGUGGACCCGAUGAACUUCUGCACACAGCUUCCUCGCCGCCCGGCGAGGCGCACUCGGCCAAGCCCAUACUCGGCGCAACCCGGCCGCCACAGCCGCCGCUGUCCUGGGCAACGAGCCCGCCGCGGAGACCUAGCGUGGACCCGGCCAGCAUGGUCGGCGUCCGGCUCCAACUGACCUGGCCCCUCGGGGCCCGGCCGCCAGUCGACUCGGCCCGCGCGCCAUCGAUGACGCAGACGCUCGCCACCGCCUCGAUCAGCUCGCUCGCUCCCUGGAGGUGGAGGAGAGCGGCGCUAUCAGACCGGCGUGCUUCGGCCCAUGCAUCCGGGAGGAGCCCUUCCCCAAAGGGUUCGUGCUCCCCCGCGACACCCCCAAGUACAAUAGGACUGUAAAGGCGGAAGACUGGCUCACCGACUAUACCACGACCAUUGGCAUCACCAAUGCCAAUCGCCAUCUCGCCGUGUGCUACGCACCGCUCACACUCCAGGGGUCGGCCCGCACGUGGUUGAACAGUCUGCCGAUGGGCAGCAUCAAUGUGUAGGUCGACUUUGAGGAGGCCUUUGUUCGCAACUUCGCGGGGACCUACAAGCGACCCGGUCGCCCUAGCCAACUCGCCAUGUGCGUGCAGGGGCCGACGGAGACCGGUCGCAAGUACCUCGCACGCUGGACCGAGCUCCGAAACAGCUGCGAGGGCGUCCAUGAAGUCCAGGCGAUCCAGUACUUCGUCAGCGGGUGCCGAGACGGCACCCUCCACAAGCACAAGCUCUUGCGCUCCGAGCUGGCCAUCAUGGCCGCACUCAUGGUGACGGCGGACAAGUACGCCAACGCUGACUCCGCCAUGAAGAUCCAGGUGGCGCUGGAUGAAGCCGGCAAUGCGAAGCCGGUUCCUCCCUCGAAGCCGGCCGGUGAAAGCAGCCGGCAGCAGCAUCACCAGAACAACAAGCGCAAGGCCGACCAGCCGGCGCAGCGUCACGACAACCGGCAUGUUGCGGCCGCCGAGCCUGUGAAGGACCCGGUGGCGAAGCGUCGGAAGACCGGCAAGAUGGCGUGGCAACCCGCCAUGAGUUUCGAAGAAAUGCUCGACGCCCCAUGCAAGCACCACAACGGCGCAAGACCCUCCACGCACACGCUUUGGCAGUGUGCCAUCACCAAGUGCAUCAUGAGGGGAGACGUCCCGCCUCCUCCGGCUCCGGCUCCAGCUCUAGGCGCGGGACAGCCGCCUCCGCCUCCACCGCCGCCUCCCGCUGGUGGCGCGAUGCGGAACGACGCCUACCCGAACCAGAACGCGGCCUAUGUCGUCUUCACCAGCCUCGGCAACGACAAGUGCAGCGAGCGCCUUCUUCGGCAGGAGGUGAACACCGUCGUCCUGGCCAAGCCGGAGUUCAUGCACUGGUCGGAUCGCCCGAUCACCUGGAUCCGGGAGGAUCACCCAGCAGUCAUGCCGAGUCCGGGUGGUUACGCCCUCAUCCUCAACCCCACCAUCGUCGCGUGGUGCACAUGCAAGUUCUCCCGGGUCCUCAUCAACGGCGGCAGCAGCAUCAACAUCCUCUACCGCGACACGAUGACCAAGCUCGACCUCAAGGACGAGGACCUGGAGCCGGCCCGGACAAUCUUCCACGACAUCGUUCCCGGCCUCUCCUGCUCUCCCAUUGGUCGGGUCCGGCUCGAUGUCCUAUUCGGCGACAACAGCCACUUCCGACGCGAACCGAUCUGGUUCGAGGUGGUGGACCUGUCCAGCGCAUAUCAUGCAUUGCUGGGUCGGCCCGCGCUCACCAAGUUCAUGGCGGUUCCCCACUACGCGUACCUGAAGAUGAAGAUGUCGGGUCCCAAGGGCCUCAUCACCGUCACCGGCGACUACCGCAAGUCCCUGGAGUGUGCCCGAGAUGGUGCCAAGUUGGCCGAGUCGCUGGUCAUUGCCGAGGAGCGGUGCCAGCUCGACCGGAUUGUCGCCCUGGCAGGCGAGGCCUCCGCAGCAUCGAUCCCGACCCCGGACCCGGCCGACGAGGCCGCCUUCAAGCCCUCCAAGGAGACCAAAAAGUGAAGCUCAACCCAGAAGACCCCAGCUGCAGCAAGUAUGUUAUCGUAGGCGCCCUCCUCGACAGCAAAUAGGAAGGUGAGCUCGUCGACUUCCUCCGUGAGAAUCGGGAUAUCUUCGCACGGACCCCCAAGGACAUGCCGGGUAUCCCGAGGAAGUACGCCGAGCACAAACUUCACGUCUGCAAGGACGCCAAGCCUGUCCAUCAACCCCCACGACAAUUUUCCAAAUAGAAGAGAAGAACCAUUGGUGAAGAGGUCGCCAAGCUUUUGGCGGCCGGCUUCAUAAUGGAAGUGUUUCACCCCGAGUGGCUGGCCAAUCCAGUCCUCGUCCUGAAGAAAAACAAGACCUGGCGCAUGUGUAUUGACUACACCAGCCUCAACAAGGCCUAUCCCAAGGAUCUGUUUGCUUUCCCACGGAUCGACCAAGUCAUCGACUCGACCGUCGGGUGCGAGCCCCUGUCCUUCCUGGACGCUUACUCCGGCUACCACCAGAUCAAGCUGGACCCGGCCGAUGCCCUGAAGACGUCCUUCAUCACGCCCUUUGGGGCGUAUUGCUACAUCACCAUGUCGUUCGGCUUGAAGAACGCCGGCGCCACCUUCCAACGCUGCAUGCAGAAGUGCCUACUGCCGCAACUCGGCCGCAAUAUCCACAUGUACGUGGACGACAUCGUGGUGAAGACCAAGCAGCACCUCAUGCUCCUCGAUGAUUUGAAGGAGACAUUCACCAACCUCCACGAAUACAAGGUCAAGCUUAACCUAGAAAAAUGCGUUUUCGGCGUCCCCACUGGAAAGCUACUCGGCUUCCUCGUCUGGGAACGUGGCACUGAGGCGAACCCGGAUAAGAUCAAGGCCAUCGAGCUCAUGCGCAGACCAGCUCGGCUGCGCGACGUCCAGAAGUUCACCGGGUGCUUGGCCUUGGUCAGCCGGUUUCUAAGCCGGCUGGGCGAGAGGGCGCUACCCCUGUACCAACUGAUGAAGAAGACAAGCCCGUUCAAAUGGAACGGCAAGGCAGACGAGGCCUUCCAAGACCUCAAGCGCAUGCUCUCCACCGCACCAGUCCUGGCCGCGCCGACCGGCAAGGAGCCGCUGUUGCUCUACAUUGUCGUGACCUCGCGGGUGGUGAGCACUGUGCUGGUGGUCGAGCGACCAGAGAAGGGCAAGAUCCAAGUCGUCCAGCAUCCAGUCUACUACCUGAGCGAGGUGCUCUCCAUAUCCAAGCAGAACUACCAGCACUACCAGAAGAUGUGUUACGGCGUGUACCUCACCGCCAAGAAGCUGAAGCAGUACUUACAAGAGCACGUCGUCACCGUCGUCAGCACGACGCCUAUCGGAGAAAUCAUCGGGUGCCGGGACGCCUCUGGCCGGGUCGCCAAGUGGGCGAUCCAGCUAGCCGUUCGCACCAUCCUCUACGAGCCCCGCACCACGAUCAAGUCUCAAGCCCUGGCCGACUUCCUCGUCGACUGGACCGAGACCCAGUACUUGCCGCCGCCUCCCGACUCGACGCAUUGGCGCAUGCACUUCGACGGGUCCAAGAUGCGACUCUGCUUGGGGGCCGGCAUCGUACUGUCAUCCCCGAAGGGCAACCGGCUCUGCUACGCGCUCCAGAUCCACUUUGCUGCCUCCAACAACGUCGCCGAAUAUGAAGCCCUUAUGCACGGCCUCUGGCUUACCAAGGAACUCGGCAUCCAGCGCAUUCCGUGCUACGGUGACUCGGACAUGGUGGUGCAGUAGUGCUCCGGCGAAUGGGACGCCCGCGACUCCAACAUGGCAAGCUACCGAUUACUCGUCCAGAAGAUGUCCGGAUCCUUCGAGGGCUGUGAGUUCCUCCAUGUCCCGCGCAUGGAGAACGAAGCAGCCGACACGCUCGCCAAGAUUACCUCAUCACGACAAGCCAUCCCGUCUGGCGUCUCCCUCGAGCACCUACGCAAGCCGUCCGUCAAGCCAUCGCCGGACUCCGAGUCCAUUCAUGUUCCAGACGACCCGGCCGCACCUCAAGCCGGCCCGGGGACUGCUGAACCCGGCCCGGGGGCUGCUCAGCUCAACCUGGCCACCGUCAACCCGGACCCGGCUGUCGCCAUCCCCGACCCGGGGCUGCUCAACCCGGCUCGGGGGCUGCCGGCUCGGAACCCACCCUGGUGGCCGUCUUCUGUUGGGGAUCGUUGCAGAAAUAAAAAAAAUCUACGCAUCACCAAGAUCAAUCUAUGGAGAGACUAGCAACGAUAGAGAGGGGAGUGCAUCUUCAUACCUUUGAAGAUCGCUAAGCAGAAGCGUUACAAGAACGCGGAUGAUGGAGUCGUACUCGUGGCGAUUCAAAUCGUGGAAGAUCCGAUCUAGCGCCGAACGGACGGCGCCUCCGCGUUCAACACACGUACAGCCCGCGGACGUCUCUUCCUUCUUGAUCCAGCAAGGGGAGAGGAGAAGUUGAGGGAGAACUCCGGCAGCACGACGGCGUGGUGGUGGAGCUUGCAGUUCUCCGGCAGGGCUUCGCCAAGCACCACUGAGGAGGAGGUGGAGUUGGAGAGGGGGAGGGCUGCGCCAGGGGCAAGCGUGAAGCUCCCAUGCGCCUCCCCACUAUAUAUAGGGGUGGAGGGGGCUGGUUUCUUGCCCUCCAAGUCCAUUGGGGCGUUGGCAAAGGUGGGAGGAAAGAAAUCCCAUCAUUUCCUUCCCCACCGAUUGUUAUCCCCCCUUUAUAGGGAUCUUGAUCUUAUCCUUUCGGGAUAUGAUCUUAUUCCUUCUGAGGGGGGAUCUUGGUGCGCCUUGACCAGGGGUGUGGGGCCUUGCCCUCACUACCCACGUUCAUGUGGGUACCUCCCAUGCAGGUGGGCCCCACUCCAGAACCUUCUAGAACCUUCCCGGUACAAUACCGAAAAAUCCCAAACAUUUUCCGGUGGCCAAAAUAGGACUUCCCAUAUAUAAAUCUUUACCUCCGGACCAUUCCGGAACACCUCGUGACGUCUGGGAUCUCAUCCGGGACUCCGAACAACAUUCGGUAACUGCACACUAAUUCCCAUAACAACUCUAACGUCACCGAACCUUAAGUGUGUAGACCCUACGGGUUCGGGAAUCAUGCAGACAUGACCGAGACAGCUCUCUGACCAAUAACCAACAGCAGGAUCUGGAUACCCAUGUUGGCUCCCACAUGUUCCAUGAUGAUCUCAUCGGAUGAACCACGAUGUCAAGGAUUCAAGCAAUCCCGUAUACAAUUCCCUUUGUCAAUCGGUACGUUACUUGCCCGAGAUUCGAUCGCCGGUAUCCCAAUACCUCGUUCAAUCUAGUUACCGGCAAGUCACUUUACUCAUUCCGUAAUGCAUGAUCCCGUGACUAACUAAUUAGUCACAUUGAGCUCAUUAUGAUGAUGCAUUACCAAGUGGGCCCAGAGAUACCUCUCAUUCAUCGGAGUGACAAAUCCCAGUCUCGAUUCGUGCCAACCCAAUAGACACUUUCAGAGAUACCUGUAGUGCACCUUUAUAGCCACCCAGUUAGGUUGUGACGUUUGGUACACCCAAAGCAUUCCUACGGUAUCCGGGAGUUACACAAUCUCAUGGUCUAAGGAAAUGAUACUUGACAUUAGAAAAGCUCUUAGCAAACGAACUACACGAUCUUGUGCUAUGCUUAGGAUUGGGUCUUGUCCAUCACAUCAUUCUCCUAAUGAUAUGAUCCCGUUAUCAAUGACAUCCAAUGUCCAUGGUCAGGAAACCAUAACCAUCUAUUGAUCAACGAGCUAGUCAACUAGAGGCUCACUAGGGACAUGUUGUGGUCUAUGUAUUCACACAUGUAUUACGGUUUCCAGUUAAUACAAUUAUAGCAUGAACAAUAGACAAUUAUCCUGAACAAGGAAAUAUAAUAAUAACCAUUUUAUUAUUUCCUCUAGGGCAUAUUUCCAACAGUCUCCCACUUGCACUAGAGUCAAUAAUCUAGUUCACAUCAUUAUGUGAUUGUAAUUAAUCCAACAGCCAUGGUGUUUGAUCAUAUCUCGCUUGUGAGAGAGGUUUAUUAGUCAACAGGUCUGAACCUUUCAGAUUCGUGUGUGCUUUACAAAUAUCAAUGUCAUCUUGUAGAUGCAGCUUCCACGCGCUACUUGGAGCUACUCCAAACAACUGCUCUACUAUACGAAUCUGGUUUACUACUCAGAGUCAUCCGGAUUAGUGUCAAAGUUUGCAUUGACGUAACCCUUUACGAAGAACUCUUUUACCACCUCCAUAAUCGAGAAAAUUCCUUAGUCAACUAGUUACUAAGGAUAAGUUUGACCACUGUCAUGUGAUCCAUUCCUGGAUCACACUUGUACCCCUUGACUGACUCAUGGCAAGGCACACUUCAGGUGCGGUACACAACAUAGCAUACUUUAGAGCCUACAUCUGAAGCAUAGGGGACGACCUUCGUCCUUUCUUUCUCUUCUGCCAUGGUCAGGUCUUGAGUCUUACUCAAUAGUCACACCUUAUGACAUAGCCAAGAACUCCUUCUUUGCCGAUCUAUUUUGAACUCCUUCAAAAUCUUGUCACGGUAUGUAUUCAUUCGAAAGUACUAUUAAGCGUUUUUUGAUCUAUCUUUAUAGAUCUUGAUGCUCAAUGUUCAAGUAGCUUAAUCCAGGUUUUCCAUUGAAUAACACUUUUCAAAUAACCCUAUAUAAUGUCCAGAAAUUCUACAUCAUUUCUGAUCAACAAUAUGUCAAUAACAUAUACUCAUCAGAAAUUCUAUAGUGCUCCCACUCACUUAUUUGGAAAUACAAGUUUCUCAUAAACAUUUCAUAAACCCAAAAUCUUUGAUCAUCUCAUCAAAGAGUAUAUGCUUACUCCAGUCCUUAGAAGGAUUGCUGGAGCUUUGCAUACUUGUUAGCAUCUUUCAGGAUUGAAAAAACCUUCUGGUUGUAUCACAUACAACCUUUCCUCAAGAAAAUUGUCGAGGAAACAAUGUUUUGACAUCCUAUCUGCAAGAUUUCAUAAAUAAUGCAGUAAUUGCUAAUAUAAUUCCAACAGACUCUUAGCAUUGCUACGAGUGAGAAAGUCUCGUUGUAGUCAACUCCUUGAACUUGUUGGAAAACAUCUUAACGACAAGUCGAGCUUUCUUAAUGGUGAUACUUACCAUCAUUGUCCGUCUUCCUUUUAAAAUCCGUCUGUACCCAACAGCCUUACGACCAUCAAGUAGUUCUUCCAAAGUCUACAUGUUGUUUUCAUACAUGGAUCCUCGGCCUCGAGCCAUUUUCGGAAUCUGGGCCCACCAUCGCUUCUCCAUAGCUCGUAGGUUCAUUGUUGUCUAGCAACAUGACCUCCAAGAUAGGAUUACCGUACCACUCUGAAGCAGUACAUGUCCUUGUCGUCCUACGAGGUUUCGUAGUGACUUGAUCUGAAGUUUCAUGAUCACUAUCAUCAACUUCCACUUCAAUUGGUGUAGGUGCCACAGGAACAACUUCCUGUGCCCUGCUACACACUGGUUGAAGUGAUGGUUCAAUAACCUUAUCAAGUCUCCACCAUCCUCCCACUCAAUUCUUUCGAGAGAAACUUUUCCUCGAGAAAGGACCCGUUUAUAGAAACAAUCAGUUUUGCUUCCAGAUCUGAAAUAGGAGGUAUAACCAACUGUUUUGGGUGUCCUAUGAAGAUGCAUUUAUCCACUUUGGGUUCGAGCUUAUCUGCCUGAAACCUUUUCACAUAAGCGUCGCAGCCCCAAACUUUCAAGAAACGACAACUUAGGUUUCUCUAAACCAUAGUUCAUAGGGUGUCAUCUCAAUGGAAUUACGUGGUUCCCUAUUUAAAGUGAGUGCGGUUGUCUCUAAUGCCUAACCCAUGAACGAUAGUGGCAAUUCGAUAACAGACAUCAUGGUAUGCCCCAUAUCCAAUGGGGUGUAUCUAUCAUGUUCGGACACACCAUCACACUAUGGUGUUCCAGGCGGUGUUAGUUGUGAAACAAUUUCCACAAUGUAUUAAUUGUGUACCAAACUCGCAACUCAGAUAUUCAUCUCUAUGAUCAUAUCAUAGACAUUUUAUCCUCUUGUCACGAAGAUCUUCAACUUCACUCUGAAACUACUUGAACCUUUCAAUAAUUCAGACUUGUGUUUCAUCAAGUAAAUAUACUCAACAUCUACUCAAAUCAUCUGUGAAGUAAGAACAUAACGAUAUCCACUGCGUGCCUCAGCACUCAUUGGACUGCACACAUCAAAAUGUAUUACUUCCAACAAGUUGCUUUCUUGUUCCAUCUCACUAAAAACGAGGCCUUUCAGUCAUAUUGCCCAUGUGGUAUUAUUUGCAUGUCUCAAGUGAUUCAAAAUCAAGUGAGUCCAAACGAUCCAUUUGUAUGGAGUUUCUUCAUGCAUAUAUACCAAUGGACAUGGUUCGCAUGUCUCAAUCUUUUCAAAAACGAGUGAGUCCAAAGAUCCAUCAACAUGGAGCUUCUUCAUGCGUUUUAUAUCAAUAUGACUCAAAUGGUAGUGCCACAAGUAUGUGGUACUAUCAUUACUAUCUUAUAUCUUUUGGCAUGAACAUGUGUAUCACUAUGAUCGAGAUUCAAUAAACCAUUCAUUUUAGGUGCAAGACCUUUGAAGGUAUUAUUCAAAUAAACAAAGUAACCAUUAUUCUCCUUAAAUGAAUAACCAUAUUGCGAUAAACAUAAUCCAAUCAUGUCUAUGCUCAACGCAAACACCAAAUAACAAUUAUUUAGGUUUAACACCAAUCUCGAUGGUAGAGGGAGCAUGCGAUGCUUGAUCACAUCAACCUUGGAAACACUUCCCACACAUAUCUUCAUCUCACCUUUAGCUAGUCUCCGUUUAUUCCGCAGCUUUUAUUUUGAGUUACUAACACUUAGCAACCGAACCGGUAUCUAAUACCCUGGUGCUACUAGGAGUACUAGUAAAGUACACAUUAAUAUAAUGUAUGUCCAAUAUACUUCUGUCGACCUUGCCAGCCUUCUCAUCUACCAAGUAUCUAGGGUAGUUCUGCUUCAGUGACCGUUCCCUCAUUCCAGAAGCACUUAGUCUCAGGUUUGGGUUCAACCUUGGGUUUCUUCACUAGAGCAGCAACUGAUUUGCCAUUUCAUGAAGUAUCCCUUCUUGCCCUUGCCCUUCUUGAAACUAGUGGUUUUACUAACCAUCAACAAUUGAUGCCCGUACUCAAUUUCUACUUUCACGGUGUCAAACAUCACGAAUUGCUCAAGGAUCAUCAUGUCUAUCCCUGACAUGUUAUAGUUCAUCACGAAGCUCUAAUAGCUUGGUGGCAGUGACUAUGGAGAACCAUCACUAUCUCAUCUGGAAGAUUAACUCCCACUCAAUUCAAGUGAUUGUAGAACUCUGACAAUCUGAGCACAUGCUCAAUGAUUGAGCUUUUCUCCCUUAGUUUGCAGGUUAAGAAACUCGUCAGAGGUCUCAUACCUCUUGACGUGGGCACUAGCCUGAAAUCCCAAUUUCAGCCCUUGGAACAUCCUCUAUGUUCCGCGACGUUUCAGAAAUCGUCUUCGGCGCCUCAAUUCUAAACUGUUUAACAUUACUGAACUAUCACAUAGUCAUCAAAACGUGUAUGUCAGAUGUUUGCAACAUCCACAUACGACGUUUGAGGUUCAGCACACCGAGCGGUGCAUUAAGGACAUAAGCCUUCUACGCAGCAAUGAGGACAAUCCUCAGUUUACAGACCCAUUCCGCAUAAUUGCUACUAUCAACUUUCAACUAAAUUUUCUCUAGGAACAUAUCUAAAACAGUAGAACUAAAGCGUAAGCUACGACAUAAUUUGCAAAGACCUUUUGACUAUGUUCAUGAUAAUUAAGUUCAUCUGAUUAUUUAAUGAACUCCCACUUAGAUAGACAUCCCUCUAGUCAUCUAAGUGAUACAUGAUCCGAGUCAACUAGGCUGUGUCCGAUCAUCACGUGAGACGGACUAGUCAUCAUCGGUGAACAUCUUCAUGUUGAUCAUAUCCACUAUACGACUCAUGUUCGACCUUUCGGUCUCUUGUGUUCCGAGGCCAUGUAUGUACAUGCUAGGCUCGUCAAGUCAACCUAAGUGUUUCCCGUGUGUAAAUCUGGCUUACACCCGUUGUAUGUGAACGUUAGAAUCUAUCACACCCGAUCAUCACGUGGUGCUUCGAAACAACGAACUUUCGCAAUGGUGCAUAGUUAGGGGGAACACUUUCUUGAAAUUAUUAUGAGGGAUCAUCUUAUUUACUACCGUCGUUCUAAGCAAAUAAGAUGCAUAAACAUGAUAAACAUCACAUGCAAUCAAAUAGUGACAUGAUAUGGCCAAUAUCAUUUUGCUCCUUUUGAUCUCCAUCUUCGAGGCUCCAUGAUCAUCAUCGUCACCGGCAUGACACCAUGAUCUCCAUCAUCAUGAUCUCCAUCAUCGUGUCUCCAUGAAGUUGUCUCGCCAACUAUUACUUCUACUACUAUGGCUAACGGUUUAGCAAUAAAGUAAAGUAAUUACAUGGCGUUAUUUAAUGACACGUAGGUCAUACAAUAAAUUAAGACAACUCCUAUGGCUCCUGCCGGUUGUCAUACUCAUCGACAUGCAAAUCGUGAUUCCUAUUACAAGAGCAUGACCAAUUUCAUACAUCACAUAGCAUUCAUCACAUUCUUUUGGCCAUAUCACAUCACAUAGCAUACCCUGCAGAAACAAGUUAGACGUCCUCUAAUUGUUGUUGCAUGUUUUACGUGGCUGCUAUGGGUUUCAAGCAAGAACGUUUCUUACCUACGCAAAAGCCACAACGGUGAUAUGCCAAUUGCUAUUUACCCUUCAUAAGGACCCUUUUCAUCGAAUCUGAUCCGACUAAAGUGGGAGAGACUGGCACCCGUUAGCCACCUUAUGCAACAAGUGCAUGUCAGUCGGUGGAACCUGUCUCACGUAAGUGUACGUGUAAGGUCGGUCCAGGCCGCUUCAUCCCACAAUACCGUCGAAAAAAGAUAGGACUAGUAACGGUAAGCAUAUUGAACAAAAUGAACGCCCACAACAACUUGUGUUCUACUCGUGCAUAGAAUCUACACAAUAGACCUAGCUCAUGAUGCCACUGUUGGGGAUCGUUGCAGAAACUAAAAAAAAAUCUACGCAUCACCAAGAUCAAUCUAUGGAGAGACUAGCAAUGAUAGAGAGGGGAGUGCAUCUUCAUACCUUUGAAGAUCGCUAAGCACAAGCAUUACAAGAACGCGGAUGAUGGAGUCAUACUCGUGGCGAUUCAAAUCGCGGAAGAUGCAAUCUAGCACCGAACGGACGGCGGCUCCGCGUUCAACACACGUACAGCCAGGGACGUCUCCUCCUUCUCGAUCCAGCAAGGGGAGAGGAGAAGUUGAGGGAGAACUCCGGCAGCACGACGGCGUGGUGGUGGAGCUUGCAGUUCUCCGGCAGGGCUUCGCCAAGCACUACUGAGGAGGAGGUGGAGUUGGAGAGGGGAGGGCUGCGCCAGGGGAAAGGGUGAAGCUCCCAUGCACCUCCCCACUAUAUAUAGGGGUGGAGGGGGCUGGUUUCUUGCCCUCCAAGUCCAUUGGGGCGUUGGCAAAGGUGGGAGGAAAGAAAUCCCAUCAUUUCCUUCCCCACCGAUUGUUAUCCCCCCUUUCUAGGGAUCUUGAUCUUAUCCUUUCGGGAUAUGAUCUUAUUCCUUCUGAGGGGGGAUCUUGGUGCGCCUUGACCAGGGGUGUGGGGCCUUGCCCCCACUAUCCACGUUCAUGUGGGUCCCCCCAUGCAGGUGGGACCCACUCUAGAACCUUCUAGAACCUUCUCGGUACAAUACCGAAAAAUCCCGAACAUUUUCCGAUGGCAAAAAUAGGACUUCCCAUAUAUAGAUCUUUACCUCCGAACCAUUCCGGAACUCCUCGUGACGUCUGGGAUCUUAUCCGGGACUCCAAACAACAUUCGGUAACUGCAUACUAAUUCCCAUAACAACUCUAGCGUCACCGAACCUUAAGUGUGUAGACCCUACGGGUUCGGGAAUCAUGCAGACAUGACCGAGACAGCUCUCUGGCCAAUAACCAACAGCGGGAUCUGGAUACCCAUGUUGGCUCCCACAUGUUCCAUGAUGAUCUCAUCGGAUGAACCACGAUGUCAAGGAUUCAAGCAAUCCCGUAUACAAUUCCCUUUGUCAAUCGGUAUGUUACUUGCCCGAGAUUCGAUCGCCGGUAUCCCAAUACCUCGUUCAAUAUCGUUACCGGCAAGUCACUUUACUCGUUCCAUAAUGCAUGAUCUCGUGACUAACUACUUAGUCACAUUGAGCUCAUUAUGAUGAUGCAUUACCGAGUGGGCCCAGAGAUACCUCUCCGUCAUCGGAGCGACAAAUCCCAGUCUCGAUUCGUGCCAACCCAACAGACACUUUCAGAGAUACCUGUAGUGCACCUUUAUAGCCACCCAGUUACGUUGUGACGUUUGGUACACCCAAAGCAUUCCUACGGUAUCCGGGAGUUACACAAUCUCAUGGUCUAAGGAAAUGAUACUUGACAUUAGAAAAUCUCUUAGCAAACGAACUACACGAUCUUGUGCUAUGCUUAGGAUUGGGUCUUGUCCAUCACAUCAUUCUCCUAAUGAUGUGAUCCCGUAUCAAUGACAUCCAAUGUCCAUGGUCAGGAAACCAUAACCAUCUAUUGAUCAACGAGCUAGUCAACUAGAGGCUCACUAGGGACAUGUUGUGGUCUAUGUAUUCACACAUGUAUUACGGUUUCCAGUUAAUACAAUUAUAGCAUGAACAAUAGACAAUUAUCAUGAAUAAGGAAAUAUAAUAAUAACCAUUUUAUUAUUGCCUCUAGGGCAUAUUUCUGACAUCUUCGCCAUGGUUACAGCUCCAUCUUGGGCCCUCCCAAUAUCAGAAUUUCUGGAGAACGGGGUUCUCCCCAUGGACAAGACCGAAGCUCGACAGGUGCAGCGCCGGGCGUCCGCCUACAGCAUCAUCAACAACGAGCUCGUCAAGCGCAGCUCCACCGGUGUUUUCCAGUGUUGCGUCGAGCAGGAACAUGGCAUCGACAUCCUCCUCGACAUCCACCAGGGCGAGUGUGGGCACCACGCCGCAUCGAGAUCCCUGGUGGUCAAGGUGUUCCACCACGGUUUCUACUGGCCCAUGGCCCUCGAAGACGCCGAGUCGCUCGUUCUCAAGUGUGAAGGGUGCCAGCGCUUCAGCAAACGCAGCCACCAGCCGGCGUCAGCACUCCGCACCAUACUGAUCGCCUGGCCCUUCGUGGUCUGGGGACUCGACAUGGUGGGACCCUUCAAAACCGCUCGAGGCGGCAUGACGCACCUGCAUGUGGCAGUGGACAAAUUCACCAAGUGGAUCGAGGCAAGACCAAUCAAGAAACUGGACGGGCCAACAGUCGUCCGGUUCAUCAAGGACAUAGCGGUACGCUACGGCAUGCCAAACAACAUCAUCACCGACAAUGGCACCAACUUUGCCAAGGGUGCGCUCAAGCAAUACUUCUCUAUCUCUGGCAUCCGCCUCGACCUGGCCUCUGUUGCGCAUCUGCAGUCCAACAGGCAGGUCGAGCGGGCCAACGGACUCAUCCUGUCUGGCAUCAAGCCGCGACUCGUUGAGCCACUCAUCCGCUCACUCGGCAGCUGGCUCAACGAGUUGCCGGCCGUUCUCUGGAGUCUUCGCACCAUGCAGAAUCGGUCGACCGGGUUCACCCCGUUCUUCCUCGUCUACGGAGCCGAAGCCAUCAUCCCGACUGACGUCGAUUUCGACUCGCCGCGCAUCGCGAUGUACACCGAAGCCGAAGCCAGAGAAGCCCGCGAAGAUGGCGUCGACCUACUCAAAGAAGCACGCCUCGUGGCGCUCAGUCGCUCGGCCAUCUACCAGCAAGGCCUGAGGCACUACCACAUCAAGAAGAUCAAGCCCCUCGCAUUCCGCGAGGGCAACCUCGUCCUCCGACUCAUCCAAGGCAGGCAGGCCAGCACAAGCUGUCCCCUCCAUGGGAGGGCUCAUUCAUCAUGAGCAGGGCCUUACGCGAUCGCAACGCCUACUACCUCAUCGAUGCACGCAAGUCAAAGAAGCGCAAGAAGGACACCGCUGGUGAAGAAACGACCCGGCCAUGGAACGCGGAACUCCUCCGCCCAUUUUACUGUUAGCCGCGCAAGUGUAUGUAUCGUCGCCAUUUGUAAAUGCAUGAAACUAUGGGGUCCCCAAACAAGACUCGGGGGUUGCCUUUUGUCGACCAAUUUAUUGUGUCCCUAUUUUUCUGCAUCACUAUACCACUGAACCCGGCCACCGGACCGACUCGCUCGACCCGGAGGCUCGGGGGCUGGCCGGCUCGGUCGCCACCCCGCCGCCUUACUUGGUGAUUCCUGAGAAAGUUAGGAUGCCGCGGUCCCCCACUUCGCCCUAAAGCCACAGAUCUAGCUUUGGCUGUCGGCUGGCAAGCACAAUGGGCCAAAGCUCCUUUACGCUUCAUACACUAAGUCAAAGGCUGUCUGGUUGAUCAACCCGGCCCGCCAUUCAUCAAAUGAACAACCGCACAACCGGCUGCUCGCCAACCGGCUUCGCCGGAUUGCCGCCAGCCGGCCCAGUGGGUGUUUCGCUCGCGCUCAACGUUUCAAAGGACCCAAGUCUUGCACGCUCCUUUCGAAGAAUCGAACUCCUUGUCACAGACCGGAGCCUCGGCUGUCUGACUCGCGGGGGGGGGGGAGGUUUGAGAAAGGAAAAGCGCAUGAAGUCAGUCUGAAAAACGGAAGGCAAAAAGCAAAAGCACUCACGACAUGUACACAAACAUUUAACAAAAGGCCCACGGCCCGAGUUCAUUACACCCUANNNNNNNNNNNNNNNNNNNNNNNNNNNNNNNNNNNNNNNNNNNNNNNNNNNNNNNNNNNNNNNNNNNNNNNNNNNNNNNNNNNNNNNNNNNNNNNNNNNNNNNNNNNNNNNNNNNNNNNNNNNNNNNNNNNNNNNNNNNNNNNNNNNNNNNNNNNNNNNNNNNNNNNNNNNNNNNNNNNNNNNNNNNNNNNNNNNNNNNNNNNNNNNNNNNNNNNNNNNNNNNNNNNNNNNNNNNNNNNNNNNNNNNNNNNNNNNNNNNNNNNNNNNNNNNNNNNNNNNNNNNNNNNNNNNNNNNNNNNNNNNNNNNNNNNNNNNNNNNNNNNNNNNNNNNNNNNNNNNNNNNNNNNNNNNNNNNNNNNNNNNNNNNNNNNNNNNNNNNNNNNNNNNNNNNNNNNNNNNNNNNNNNNNNNNNNNNNNNNNNNNNNNNNNNNNNNNNNNNNNNNNNNNNNNNNNNNNNNNNNNNNNNNNNNNNNNNNNNNNNNNNNNNNNNNNNNNNNNNNNNNNNNNNNNNNNNNNNNNNNNNNNNNNNNNNNNNNNNNNNNNNNNNNNNNNNNNNNNNNNNNNNNNNNNNNNNNNNNNNNNNNNNNNNNNNNNNNNNNCAUUCAUCAAAUGAACAACCGCACAACCGGCUGCUCGCCAACCGGCUUCGCCGGAUUGCCGCCAGCCGGCCCAGUGGGUGUUUCGCUCGCGCUCAACGUUUCAAAGGACCCAAGUCUUGCACGCUCCUUUCGAAGAAUCGAACUCCUUGUCACAGACCGGAGCCUCGGCUGUCUGACUCGCGGGGGGGGGGAGGUUUGAGAAAGGAAAAGCGCAUGAAGUCAGUCUGAAAAACGGAAGGCAAAAAGCAAAAGCACUCACGACAUGUACACAAACAUUUAACAAAAGGCCCACGGCCCGAGUUCAUUACACCCUAAAAAAACAGUGGGCGGGUGGACCUGCUACUUAACAAAUUUUGCAAAGUAUCUCAGGCAUCUCCAGCACCGCAUCGUGAAGUCGAGGGCCCUCCCCUGGCAGCCUUCGGGUCCGGCGAGUCGCCGGUGUCCUCCUCGGCAUCCGCGUCACCAUAGACGCCCGUCUCCUCCGAGCUCCCCUCCGGAUCAUGGAGAAGCAAGCCGUAGUCGUCGCCAUCCACGGCCCUGCCGUCUUCCAUUCGCUCCGGAUGGAACUCAUCGUGGAAGGCGAACUCGGCGAUGUAGCUGGCCCGAGAGGCGAUCCGGACGGCUUGCUCCUGCAGCAACUGCUCCGAGCCGGCCUGCUGGCCCAUCAACGCGUCCAGCUGAACAUCCGGAUGCCAAGAUAGCGCAAACCGGAGCGCCAUCUCGGCACCGGCACGAGCGGCGGAGACACGCCACUCGCCAAGCCGGUCCGGGCCCGUCUCCAACCAGCACGCCAGGCGCGUGAAGGUCCAACGCCGCCUCCUCCUGGGUCUAAGGCCCGAAGACAGCAGCGCCCCCGCUCCAUGCCGGCUGCGCGCGGCAACUCGACACCCUCCCUGCCGGGGCACCAAGGCGUGCCCACCGCUGGCCGCUUGCGACGCGGCCAGCACCUCCUUCGACGCCCCUCCCGGCGCCGACGAUGACCCGGACGCCGGGACGCCCUGCGUCACCACCACCGGCGCAGCUGCCGGGGUGGCCUCCGGCACCGCCGCCUGCAGUGCCUCCUCCAUAGCCGGCGGCGCCUCUUCCAAGAUGACGCCACCUCCACCACCAUCAGCCCGCGCGCGCUCGACCACGUCGGCCCGCGGCGGGGUAUCGCCCCCCACCUCCACCACCUGCUAGUCGAGGAUCACCACCUCAGCCCGGCCUCCAUGGCCGCGCUCCCUCACCGAUGACGGCUCAAAGACCGUCGCCGCCACCACCGUGCCCUCCGGCAUCUCGCGCCAGGCCGGCUCGCGCCUAUGCCGCCGCCGCAUCGAUCCAAGCCUGGACCGACGCCGCCUCCAGCUCCGCCUCGUCCCGGUUCCUGUCCUGCCAGGCCAAGGCUUUGGCGUCGUUCAGGUCCAGGCCAAGGUUCGAGUCGGCCCGUACCUCCACCUCGACCUGGUUGGCGAGGUCGGACCGGCUCCUGCGGAACGCUACCCCUUCGGCAGUUGUGGCUUCUGCUGCCGCCCUCGCCAGCGCGAUUGGCGACCUGAAGAAGAAGACAGAAUGAGCAAAAAAGAAACAAGACUAGCUCAAAAAAUCCGGGCGCAAACAAGAAAUGAAGGUUACCCUGUCAAGACCGGGACCGGGGUUGGCCUCCUGUGCCCGCCGCCGCGCUUCUUCUUGGCCGGCCUCUCGGCCCCUGCCGGGUCCGCUGUACGCUUCGGGGCCCGGGGUCGCGGUGCGACACUGUCUUUCCCAUACAGGCGGCUCGGCGCUGCCCCAUGCGAGGACCCGGCUCCGCCUGCAUCGCCGUCUCCCCCGCCCAGUGCCACUACACCAACAGCCGGCGUCAGCAUCGCCCACGCCGCGCCAUGAUCAGCAUUUCAAGACACAUGAACAGAGAAAACAUAUAGAACUUACCCGCGCGACGCCUAGCGCCGGCGUCGGACUCGGCCACCUCCUCCUCGCCAGGGGCCGCGGGCUCCUCUGGCGCCACCGACACCACCUGCGAGGAGCCUGGGCGUAAGGAUGCCGAAUCACGUUCAGAAGUAUCACCCGCGUCGCGUCGGGACGAAGGAGAAGGUGCGCCGCAGCAAAGUAAGAAGACCAAACACUCACCUGCGGCACCGGGUUUGACUCGCUGUACGGCGCCUUGCCGAACUGUCAGUCCUCUCCAAGGUUGGCCUUGGAGAUGUCGUUCACGCCGCGCGCAAUCUGCUCCGCGGACAGCCACGUCGACCCCAUGCUGUUGGGGUCCUGAAGGCCGAUCAUUUCUCCAAUGAGGCAGGAGCGCCUCUGGAGCGGAAGGACCCGGCGCAUGAUGAACGCGACAAGGAGGUUGGUGCCAGUGAGCCCCUCCUACGUCCUCAUCACCGUCACCCGCUCGCACAGGUUGACGAUCUCCUGCGACGGGCGCCUGAGCGAGUAGCCCCAGUUCGUCUUCGCCCGCGGCGGCGCGAUGGCGAAGAGCGGAAGGUUGAUGUGGUCCACACCAAGGUUGCAGACGUAGAAGAAGGAGUUCUGCCACUUCUUGGCAGAAUCCUCCAGCGGGAUCUUGGGGACAUCCGCCCCCGACCGCUUCGAGAUGAUGGCGGCGCCGUAGUCGGUGAACUCCCCGGCCGAUGGGCCCUGCUGCUUCAAGGAGAAGAAGCGUGCCAAGAGGUUGAUCGUGGGCUCGACCCCCAGGUACCCCUUGUAGAGGGUGACGAAGCCGGAGAGCUGGACGAUGGUGCCGGCGCCAAGAUGAUGCGGCUGGAGCCCGAAGAACUCCAGGAACGCGCGGAAGAAGGUGCUCGCCGGCAGCCUGAACCUGGGCUCGAAGUGUGUGAGGAAGACCACGCGCUCCUGCUCCUCGGGCAGAGGCCUCUGCUCGCCGUGUGGCAGGCGAACGCCGACGUCCAUCUCCCGCGGCAAGCGCUGCGACGCCCGAAGCUGGAUGAUGUCCUCGGUGGUGAUGUUCGAGCCCAUCCAGGAGCCUGACGACAGCGCCAUGGACGAAAGAAGAAGGAAGCAGAUGGACGAUGGAGGAAGUUCUGCUUGGAGCAGCGGGCGCCGCAGUGCGUCGGUUGCAAAGAGCGGAGCGAGAGCAAAGGGACAGGAGGGUGCGAGCGAGAAUAAUGUCUGCCGCCCCCUGCCCCCCAAUUUAUAACCCUCGGUUCAAACGUGGGGGAGUGGGAUCGUCUGCACGCGCCCGUUCCACUACCCCGCAAUAAGUGCGCACGUACACGUGCAGUAACUUUCCGGGGAAGUGCAACCGACCCCCGGAAGCCGCAAUAAAUCCGCGUGCGUGGGCCAAGGGCACGCGGCGGUGGGUCCCAUCCCGUCGCCCAGUCCCGUCACGCGUGUGGCCUGUCAGGCCCCUCCGGCUUCCGGCCACCACGUGGCGCCCGCGCAAAGCCUGAGGGAUUGCCCCAAGAUUUGACGGACUACUCGGUUCCCGCCACGGCCGGGAUGCCGCAAUCCGGUUUCCGAGAAAAACCGGCACAUAAUGGGUGUUGCCGGACCCGGCGCUUGCAGAAUCCCCCUUGCUUAAGGGGAAAACUGUGAAGGCACACUCAUCCGAAGACGGCGGACCUUCACAGCUUCGGGGACUACUGUCGGGGGGAUGAACCACGGGCAGGCAACGGAACCCGGAUCCUCUUCAAAAAUAGUGGGGCCCACAUCACCCCUCAAACCGGCACGCGCCCGGCCGGGUCGCUCGACCCGGCAAGGCCCGCAACCGGCCAAACUCUCCGACCCGGCAAGGUACGUCGACCCGGCCUCAGCAACUGGCGCAAGGCAGCCGAACCCGGUACGACCAAGGCUUCCCCAACAAGCCGACCCCACCCGUGGCGUACACCGCAAUCCAGCCACGGGUCAAGCUCCCGUCCCAUCCAGGCCGUACGAUGGGACGAGACCUCAAUCACUGAUGACCAAGACAACAGUGCUUCCACCCAUGCCUAUGGUCAGCCGGAGCGUGGCAACAGUGCCCCUCACCUACCCGCUGGCCGGGGCUGGCGUGGCAACAGUGCUCCCACCCUCACCGCUGACGGCAGCAAGCGGCAACCUGACGGAGAUCACUGUACGCGACUCGACUCGGCCAGGCCCUGACGAUCGACAAGACGGCGCACAGUCCCCCUAGACAUGCGGGGCCCACACCUAGGGGAACCUGGCGAACCACAAGCCCUCAGCGGGACCCAUCCCGGCAUCCCGGACACUGACAAUACAGACCCAUCGACUCGACGUAUUACCAUUGUAACCCUGGGGGGUUUGAUCUAUAAAAUCCCCCAGGAACCCACGCCUACUGGGGCAUGUACAAGGUAGCAUGUGAGAAACAGAUACAAGGGACAAGCAAGCAAGCAUAGGACUAGCCACCAAACCGCAACACCGGAGAGAAGGAGCAGCCCAAGCCUUGGCCAGCUUCCUUCCUCCUCCAUACAGCUCCAGGAGCAACAUUGUACUAUCGAUCAUCCAACUACACUCGGCAGGACUAGGGGUAUUAUCUCUCCGGAGAGCCACGAACCUGGGUAUGUCUAGCGUCCCGCGCCCGCUCAUGCCAACCUCGCCUCUGGAGACCACCAGCGCCCUCGAGUCUCCUCCUCUCUUUAGCCAUCCCUUGGCAUCUGCCGUGCGCCCACCACGACACUUAUAAUCCAAUAAUGCAUGUUGCAUGAUCAAGGAUUCUCAUAGGUAGAUCGGACGAAUGCUAGUUGAUCUAGAUAGUAAAUCUAACAUCUAUAACAACUCUAAUGAUGUGAAAGCAUGCAUGUUGAGAUAAUUAAAAGUAGCGGGAUCACUCUUUUAGAUAGGUUAUGAUCCAAAUAAAACACAUCAGUUUGUAUUGAAUUCGACAAUUGUUAGAACACUAUACUUUUUGUUCAGGGAUUGCCUACUUCCGCUUGGUCAAUAUGCAUGUGACAUUUUCUAUCUGCCCACGACACCACUCACAAAAUUAGAAUCGCCUUUUCUAUUUCUAUUGCUUCAUAUAGGAAUGUUAAGACGUCACCUACUCCAUGAUUUGGACACUACACGAUUAAAUGCAUGAAGCAUGUUUUGCGGCACACACCAAAAUAAAAGAUUAGGAUUGCUUUUACAGAAAUAAAGAAUAAACGCCAAUGGAUGUCUCACAACCCUCUUGAGGGCGUCGUGGUCUCCCUCCCUGUUCUAGGGUUCAAGUUGAAAACCCAAGUUCAUUCCUUUGGACGCGACAAGGACGAUGCUCUACGUCACUACCCUAUUGGGUGCGUUGAGGUGGAACUCUGGUACCUUUCGUUUGCGGUGGAAGGUCGUCUUAGGGCAUGCUUGGAUUGUACCUCGAAGUAUCUUGGGUUCCAAAGUGGGAUGGUCCAGUUGGUCUCUUAUCGGUUCCAUGCGACUGCGUCGGCAUCGCUAUUGGCCUGUACUACUCCUCGGUCCGGAGUGAGAGGGCAGGUGUGGCCCUCUCUGACGACAUUUGACGAGGGCUUUGUUGCACGGUCCAAUGGUUCCUUUUGAAGACGUGAGCUCAUACGGUAUCGCCACCAGAGGCGAUUUGCUGGAGUCUGCCUACUCAUGUACUCUUUCUCGCUGGCGCAACCAUACGCUUGUAGUGUGUCUCGUGUGUGUUGUCUAUGUUAUAUCUUGGACCCUGAUAAGUGCUAUACCUAUGCCACGAACACAUGACAACUUCAAGCAUUUUUAUGGCAAUUUUAGUGACGUCAGGAUGACAACUUUAAUUGUCAGGCAUGAGAACUUCUUUUCGGAUGGCAAGUUUCAAUUUUUUUUUCUUUUCGGAUGGCAAUUUUAGUUCAAAAAACGUCAGGGCCGGAGUGCUUCGUGUCACUUGUGUGGCACUCAUCAUUUGGAUACAUCUUUUGUUGCCAGCUCUUUCUUUAAUAUGUUUUUCAUAAAAGGAUUUCCUUGUGUAUUGUUCAUCAGUCCGGGUUUUAUACAUUAAUUUUUUUUGAGAAUGGGUUUUAUACAUUAAUAAUGCGGAGUCGAUGUCUAUUUUUUGAAAUAAAGAAAACGGCCCAAAGGCCUGAAACCACCAAUGAACAGAGAUGGGAAAACAUCAAAUAAAAAGGUUGAGAAAAGAAUGUUUGAGUUCAGGUCCCCAACCAAAUCGAGUGAGGAUGAGUUCUUGGACUCUUUUUUGUAGAACAUAUAUUACGAUGGACUCUUUACCGGGCGUAUCCCUACCAAACAAAUCACGUUUAACACGAGCAAUACGUAGUUACGUGCUGUUCCCAAACAUACUCCUAUUUAUUCUUCGCCUUGAGUUGCUCGACAAAAUCGGCGAUCAUCAUGCUACCGGCGAAGAAACGAGCGGGGCACCACCGCAGUCCGUGGUCCGACCUCCCGCACGAUCUGCUUACAACCAUCCUCGUCCGUCUCACCGCAACCUCCCCGGCCCUUCGCGACCGCGCCCGCUUCGGCGGCGUGUGCCAGACAUGGCGUGCCGCCGAGCGCGCCCACCCGCGCCCUCCUGUGCCAUGGCUCGUCGCCCCUGGGCACUACGUCAGCCUCCACGACGCCGCCAUCUACCGCGUCCCGCUGCCCGAGGACGCCGCCGCUGCCACCUGUCGAGGUUCCUUCGGCGACUGGCUCGCCCUCGUGCCGCCGGUGUCAGGGCGCCCCUUCUUGCUCAACGCUUUCACAAAGGAGCGAAUCAGGCUGCCGCGGUGGACGAAAGAGCCGAUGGUUAAGUUUGUCCUGUCGUCCAAGCCGGAUGCCAAGGCUUGCACUGUGGCUGCCAUUGUUGAGAUUGGAGACGGCGCCUACAGGAUGAGUUGUAAGGUCGUUAUCUGCCACCUGAGGCGGGGACGACAACAAGGGCGCUCCUGGGAGAUCCUGACUAAGGCGUUCAAGCUCCAAGACAUCACCUUCUUCGAGGGGAAACUCCAUGCCCUUGACACAGAAGCCUGCCUCCAUGUCUUCCAGGAAGAAGACCUACAACAGCGCCCUCAUCAGCGGUGGAGCAUGCCACCUGCGAAGCAGCAAUUCUACGACGUCAAGCUGCACCUGGUUGUCCUCCAUGGGAGGCUGCACAUGGUCGGCAGGGGCUUAGGGACGACCCGGUGGACGACAUUCACCAACAAUAUAGGGGUCUUCGCGCUCGUCGGCGAGAUGACGAAGCCACCGGUGCCAGUCAAGGACUUUGACGGGCACGCGAUCUUUGUCGGCGACGCCUGCUGCGACGCUUUCGUAGUUGAGGCAGCUGCUUUAGGCCGCAUGAUAAGAGAGAACCAGAUUUGUUUCGUCGACGACGAGAAGAACAUGAUGUCGCUGGCCACCACCGGCCGCCGGCCUUUCCGGCUGCUGCAAUCCUACGACGUGCGCAACGGCUGCCUCCGCGCAUACGGACCCAGCACCGCCGCGGUGGGGACCUGGCGGUGCGUCACGGCACAGCGUUUCCCGCAGAGCAGCGCCAUUGGACCACCGCUGCGGGCCUCUCUGUCGAAGGCGGAGCUGCUGCUGUGGAACGUGGCCAACUGCCUGGGAGCAUGGGACCGGCCCUUAUAUACAACGCGCCAUCAGGACGAUGGCGCAGGCGUCGCCGUGACAGUGGAGAUCGAGGUGCCCAAGACAUCCAGAAUAAUGGAAGGGGAAGAGCCCCUCUUUGAGUGGAGUUUCACGCAGCAGCGGGGGUCAGCCAAGAAAGCGAAGCAGGCGGCGGCGCACGAGGCCGUCACGUUCCUGCGGAGUCGGUUUCGCAGCAUCCUAGACGACAGCCCCUGGAGCUCCGUCCCUCACUACCAUAGCCACGUCGACGAGGAGGAAGAAGCAGUCCAAGAAGACGACGCCGAAGGCGGCAGUUUGUUUGGGUAUACACAUUGGUACGGUGACAUUAACUACUAGCUAAGGUGCUCUGCUUUGGCCUUCCGUUGAGCGUCACUUGCUUUGCUCUGCAGAAACGUGUUGGGCGUGUGCAAAACAUGCGCUUGAUUGGAGAGAUCAAGAACUCGUGUUUAUGCAAUGUUAUAAAAGAGUCGGCUUGGUUUUUAAUAGGACUCCAUAGCUAUAUAUAAACAUGUCAUGCCAGUAAAAGUUUGCAUUAGUUGAGUGUAUCUAAGUCACAUGUAAAAGUUGACGACAUAGUCCGGUCCUUUCAUCACACUUAACUUCACUCCCCUUCGCCACCCGAGCUCACCUUUGGCGGUUUCCGACAUUCUUCGCCAUGGCAGGCAAUGGAUCGGACUCCGACCAGUCCGGAUCCGUUGAUUGGGAUGUCAUCCCAUAUGGGUUGGAGGAGGCAAUGUCAAUCCGCAUUGCACUCCGCCGCUCCCGGGAGGACAGCGCCCGACCGACAGACGGAUCCGUCCGCCGCGACGCCACAGCGUCGGCUCAUCGGGCGCUUGGGUCCUCUGGUGCUGGAUCCUCGCAGUACCGGCCGGAACACCUGUCCUUCCCCAUCAUCGGUCGGGCAGAGUAUGAGUGCCACCGGGAACGGGCGGCCAUACUGCGUCUUUGACCGGUACAUCCGCGAGAAGGACGGGAAGAGCGCCGGGAAGAGUAAGGGCAACCGUGGAUGAAUUCCACCGUAGCCAAACAUGCCUAAUUUUGGUAGCCCGAUGACAUGUUUAGUGUAGUGUGAUGGAGUAACCGAACGAUGUGUGUACGUCAACGUAGUUGCAUGAGUUUUUAUGGAUUUGAGAUAUGGUAACUUAGGUGUCCGGAUGUGGAUUAUAUAUUUUGAGAAGUGUCCGAUCAAUGUCCGCGGAUUUUUGAGUGGCCGGAUUUGCCAAGUCCGCCUAUAGAUGCUACAAUGUUUUUGGCUUCGGCUAAGUUUCGGUUAGAGAAGUUGUCUAACCUGUUAUCGAUGAUCAGUUAGAUGCUCUUACCCUGCAUUCAAUCUUUUUUGAUCAAUUAUAAGUGACAUAUACUUUAGGAAAAACUGACGCAUUAGUAGCAUUUAUAAUAACGAGAAUGCUAAAUUCCUGCCGACUGGCAGUUUGCAUCAGAUCCGAACGAUCCGGAUCUCGUUCAUUCGGAAUCGAAUGGCAGUUAUCGAAGCGAGAAAAAGAAAGGGGCGUGGACGAGAAUCGAACCCCCGACGUCCUUGUAGGCACGCCACCGAACUAACCAUCUCACCCAAACUUCGUAGUUGUUAAAAUUGCGAACACCCUGGAUUUAAUGCAUAGUGGUCUUUUUUUGAGAUUAAAAAUCUGAAGAAGUUGCUAAUUUGAUGGCGCAUUUAGCGGAAAGACUUCCUGAAACGUUGAUGUCCGUGAUUUUCUCUCUGGAUUAGAUCCAUCAUGAUUUUUUCUGUGUGCUAGAUCUAUUGAUAGACCCUAUUUACAGGAAUUUUUUAGUCAAGAAAAUUGAUUCUCAAUAUAGGAUUCGAACCCACAGCAAGCAGCUUACGUGAAACACUUACCACUAGUAGAAAAGGGGCCAAUGGUCCAGGCCGGUCCAGCCCAUUAGUCCCGGUUUAACCCAGAACAGGGACCAAUGAUGGCAUUGGACCCGGUUCGUGAGCCCCGGGGGCCGGCCGGGCCACGUGGGCCAUUGGUCCCGGUUGGAGGGACGAACCGGGACCAAUGGUUCUCGCUCCUGGCCCACCAUCAUUGGUCCCGGUUGGUGGCAUGAACCGGGACCAAAGGCUGCCCUUUAGUCCCGGUUCAUGCCACCAACCGGGACGAAACGGUUGGUCCUUGUUGCGGUCACAGUUUAGUCCCACCUCGCCAACUGAAGGGGAAUUAGACCGGUUUAUUUUCUUUUUUGCUAUAUUUAUUUUUUUCUUUUUAUUUCUGAGUUGUAAUAAUUCAUUAAAAAUANNNNNNNNNNNNNNNNNNNNNNNNNNNNNNNNNNNNNNNNNNNNNNNNNNNNNNNNNNNNNNNNNNNNNNNNNNNNNNNNNNNNNNNNNNNNNNNNNNNNNNNNNNNNNNNNNNNNNNNNNNNNNNNNNNNNNNNNNNNNNNNNNNNNNNNNNNNNNNNNNNNNNNNNNNNNNNNNNNNNNNNNNNNNNNNNNNNNNNNNNNNNNNNNNNNNNNNNNNNNNNNNNNNNNNNNNNNNNNNNNNNNNNNNNNNNNNNNNNNNNNNNNNNNNNNNNNNNNNNNNNNNNNNNNNNNNNNNNNNNNNNNNNNNNNNNNNNNNNNNNNNNNNNNNNNNNNNNNNNNNNNNNNNNNNNNNNNNNNNNNNNNNNNNNNNNNNNNNNNNNNNNNNNNNNNNNNNNNNNNNNNNNNNNNNNNNNNNNNNNNNNNNNNNNNNNNNNNNNNNNNNNNNNNNNNNNNNNNNNNNNNNNNNNNNNNNNNNNNNNNNNNNNNNNNNNNNNNNNNNNNNNNNNNNNNNNNNNNNNNNNNNNNNNNNNNNNNNNNNNNNNNNNNNNNNNNNNNNNNNNNNNNNNNNNNNNNNNNNNNNNNNNNNNNNNNNNNNNNNNNNNNNNNNNNNNNNNNNNNNNNNNNNNNNNNNNNNNNNNNNNNNNNNNNNNNNNNNNNNNNNNNNNNNNNNNNNNNNNNNNNNNNNNNNNNNNNNNNNNNNNNNNNNNNNNNNNNNNNNNNNNNNNNNNNNNNNNNNNNNNNNNNNNNNNNNNNNNNNNNNNNNNNNNNNNNNNNNNNNNNNUGCUUCUAUUUAUUUCUGAGUAGUUUUUUAUAUAGUUUUUUUUUCUUUUCUGCUAUAUUUAUUUUUUUUCUUUUUAUUUCUGAGUUGUAAUAAGUCAUUAAAAAUAAGCAUCUAUGCUCAUUUUUUAGUUAAGUUAAUCACAACUAUUAAAAAUAAGUCAUUAAAAAUAAAAAAGAGGCGCAAUGCUCGUUAAUUUGCUUUAAGCCUUUCGGAAUAGUGUCAGUUGCACUGCCCAUAGCUCUGUGCAGUCUACCCUAUUCCUCAAGGCUUGAAGCUAACCAACGUGCAGGUGAGCAUUGAGCCUCUUCUUCAUCGUCUCUGCACUCAGGGCUUAUAAACAGCUGCGAGUGCCUCUCGCUUGGCGAGGUGAGACUAAAAAAACAGCUGCAGAAAGAAUCAACUAAAAAACAGCUGCAGAAAAUAAAAAAUUAGACGGGUCCAUUGGUACCGGUUGGUGGUGCCAACCGGUACCAAUGCCCCUCUUUUGUACCGGUUGGUGCCACCAACCGGUACCAAUGCCCCUCUUUUGUCCCGGUUAGAGCCACCAACCGGGACCAAAGGUCUUCGUUUCCCGCCCUUUGGGCUGCCGAAAAGAGGCCUUUGGUCCCGGUUGGUGACUCCAACCGAGACAAAAGAGAGGCAUUGGUCCCGGUUUGUGGCACGAACCGGGACCAAAGCCUUUGCUAUAUAAGUAGCAGUGCCGCCCCGCCCCGACUUCGAUCUCUCCCGAUGCCGCGCGCCAUCCCCUGCCGCCACCUCGCCGUCGCCGCCCCACCCCGACGCCAUCGCCGCCCACCCUGCCNNNNNNNNNNNNNNNNNNNNNNNNNNNNNNNNNNNNNNNNNNNNNNNNNNNNNNNNNNNNNNNNNNNNNNNNNNNNNNNNNNNNNNNNNNNNNNNNNNNNNNNNNNNNNNNNNNNNNNNNNNNNNNNNNNNNNNNNNNNNNNNNNNNNNNNNNNNNNNNNNNNNNNNNNNNNNNNNNNNNNNNNNNNNNNNNNNNNNNNNNNNNNNNNNNNNNNNNNNNNNNNNNNNNNNNNNNNNNNNNNNNNNNNNNNNNNNNNNNNNNNNNNNNNNNNNNNNNNNNNNNNNNNNNNNNNNNNNNNNNNNNNNNNNNNNNNNNNNNNNNNNNNNNNNNNNNNNNNNNNNNNNNNNNNNNNNNNNNNNNNNNNNNNNNNNNNNNNNNNNNNNNNNNNNNNNNNNNNNNNNNNNNNNNNNNNNNNNNNNNNNNNNNNNNNNNNNNNNNNNNNNNNNNNNNNNNNNNNNNNNNNNNNNNNNNNNNNNNNNNNNNNNNNNNNNNNNNNNNNNNNNNNNNNNNNNNNNNNNNNNNNNNNNNNNNNNNNNNNNNNNNNNNNNNNNNNNNNNNNNNNNNNNNNNNNNNNNNNNNNNNNNNNNNNNNNNNNNNNNNNNNNNNNNNNNNNNNNNNNNNNNNNNNNNNNNNNNNNNNNNNNNNNNNNNNNNNNNNNNNNNNNNNNNNNNNNNNNNNNNNNNNNNNNNNNNNNNNNNNNNNNNNNNNNNNNNNNNNNNNNNNNNNNNNNNNNNNNNNNNNNNNNNNNNNNNNNNNNNNNNNNNNNNNNNNNNNNNNNNNNNNNNNNNNNNNNNNNNNNNNNNNNNNNNNNNNNNNNNNNNNNNNNNNNNNNNNNNNNNNNNNNNNNNNNNNNNNNNNNNNNNNNNNNNNNNNNNNNNNNNNNNNNNNNNNNNNNNNNNNNNNNNNNNNNNNNNNNNNNNNNNNNNNNNNNNNNNNNNNNNNNNNNNNNNNNNNNNNNNNNNNNNNNNNNNNNNNNNNNNNNNNNNNNNNNNNNNNNNNNNNNNNNNNNNNNNNNNNNNNNNNNNNNNNNNNNNNNNNNNNNNNNNNNNNNNNNNNNNNNNNNNNNNNNNNNNNNNNGUAAUUAAUAUGUAGUUCAUAUUUUUAGUAAGUACUAUUUUAUUUUAUUUAUAGUAAGUGCUUCAUAUAUAUAUAGUUGAACUAGCUAGUUGAUUUAAUAAACUAAUUUAUUUUACUAUAUAUAGAAGUAGUUUGUUUUUAGUAAGUAGUACUUUAUUUAUUUAUAGUAAGUGCUUAAUUAGUAGUUGAACUAGAUAGUUGAUUUAAUUAAUAAAACUACUUUAUUUAACUAUAUAUAGAAGUAGUUCCCGCAUCGACGUCGGCGAUGCCUAUCCCGCAUCCUCGUCGUCGUCGACUCGGCGGUGGAGGCUUGCUUGAUCAGGGCCAUGUUCGGGACUGGGCUCCGCCGGACUGGUAUUGGGAGCUGCUACCUUCCGGCGGACGUAGGUUGGUGAGGAGGCAGCCCGUUGUUGACCCGAUCCUUGUUUGGUGGCGAUCGUGUGGGCCAGUGACGGCGUCGAGGCUUCCGAACACCACGGAGGUGGUACGUCACCGUGUCAGCGAGGAGGACGAGCACGUCCGUUGCUACAUGGUUGCAUUGGAGGGCAGGUUCGACAAUACCUGGCAGGUUCUUCAGGGAUCUCACUAGAGCUAUGAUCCUGUGAUGGUUCCUUAUCUUUGGGUGUCCACCGCCCGCAUCGAUACCCGUCGGGCGCUACGGUUCUAGUUGUAUUUAGUGAUGCUAUAUUAGUGAUUGAAAGAUCGAGGAUGUCGCCUAGAGGGGGGGUGAAUAGGCGCUUUAAAAUAAUUACAGUUUAGGCUUGAACAAAUGCGGAAUAAACCUAGCGGUUAAUUUGUCAAGCACAAAACCUACAACAACUAGGUCACCUAUGUGCACCAACAACUUAUGCUAAGCAAGAUAAGCAACUAUGUGAUAGCAAGAUAUAUGACAAAAACAAUAUGGCUAUCACAAAGUAAAAUGCAUAAGUAAAGGGGCUCGGGUAAGAGAUAACAAAGGCACGCGGAGACGAUGAUGUAUCCCGAAGUUCACACCCUUGCGGAUACUAAUCUCCGUUUGGAGCGGUGUGGAGGCACAAUGCUCCCCAAGAAGCCACUAGAGCCACCGUAAUCUCCUCACGCCCUCGCACAAUGCAAGAUGCCGUGAUUCCACUAAGGGACCCUUAAGGGCGGUCACCUAACCCGUACAAAUGGUGACCCUUGGGGGCGGUCACCGAACCCGUACACUUUGGCAACCCUUGGGGGAGGUCACCGGUACCCGUCAAAUUGCUCGGGGCGAUCUCCACAACCUAAUUGGAGACCCCGACGCUUGCCCGGAGCUUUACACCACAAUGAUUGAGCUCCGAACACCACCAACCAUCUAGGGCACCAAGGCACCCAAGAGGAACAAGCUCUAGGGUGCCCAAACACCCAAGAAUAAUAAGCUUCUCAAACUUCACUUCCACGUAUCACCGUGGAGAACUCAAACCGAUGCAUCAAAUGCAAUGGCAAGGGCACACGGAGUGCCCAAGUCCUUCUCUCCCAAAUCCCACCAAAGCAACUAAUGCUAGGGAGGAAAAUGAGAGGAAGAACGAAAGAAGAACAUGAAGAACUCCAAGAUCUAGAUCCAAGGGGUUCCCCUCACUUAGAGGAGAAAGUGAUUGGUGGAAACGUGGAUCUAGAUCUCCUCUCUCUUUUCCCUCAAGAACUAGCAAGAAUCCAUGGAGGGAUUGAGAGUUAGCAAGCUCGAAGAAGGUCAACAAUAGGGGAAGAACACGAGCUCAAGGGAUUAGGUUCAUUGGGGAAGAAGACCCCCUUUUAUAGGACAUCCCGAAUCCAACCGUUAUGUGCUCAGGUCGUGCACAAGCGGUACUAUCGCUUGGAGGAGCGGUACUACCGCUUAGCACGGUCAAAACAGCCCAACGAGAAAGAAAACACGAGUUUUUGGUCCGGAGCGGUACUACCGCUUAGGAGCCACGGUAGUACUGCUCUGGAGCGGUACUACCGCUCAGGAGCCGCGGUAGUACCGCUCUGGAGCGGUAGUAAAAAAUUACAUCCGCUCUAGUCGCGGUAGUACCUCUGCAGCCUUUACCAAAACAGCCACAACUUUUGCAAACGGACUCCGAAUUCAACGAAACCAAGUUUGUUGGGAAGCUAAUGACAUGGGCUAACACAAUAUUGAUAGAAAUACAAAGAAUAAGAAAAUGAGAAAAGUCCCAUAAGAAAAUGGUGAGAACCCUUCACCGGAUAAGACCGGUAAAACCUCCAACACCGAAAGCAUCAUAGAAGACGCAUGCGAACUCCAUUUUUGAUGAACUCAAGCUUGUCAUCAAGAUGACCAUAAGCUCUAAGACUCACAAAGAUAACCAAACAAGAACCAAGAAACAUGAUGCAAGGAUGCAAUGGUUUGAUCUCUCUACUAACGAUACGAUCAAGCUACCAACUUGAGAGCCCCCUUUGAUAGUACGUCAAACGAUCCUAUAACUCUGUCUCCCAACUACCACCACAAUACCGGUAAAAUAGAAAAACUAUCAAGGGAAAACCUUUGCCUUGCACAUGGUCCACUUGAGCUAGAUGAAGACGAUCUUGACUCCCUCAAGUUGGACCACCUUUCUUGAUUGCGUUGGCUCGAUGAAGACUAGAUGAUUGCUCCCUCAUAAUUCACUAUGGGUGAGCCACUCUUCGGCACAUCUUCACAAGUCCAUUGACACCACAAUGGAUGGCAAGAUUCAAGCACUUGAUCUCUUCGUGAUGCUGCACUUGAACUUGCACACAGCAAUCUUGAUGACGAUCACCACUUGAUGUCAUCCUUUCCGUGGGUUGUAUGAUAUCUUCCUCUUGACGCAAGCCCAUGGAUACGUACCUAACCCCACAUACAACUCUCACAUAGACCAUGGGUUAGUACAUAAGGUGCAAUGGACAAUGCUUACCAUACCAUGGGAUCACUUGAUCCCUCUCAGUACAUCUUCUACGCUUUGUGAGUUGAUCAACUUGAUUCACUAUUGACUUAGUCUUGAUCAACCUUGAAUCUUUGCAACUCUCUUCAUUUGGAUGAUGUAUUGAAGGUAAACAUGAAUGAUCACACAACCUUCUUCUUCUUCAAGACAUGCUUGCAAUAAGCUCAACACUCGCAUGACCAAUCUUUGGAUAGUUCCUUAAUAGCACCUUGGUCAACUCAUAAAAUCCUUGAAACCAACACAUGGACUUCAAGAAAAGCCUAUGGACAAAUCCUUCAAAUAUAACUCAAGACAACCAUUAGUCCAUAGAGAUUGUCAUCAAUUACCAAAACCAAACAUGGGGGCACCGCAUGUUCUUUCAAUCUCCCCAUUUUGGUAAUUGAUGACAAUCACUUUCAAGAGAGUUUAUAUAAGGAAUUUUGCAUCACCAUGCAAUGCAACAACCAAUAGUGCAUGCGAAUGAGAUGCAAAUGCUAAGGAACAAAACCAAAGCAAGAAGAGAUAACUCUCUAAACUUCUCCACAAAACUCUCUGAAACUUCUCCCCCAUUGGCAUCGAUUGCCAAAAUGGGCGAAAAGCUUAGAAGGCCAAUAUAAAUUGUGGUCCUCCAUAAAUUUGUAUUUCUCAACAAGAGAGUGGAAUGCAAUACACAUAUCCAACUGACAAUACUUGGAGGAAGACAAACUAUAUUGAUGGUUGUUGGUGUCAAAACCGGCGGAUCUCGGGUAGGGGGUCCGAACUGUGCGUCUAGGCAGAUGGUAACAGGAGACGAGGGACACGAUGUUUUUACCCUGGUUCGGGCCCUCUUGAUGGAGGUAAAACCCUACGUCCUGCUUGAUUAAUAUUGAUGAUGUGGGUUACAAGAGUAGAUCUACCAUGAGAUCAAGGAGGCUAAACCCUAGAAGCUAGCCUAUGGUAUGAUUGUUGUUCGUCCUAUGGACUAAAGCCAUCCGGUUUAUAUAGACACCGGAGAGGGCUAGGGUUACACAGAGUCGGUUAAAAAGGUAGGAGAUCUACAUAUCCGUAUUGCCAAGCUUGCCUUCCACGCUAAGGAAAGUCCCAUCCGGACACGGGACGAGGUCUUCAAUCUUGUAUCUUCAUAGUCUUGGAGUCCGGCCGAUGAUGAUAGUUCAGCUAUCCGGACACCCCCUAGUCCGGAACUCCCUCAGUAGCCCCUGAACCAGGCUUCAAUGACGACGAGUCCGGCGCGCAUGUUGUCUUCGGCAUUGCAAGGCGGGUUCCUCCUACGAAUAAUUUAUAGAAGAUUGUGAACACCAGGAUAGUGUCCGGCUCUGCAAAAUAAUUUCCACAUACCACCGUAGAGAGAAUAAUAUUCACACAAGUUCAAUCUGCUGACGCAUUCCAUGGCGUGACGUCACACCACAACCAAGCCUUUAUUUGGAACGUUUUUAUUGUACCACUUCAGCGCGUUUAGCGAAGCGGUUUCCUUGGCACGUCCUGUCGAAGCAGAGAUCGUGUUCCCCUUAUUCCAGGAUUCUCAUCAAUACGGACGUGGGUAACCCAACCGCGCUCGUUGCCACGCCCCCUCCAUCGAAGGCGGGUUUCAAACGGUCACGGGGACGGCUCUUAGUAUUCUUCCUCUUUAUAAUGAGACCAAGGCCCGUUCUUUUUAUUCAAUCCUCUAUCGAAUCCGCCCCUCUCCCUGAGUUCCAACACCCAGGGCUCCGAGUUCAGGUACCUUCGAUCCUCGACAAUGUCCGGUCUUGAUCUACGAGGCCGGUGGAUGCCCUCCUCCAUCACGGAGGAGGACGUGCUAAAGCUGAGAGAUGCCAGGUAUUUAACCUACGAGAUUUCGCAUAGGCUGCCUGCCCGAGGGCAAGUUAUCCCAACUCCCGAGCCUGGCGAGAUCGUCGUGUUCAUGUCUCACUUCCGUCGGGGUUUAGGCUUCUCCACGGAUCCCUACAUGAGGGGGCUCAUGUUUUACUAUGGGCUGGAAUUCCACGACCUGGCUCCGGAGUCCAUCCUCCAUAUCUCAUCAUUCAUUGUCAUUUGUGAAGCCUUCCUCCGCACUACCCCUCACUUCGGCUUAUGGCUCAAAACCUUCAACAUGGAGCCGAAGAUGAUUGAGGGGCGUCAGGCAGAGUGCGGCGGGCGGUUAUAAGCUAGAGGGCCGAAGCUCCAUGGCCCAAGGGCUCUUUCCAAGAGGAGCUCGGCUUGUGGCAACAGGAGUGGUUUUAUAUCACCGCUCCCCGGGGUAGCAGGCAGAAGUCGCCGCCCGUCUUUCGCUCGGGCCCUCCACAGCAGCUGACAUCAUGGGUCAACAAGGGGCGUGACUGGGGGCCGCCCAAAGACGUUCCCCUGUUGCAAGACUGGAUUCGAGUCCUCCAAGAAAGGGAGAUCAAUCUGGUCGCAGUGGUGCAGGUCAUGUUGAUCCGGCGCCUACUGCCCUGCAAACGUCGCCCCCUCCGCCUGUGGGAAUUUAAUCCGGAGGGGCCGCGAGCUCUUCAACACUUCAUGGGUUUGACUCCCAUGGAGAUGUAUAAACUGUUCUUCGGAUCGCAAGAGACAAAUCCGGAAUUGAUCGAGGACGCUGGCCUAAGAUGCAAUCGCCCGGAUACUCAAGUAAGUAGCCUGUGUCCGAACACACCGUCCAUUUAUUUAUAGUGAGCUUGCCUUUUAACCAGCUUUCCCUGGACGAGAGUGGAUAGCGCAAGCAAAACUGAUACGGUGUCCGGCCCCCCUCCCUGAGACCAUGCAGGAUCCCGUGUUAAUCAAAAUGUUGGAGGUUGCACCUUCGAAUGAGGGCGAAGGGGGGCACGGGGAAACUGUCACCUAUGCCAAGGAGGUUUUUAGUAAGGGAGGAAUCGAGAGUCCCUCCUUCCAGGGGGAGAAGAGGACCGCUUCCGAAGACCCGGAGGCCAAGGCCUCAAAGCGAGGAAAGAAAUCUCUACCGGAAGGUCCUGCGCCGGGAAGAGCCCCGGCCGUACUGUCUCCUCGGAGGAAUCAGCCCUCUAACGAGCCGUAAGUAAAAAGGGGGAUUUAUAAUUAUUAGACACCCCUGCUUAAUGUCUAAAGGUAACCGAAGUUUUUACCUUGUAGUUCGGAUCUCAGCCCAUCUCAGCACAGCUCAUCUUCGGGAGACCUUCGUCCGGAGAUGAUGGAGAGCAAAACGCCUCCAUCUGCCGCCCCAUCGCAUGGGGCGGACGACCCUGAGGUGUCUUCGCAGAGGGUCUCCCCGAGUCCGGCGGGGCCGGAGAGUUCGGCACCCAUUGGAGUACAGCCGGUGGAGCUGCAGGAUUUGCUUAAGAGGGCGUCCAUCUCAGAAGAUCACCGCACAUUAAUGGGUAAUGUGAUUGAGAGGAUCUCGUCCGCCGAAAGCGGGUUGUAUGAGGCCGUCGGAAGUUUACUGACGGGAUUUGAGGUACGCAAAAAAUGACAUACCUGUUGACAGUUUUGCACAUGAAGUGCGCCCUGUAUAGUAGCCCCUAAGACUUGGUAUGCUGUCGAAAACGGCAGCGUGCCUAAGAUCAUAAUCUCAGUUAUUAACUGUCGCCUUUCCUAUGCAGGUGGCGGAACAUUCGGUGGCCAGCCGGACGGAUGGAUUCGCCGAGCUGAAGAAGCAACUCGACGCUGCAGAUGCGGACAUCUUGCUGGUCAAUAAACGACUUGAUGAGUCACAAGGUAUGUGAUUGCGCCGCGGUCGCUUAGUAAGGGAGCUGAUGCCCAUUCCUUACAAGUUGUAUGCUUGAUGCAGAUGGUGCUGCUGCUAUGGAAGACCUUCGAGCAGAACUUGCUCGGGCCAAGGAGCAAGCCAGAAAAAGCGAGACGGCUGCCUUGAAGGCAGCGAAAGAGCUAGAAGCCGAGAAGGCUGCUCACUGCCGGAGCAGGGAGGAGAUGGCCGGAAUGGCCAUGAAAUUGAAAGUUGCUACCGACCGCCUGGAGGUUCUUGAAGGAGAACGCCGAGCGAAGCAAGAGGACCUGAAGAAGGCCGAUGCCGAAGCCAAGGAUGCCCGUAGUGCGAUGCGGGCUAUGAAGGAGGAACUGCGUCAGGUCGGAGACAUUGUGGCUGGAAAACCCUUUAUGCUGCGUAGGAAGUUCACGGAUCCGAAGUAUGCUUAGCUGGGCCGAUUGUACGGUGCGGAGGAUCCUUAUCUGGACUUGGCGGCGAGUGCGGCUGAUGCAGUCAUGCACUUUCGAAGCCAGGAGGAUCAUGAAAUGGAAGAGCUUUUCUGGUCUCAAUUUCAUAGUCCGGAGCGUCCACUUCCGUUGAGUGAUCGGCUGGUUGAGUGGGCUGAGCUGAAUAGAUUGUCCGGACUAGCCAUGAUGGAUGUGGUCACUCAUCUGUGGCCGAAAAGGCCCAAGCCGAAGAGUUAUUUUGGCUUGUUGCAGCAAUUCCUUGGGGCAGUGCCGCAUAUUAAGGCGAUGAAGUGGUCGGCAUGCAUAGAAGGUGCACGGAUGGCUCUCGCCCGUGGUAAAACAUACUGGGCGGAGAUGGAUGCCACCGAUGUUGCAUCCCGGGGUUCGGACAAAAGUUGAUUCCCCACCGAGCAUUACUUUGAGGAAGUCCUGCAGGGCGCUCGUAUAAUAGAGUCGCAGUGCUUGAAAGAUGUUAUGUUUGAAUGACAUGUAUGAUUUCUAAGAUCAUGUUUAUAAUGCAAUGACUUUUUAUACUUGUGUGUUCAAGUAUUGAACUAUCUCCUGUGCGGCCGUAUAUAUAUAUAUAUAUAUAUAUAUAUAUAUAUAUAUAUAUAUAUAUAUAUAUAUAUAUAUAUAUGUAUAAUCUGAAAGAUGGCAGUCUUUGGCUUCAGCCCCCACGCACAUGGUGCGGGGGUGUUUGCAAAAAGAAAAUCGCUUCUUCACACUUAAUCCAACGUCUUGGUCCUUUUAAGGACGUGAUAGCGUAGCAAACUAGGCAACCGGACUAUAAUACUUUAUCACUUUCACUUAGCCAUAGGAGCUCGAAUGUGGGGCUACUAUAUAGCCCCUGAUGGCACCGCGCUUCUCCGAACUCGGGGCGCGUAUGUGCCUGACCGGGAAGCGGUCCUUCGUCAAAGCGGAGGAAUUCUAAACAUUCCAAUGGUCGACCGAGUGGUUGACCAGUCUCUCGCUAUAUCAUGAUAGUCAGUUUUCGGCUUUCUCUACUGAGGUGCUCUCCCGGCCGAACCGGGGCACAAUCGCAGUAGUUCUCCUGGUGCCGCGUUAGCCGAUGAUACGGAACGUAAGGCAGCAAAACACAGUAGCCGGGCAAACCCAACAUUUGACCAAAGACAUGAUUCGGAGCUGAUGCAUAUAAGGCCUAACUCGAGAUGCCGGACACUCCCUGAGGUGUUCGGUCUUUAUGAUAUUGGGCCGAACAAAGCCCUAAGCCCCUAGUGUCCAGGUACAGGCGGGAACUUCUGACGCGGCCGAUGCCAAAACGCCAGCCUCCUCCUCGGCUCUGGUAGGAAACCGGGGGAUGUGUAUCAACAAGAGACAGUAAGAAAGGUUUACGCAGGGUCUUAAUCUGAAAAGAAUCCUUGCAACGGGUCCCUACUGCACGUCUGCGCCUGUGUCUCCGUUGUGUUGUAUCCUGGACAGGUGUAGCACGUGCUUCAUCUGUAAAAGAGAAGGACUUAGUUUCUAAGAAAUAUCGUGCAAAAAGUGUAUCAAAAUAAAGUAUAAUUUAGAAGAUGAAGAAAGUUGAGCUUUAUUGGCUUUCAUCAUUUAUGCGCGCGCCCCCCUAAAAAAAGGGGUAUGCGGCUGGGAAGCCCCUUGCCGGACUCGUCUAACCAUGUCCGAGGUCUAAAUGACCUGUUUUUAGGGGCUUUGACCUGCAAGGUCGGAAUAAUGUGUGGCUGUCUAGGCAGCCGCACAUUCUUCGUGGUCGAGAGACACCUGGAGUUUUUAAGAAUAUUCCACGUGGACCAGGCAUUUGUAAGCGUAAGAGACGCGUAAUGUUGUAUUGCAUUAAAGCAAGCGAAAGCUUCGCGCCCCAGUAGCGCUUAAGGGCUACUGUUAAAUGGGGCGAUGGAGAGUGAGCUUUUCGCGAUGGAGGUUGUCGGAUGAACCGAACACGACCUCUAGUGGUACAGAGCCUGUAAAAUUGGCUUAAAAGGCCUGGCGUCACUCCUUUGAAGGAAGUGCUGCUAUAGCGAAUUUUGGUGGGUUCUAUCCCCAGUCUGCGGAUGGUGUCCUGGUAUAGCAGGUGCCGCGCUGCGUGUUAUCACGUGAAGUGAGUUCACUGUUUGGACUUCUAGUGGGAAAGUCUUUUGGUUUCCGGAGCGCUGCUUUUGGGUUUCGUCACUUUCACUUGGUGUGUCGAGCCCCUUGUGUUCGGCGUUAAGUCGGCCGGACUGCUUGAAGACCCAACAAUCUCUGUGGGUAUGGUUUGCAGGCUUCCCGGAGGUACCAUGUAUUUGGCACAGUCUGUCCAGAAUCUUGUUUAGGUUGGAUAGCUCGUCACUGUUAUCCUUUAAGGGCAGUGUUUUGUUGUUCGGCCGAGAGCUUUUGAAUCCGGCGUUGACCACCGUACUAUUUGGGCCAUUCUCCUUGUUCCGGCGCUGAUCUUUUUUGCGUCGUGAUUUCCCAUUUCCAUCCCUGAUUUCGGAUGUACUCGGGUCGCUGGUGCUGCAUCUAGCCAACCCGCUGUCUUCCCCAGCGCAAAAGCGGGUCAUGAGACUUGUUAGUGCGGCCAUUGUUCUUGGUUUUUCCUGGCCGAGGUGUCUGGCGAGCCAUUCGUCUCGGACGUUGUGUUUGAAGGCUGCUAAGGCUUCAGCGUCCGGACAGUCAACUAUUUGGUUCUUUUUAGUGAGGAACCUGUUCCAGAAUUUGCGUGUCCGGGCUGUUGAGUUAUGUGACUUAAAUCAUCUGCAUCCGGAGGCCGGACAUAAGUCCCCUGAAAAUUUGCUCGAAACGCAUCCUCAAGCUCUUCCCAACUCCCAAUCGUAUUUUCUGGGAGGCUUUUAAGCCAAUGCCGGGCCGGCCCUUUGAGCUUGAGGGGAAGGUAUUUUAUGGCAUGGAGAUCAUCUCCUCUUGCCAUGUGUAUGUGUAGGAUAUAAUCCUCAAUCCAGACUCCGGGGUCUGUUGUUCUGUCGUAUGCCUCUAUGUUUAUGGGUUUAAAUCCCGCUGGAAAUCCAUGAUCCAGUACCUCGUCGGUAAAACAUAGUGGGUGUGCGGCGCCCCUAUAUUUGGGUGUGCCAUUGUCUUCAAAUGCUCGGCUGGUUGUGUUACUUCCUGGAGUCUUCUUUUUUGGCCCAUACAUAGACCUGGUCGGGUUAUCCUUUUUCUGAAGAUCUUUAUGCUGAUCAUGUGCCGGCUUGUGUGUGGAGCCCCAUGUUGCUCUUGGCCUGUCAUCUGGUUGUCUAUCCGGCUAGGCGGCCCCUUUAUUUUUUGACUGCGGGGGCUCGAAGGCCUCCUCGUCAAAUUCGGGCAACAGCUUGCGCUUCGGGUAGCUCUUUGUCUGGUGAUUAGUGCCAUAUUUAUCUGCGGUGUUGAGUACUUUGCUCCAUCUCAUUCUGAGUGUGUCUUCCGCUGUUUUGAGCUUCCGCUUUUGCUUCUUCAAACUUCUUGCAGUGGCGACGAGCCUGUUAUGGAGAUUCCUAUGCUCUGGUGAUGUGAGGUCAUCUUCGUCGGGGAUGGGUUGCUUGUCCGGUUCAUGUCCGGCUGGCUGCUUGUUGACGUGUGCGUCGUCUACUGCUUUGCCCUGCUCUAGGGCCGGGUUCAUAUGGGUACCGUUUUUGUCGAUGCCGGUCUUUGGGCGGCGCUUGCGUCGCCGCUUUGUUUGUUUGUUGGGGGAGUUGUCCUUCGCCACUUCCCGUUUUUCCUCAUUGUCGCUUCCUUUUGGUGUGUCCACCAUGUAUACGUUGUGAGCUGGGGUGGCUUUUCCGUGCCCGUUAGGCGCUGGUUCUUGGUCAUCUCCGGCAUCGUCGUCCAUACCGUCGAUGUCUUCGGAGUCGUAGUCUAACAUGUUGGUUAGAUCGUCGACAGCGGCUACCAAGUGGGUGGUGGGUGGGCUUUGAAUUUCUUCGUCGUCCGCAUCCCAACCUUCCUGACCGCAGUCCGGCCAGGGCUCUCCUGAUAACGAGAGAUACUUUAGCGAACUCAAGAUGUCGCCAAAAGGUGAGUGUUGAAAGACGUCCGCUGUAGUGAACUCCAUGAUCGACGCCCAGUCAGAUUCGAUCGGGGCGGGCGCGGGAGGUUCGGAGUCACGAGCUUUAUGAGGGACGAAGUCAGUGUUCGGCUCUAUCGCCGUAGAGGUUGCAGCCCCCAAGGUGGUGUCUAGGCAUCCAUCCUCGAUCUGCGGAGCUGGCUCCGAAUUGAAGAUCGGAGUGGUUUCGAGUGCGGCCUCCAGGGUACUGUCCGGCGGCAGAGCUAAAUCAUGCCCAUCGUGACAGUACAGCACGCUCGGCUGUGGCUCGAAUCCGUCGAGGAUCAAGUCCCCGCGGAUGUCAGCCGUGAAGUUCAAAUUUCCACAUCUGACCUGACGGCCAGGGGCGUAGCCUUCGAUCUGCUCCAUCAUGCCAAGCGAAUUGGCCCGCAGUGCAAAGCCGCCGAAUACGAAGAUCUAUCCGGGGAGGAAGGUCUCACCCUGGACUGCAUCGUCGUUGAUGAUCGAAGAAGCCAUCGAGCCUAUCGGUGACGACACAGAGGAACUCUCAAUGAAAGCACCAAUGUCGGUGUCAAAACCGGCGGAUCUCGGGUAGGGGGUCCCGAACAGUGCGUCUAGGCGGAUGGUAACAGGACACGAGGGACACGAUGUUUUUACCCAGGUUCGGGCCCUCUUGAUGAAGGUAAAACCCUACGUCAUGCUUGAUUAAUAUUGAUGAUGUGGGUUACAAGAGUAGAUCUACCACGAGAUCAAGGAGGCUAAACCCUAGAAGCUAGCCUAUGGUAUGAUUGUUGUUCGUCCUAUGGACUAAAGCCAUCCGGUUUAUAUAGACACCGGAGAGGGAUAGGGUUACACAGAGUUGGUUACAAAGGUAGGAGAUCUACAUAUCCGUAUCGCCAAGCUUGCCUUCCACGCCAAGGAAAGUCCCAUCCGGACACGGGAUGAGGUCUUCAAUCUUAUAUCUUCAUAGUCUUGGAGUCCGGCCGAUGAUGAUGGUUCGGCUAUCCGGACACCCCCUAGUCCGGAACUCCCUCAAUGGCCAAAGAUUGCAACAGAAAGAUAUGCCACAAAGACAUAACAAAGAGAGACACAAGCAAUCAACGGAUAUCAAUUGAACCAACUAGACCAAUGAUCCUACAUGCCACAAGAAUAAAGAUAUUAUGAAAAGCGCAAAGGAGUGUUCUAAAGAAACUAGAGAAGCUCCCCAUGAUUUGUGCACACAUAAGAAUUUUUUGUAUUUGAAUACAAAGUGCACAAAAUAGGAUCAUAGCUCCCCCAAAAUCAAUAGAAACUCACAUCCAGUGCAAGUGAGCAUAUAGGAAACAAAGCCUAACGCUUGCAACAAGCACAUGGUUCAGCAACAUGUAAAAGAGGCAACUUAAGAAUAGGCUCAACCAAAAUGAUGUGUGUGAGUCAUGGCGAAGCACUUGAGAAGACUAAAAUUAGGAUGAGCAUUAAGCAUCAACAUAGUCUUGAAAGAAUGAGGCACACGGUGCAAGGCCUAUCAUUCCCACACACAACUGGCAAAUGGGUUCACAAGCUUACUAAUAAGCAAAAGAGAACCUAUUCUUGUGACAACCCGUGGUUAAGAUAGAUGAGGGGAGGCUCAUCAAGACGAGGGAUACCAAUUAAGAUGGCAAAAACCUCGUAAAGAUAAGCAAGAGGAAAAUAAUCUUCACCACACAAGAGUGCAACAAGAUGCAACGAUAGAGGACACACACUCAAGGCAAAAGCUUUCACGGAGCCACCAAAGAAAUAACAUAAGAAAGACAAGGUGGACGUGAAAGAAAGGAUAUCAACUAGAGAUGUAAUUUCUCUCAAGUGUAUGAGGUUCUAUGUAGACGAAAUCAUGAUGAUAUAUAUAUCUACAAAGAAGGAUGUACACCCGGAAUAGUUACAACAUGAAGGAACAAGAUAUCCACAAGGAAGCCAUAAAUAUACAAUUAAGAUAUUGCUUGAAAGCAUAGCACAUGGCUAGAUAUGGUCUUAUUGUAUAUGAAUGAAGUCCAAACACACAUCCAUCAAAGGCAUCACAACUAGCAACAAGAGAUCAUCGUUGGGAUGCAUUGAGAAAGGAAACAAGUAUCACAAGAUAUGAAAUGAAUAUCAUGCCAAGAUGCAACCUACACAAGGUUGAAUGCAAGAGGAGAAAGCAUGAAUAGAUACUUGUUACCGAGAUAUCAUUGGAAGGAUGUAGUAGAUACCAAUUGAAGGUAGAUAGUAGUUCAUUGAUCAUCCUAGCUUAACUCCAAUAAGCACAUGGUGACAACACCUUCCUUGUGAGUGAGUCGAGCAUCCAAUGCAUCUCCAACCGUUCCUACAAGGACAACACAAACUAAACGGUACCCCAAACUCAUUGGGACCAAAUAGUUAGAAACACCAAUACAUAGGACAAAUUCCACAUAAAUAUGUGCAUAUAGAUAUGGAAAUUAAUUUCAUGCACAUCUCAUCCAAUUUGAGACUUGGUGGAGUUUCCCCUAUAUAUUGGGUCAACGAAAGAAAGCAUGCCAAAUAGAAUACAUGAAGUAAAUAUGCAUGCUCAAAACUUUCAAGAACCGAUACCAAAAGACAAAGAAAUGCCAAGUGAAAAGGAUACCAAAUGGAGAAAUCAUCACUUGGAAGAUAUCAUUAAAGAUACAUCAAGGAAUGAGAUAUCCAUUGAUACACACUAAAUUAAAGAUGUCAAACUCCCAAAGAGAGGAUGGUUCCAAACAAACCAAGCUCUCAACAAAGUUUCAUGAUGGCACAAGGUACCAAAAGAAAACGGCUUGCCUUCCACCAACACACACUUGAUAAGGAUCACAAGAAGAGUGUUCUAAAGAAAAUAGGAUAGCUCCCCCACGAGUUGUGCAUUAUAGAGAAUUUCCUUUUGAAUACGAAAUGCACAAGGUGGGAUCACCACUUUCUCUAUAUCUAGAAAACACUAGACGAGAACAAGAAAUUAACAAGAUCCACAAGUGGUAUGGAAGACAAUGGGAGUUGACACAAACCUUGGAAAGAGAAAAGGCAAAUAAAAACAAAAUCCAAUGUAAAGAUGAUCAAUUAAAUUCUACCACACAUAAGUGAUUACCAAUUGUCAAAAGAAGUAUUUGGAAAUAAUUCCCGGUGGUAGAUAGCAAGGAUAUCCGACAUCAUCUUCACUCCAAACAAAAAGCAAAAUGCAACUUGUAGAGCUAACAUGCCACCUAGGAACAAGAUAAUCUACAAUAUCAAUUCUAGGUGACAAUAUCUCAAAUGUACAUAUUUUCUAGGCUUGUAAUAUGCACUUAGCAUAUUACUCCCCCAUAAUGUGAUACCAAUAAGAACUUAACAAGAGGCAAUAAGAGGAACAAACAAGAGAUAAUUAAUGGACUAUUUAGAAUUUGAAUUUCUCAUGAGAGAUAUACCACCUAGCGACUAGAUAAUCUUGUAAUAUCAAUACUAGAUGGUAUUCCUCAUGUACACACAUUUAUAGGAUUGUGAGGUGCACAAAGCACAUCACUCUCCCAAAAUGGGAUGUUCCAUUAAUCUCUCACACGAGCCAACUAGGAUACAAACAAGAAGCAUAAAGGCUCAACGCACGACAUACACGUACAUGAUGUGCAAACCAACACACACAUACUUGAUUGCUCAAGAUAAGCAAGUUGGAAUCACAACAUAUACCAACACAUGCAAGGAACAAAACCAAAACAUGCAAGGGGGGCAAGUAACUUUCAAUGUAAGCAAUUUUAAGUACAAGUUACCGCAAGGAGGCACAUUGGAUAUAAGAAAUAAACUUGAUGAUUCAAUUGACUUGGCUUGAGACAAUAAGAGUGAUGAAGUCCCCUUAAUUCUUCAUAAUGUAGCCAAGUCUCCAAUGCCCUCCAACAACACCUAUUGAUAAAGAUUGAGCUUGUUGGUCCCCAACCAAGUUGGGUCCUAAGAGGUUAGUCACAAUAGGCUUGGCAACCCAAAUGGUUCUUUUCUUGACACCACUUUGAGUACCAACAAACUUGGCAAACACAUUGUCAACCUUAUCCUUCCCAAGAGAAUAGAUAUCAUCAAUAGUAAUUGGGUUGGAUAAGUUACCACUAGUGCAUGAAGAAGUGACGUGGCCUUUCUCACGACAUAAGUAGCAACGUCUACUCUUCACUUUCUUCUCACUUGAUUUCUCAACAAGAGAAGCAUUAACUUGAUUCUUCUUGAGAAGAGGCCUUUCUUCAACUUGAGGUUGAGCAUGAGAUUCUCUGUUGGAAAAGGCAGUGCCUAGGAGGCGCUUAGGCACUCCUAGGUGCUAGGCACUGGCCAAACGCCUCGCCUAGGGCAUAAAUGGAGGUCUAGGUAGGGCAAGCAAGGAAUUGCCUACCCAAGCAAGAAAUCAUACCACAUACUGCACUGAUAUGACAAACCGGCUAUAUUCCAAUGGCAGUAGAUGGUUAUUAACUUAUUUAUGUGCCCUAAACUAAUAUCAACACCCAUAUAAUAAUCACAAAUACACUACGAGUAAAACUAUAUUACCGCCUAGGCCGCGCCUAGGGCGCUUAGGCACCGCCUAGUGUUGGGAAACGUAGUAAUUUCAAAAAAAUUCCUACGCACACGCAAGAUCAUGGUGAUGGCAUAGCAACGAGAGGGGAGAGUGUUGUCCAUGUACCCUCGUAGACCGUAAGCGGAAGCGUUAUCACAACGCGGUUGAUGUAGUCGUACGUCUUCAUGACUCGACCGAUCCAAGCACCGAACGUAUGGCACCUCCAUGUUCAGCACACGUUCAGCUCGAUGACGUUCCCCGGGCUCCAAUCCAGCAAAGUGUCGGGGAUGAGUUCUGUCAGCAUGACGGCGUGGUGACGAUGAUGAUGUUCUACCGGCGCAGGGCUUCGCCUAAACUCCGCGACAAUAUGACCGAGGUGGAAUAUGGUGGAGGGGGGCACCGCACACGGCUAAGGAAUGAUCCGUAGAUCAACUUGUGUGUACUAGGGUGCCCCCCUGCCCCCGUAUAUAAAGGAGCAAGGGGGAGGCCGGCCGGCCCCUUGGGGCGCGCCAAGGAGGAGUCCUCCUCCUAGUAGGAGUAGGACUCCCCUUUUCCUACUCCUACUAGGAGGGGGAAAGGAAGAGGGAGAGCGGGAAGGAAAGAGGGGGGCGCCACCCCCCCUCCUAGUCCAAUUCGGACCAGAGGGAGAGGGGCGCGCGGCCCACCCUGGCCGCCCCUCUCUCUUCCCACUAAGGCCCAUGUGGCCCAUUAACUCUCCCGGGGGGUUCCGGUAACCCUCCGGCACUCCGGUUUUCUCCGAAAUCACCCGGAACACUUCCGGUGUCCAAAUAUAGUCGUCCAAUAUAUCAAUCUUUAUGUCUCGAUCAUUUCGAGACUCCUCGUCAUGUCCGUGAUCACAUCCGGGACUCCGAACAAACUUCGGUACAUCAAAACUUGUAAACUCAUAAUAAAACUGUUAUCGUAACGUUAAGCGUGCGGACCCUACCGGUUCGAGAACUAUGUAGACAUGACCUAGAACUAUUCUUGGUUAAUAACCAAUAGUGGAACCUGGAUGUUCAUAUUGGUUCCUACAUAUUCUACGAAGAUCUUUAUCGGUCAAACCGCAUAACAACUUACGUUGUUCCCUUUGUCAUCGGUAUAUUACUUGCCCGAGAUUCGAUCGUCGGUAUCCAAUAACUAGUUCAAUCUCGUUACCGGCAAGUCUCUUUACUCGUUACGUAAUACAUCAUUUCAUAACUAACUCAUUAGUUACAAUGCUUGCAAGGCUUAAGUGAUGAGUAUUACCGAGAGGGCCCAGAGAUACCUCUCCGACAAUCGGAGUUACAAAACCUAAUCUCGAAUUAUGCCAACUCAACAUGUACCUUUGGAGACACCUGUAGAGCACCUUUAUAAUCACCCAGUUACAUUGUGACGUUUGGUAGCACACAAAGUGUUCCUCCGGUAAACGGGAGUUGCACAAUCUCAUAGUUGUAGGAACUUUGUAUAAGUCAUGAAGAAAGCAAUAGCAACAUACUAAACAAUCAAGUGCUAAGCUAAUGGAAUGGGUCAAGUCAAUCACAACAUUCUCCUAAUGAUGUGAUCCCAUUAAUCAAAUGACAACACAUGUCUAUGGUUAGGAAACAUAACCAUCUUUGAUUAAUGAGCUAGUCAAGUAGAGGCAUACUAGUGACACUUUGUUUGUCUAUGUAUUCACACAUGUAUCAUGUUUCCGGUUAAUACAAUUCUAGCAUGAAUAAUAAACAUUUAUCAUGAUAUGAGGAAAUAAAUAAUAACUUUAUUAUUGCCUCUAGGGCAUAUUUCCUUCAGUCUCCCACUUGCACUAGAGUCAAUAAUCUAGAUUACAUAGUAAUGAUUCUAACACCCAUGGAGUCUUGGUGUUGAUCAUGUUUUGCUCGUGAGAGAGGCUUAGUCAACGGGUCUACAACAUUCAGAUCCGUAUGUAUUUUGCAAAUCUCUAUGUCUCCCACUUGGACUUGGUCCCGAAUGGAAUUGAAGCGUCUCUUGAUGUGCUUGGUCCUCUUGUGAAAUCUGGAUUCCUUUGCCAAGGAAAUUGCACCAGUAUUGUCACAGAAGAUCUUCAUUGGUCCCGAUGCACUAGGUAUAACACCUAGAUCGGAAAUGAACUCCUUCAUCCAGACUCCUUCAUUUGCUGCUUCCGAAGCAGCUAUGUACUCCGCUUCACAUGUAGAUCCCGCCACGACGCUUUGUUUAGAACUGCACCAACUUACAGCUCCACCGUUUAACAAAAAUAUGUAUCCGGUUUGUGAUUUAGAAUCAUCCGGAUCAGUGUCAAAGCUUGCAUCGACGUAACCAUUUACGACUAGCUCUUUGUCACCUCCAUAUAUGAGAAACAUAUCCUUAGUCCUUUUCAGGUAUUUCAGGAUGUUCUUGACCGCCGUCCAGUGACCCACUCCUGGAUUACUUUCGUACCUCCCUGCCAAACUAAUAGCAAGGCACACAUCAGGUCUGGUACACAGCAUUGCAUACAUGAUAGAGCCUAUGGCUGAAGCAUAGGGAACUCCUUUCAUUUUCUCUCUAUCUUCUGCAGUGGUCGGGCAUUGAGUCUGACUCAACUUUAUACCUUGUAAUACAGGCAAGAACCCUUUCUUCGCCUGAUCCAUAUUGAACUUUUUCAACACUUUAUCAAGGUACGUGCAUUGUGAAAGUCCAAUCAAGCGUCUUGAUCUAUCUCUAUAGAUCUUAAUGCCCAAUAUGUAAGCAGCUUCACCGAGGUCUUUCAUUGAAAAACUUUUAUUCAAGUAUCCUUUUAUGCCAUUCAGAAAUUCUAUAUCAUUUCCAAUCAACAAUAUGUCAUCUACAUAUAAUAUUAGAAAUGCUACAGAGCUCCCACUCACUUUCUUGUAAAUACAGGCUUCUCCAAAAGUCUGUAUAAAACCAUAUGCUUUGAUCACACUAUCAAAGCGUUUAUUCCAACUCCGAGAGGCUUGCACCAGACCAUAGAUUGAUCGCUGGAGCUUGCACACUUUGUUAGCUCCCUUAGGAUCGACAAAACCUUCCGGUUGCAUCAUAUACAACUCUUCUUCCAGAAAUCCAUUCAGAAAUGCGGUUUUGACAUCCAUCUGCCAAAUUUCAUAAUCAUAAAAUGCGGCAAUCGCUAACAUGAUUCGGAUAGACUUAAGCAUCGCUACAGGUGAGAAACUCUCAUCGUAGUCAACCCCUUGAACUUGUCGAAAACCUUUCGCAACAAGUCGAGCUUUAUAGACAGUUACAUUACCGUCAGCGUCAGUCUUCUUCUUAAAGAUCCAUUUAUUCUCAAUGGCUUGCCGAUCAUCGGGCAAGUCAACCAAAGUCCAUACUUUGUUUUCAUACAUGGGUCCCAUCUCAGAUUUCAUGGCUUCUAGCCAUUUUGCGGAAUCUGGGCUCAUCAUCGCUUCCUCAUAGUUCGUAGGUUCAUCAUGGUCAAGUAACAUGACUUCCAGAAUAGGAUUACCGUACCACUCUAGUGCAGAUUUUAUUCUGGUAGACCUACGAGGUUCAGUAGAAACUUGAUCUGAAUUUUCAUGAUCAAUAUCAUUAUCUUCCUCACUAAUUGGUGUAGAUGUCACAGGAACUGAUUUUUGUGAUGAACUACUUUCCAAUGAGGGAGCAGACAUAGUUAUCUCAUCAAGUUCUACUUUCCUCCCACUCACUUCUUUCGAGAGAAACUCCUUUUCUAGAAAGGAUCCAUUCUUAGCAAUGAAUGUCUUGCCUUUGGAUCUGUGAUAGAAGGUGUACCCAACAGUCUCUUUUGGGUAUCCUAUGAAGACACAUUUCUCUGAUUUGGGUUUGAGCUUAUCUGGUUGAAGUUUCUUCACAUAAGCAUCGCAUCCCCAAACUUUAAGAAACGACAACUUUGGUUUCUUGCCAAACCAUGGCUCAUAAGGCGUCGUCUCAACGGAUUUUGAUGGUGCCCUAUUCAAAUGUGAAUGCAGCCGUCUCUAAAGCAUAAACCCAAAAUGAUAGCGGUAAAUCAGUAAGAGACAUCAUAGAUCGCACCAUAUCUAGUAAAGUACGAUUACGACGUUCGGACACACCAUUACGUUGUGGAGUUCCGGGUGGCAUGAGUUGCGAAACUAUUCCGCAUUGUUUCAAAUGUAAACCAAACUCGUAACUCAAAUAUUCUCCUCCACGAUCAGAUCGUAGAAACUUAAUUUUCUUGUUAUGAUGAUUUUCUACUUCACUCUGAAAUUCUUUGAACUUUUCAAAUGUUUCAGACUUGUGUUUCAUUAAGUAGAUAUACCCAUAUCUGCUCAAAUCAUCUGUGAAGGUGAGAAAAUAACGAUAUCCGCCACGUGCUUCAAUAUUCAUCGGUCCACAUACAUCUGUAUGUAUGAUUUCCAACAAAUCUGUUGCUCUCUCCAUAGUACCGGAGAACGGUGUCUUAGUCAUCUUGCCCAUGAGGCACGGUUCGCAAGUACCAAGUGAUUCAUAAUCAAGUGAUUCCAAAAGUCCAUCAGUAUGGAGUUUCUUCAUGUGCUUUACAUCGAUAUGACCUAAACGGCAGUGCCACAAAUAAGUUGCACUAUCAUUAUCAACUCUGCAUCUUUUGGCUUGGACAUUAUGAAUAUGUGUAUCACUACUAUCGAGAUUCAAUAAAAAUAGACCACUCUUCAAGGGUGCAUGACCAUAAAAGAUAUUACUCAUAUAAAUAGAAUAACCAUUAUUCUUUGAUUUAAAUGAAUAACCGUCUCACAUCAAACAAGAUCCAUAUAUAAUGUUCAUGCUCAACGCUGGCACCAAAUAACAAUUAUUCGGGUCUAAGACUAAUCCCGAAGGUAGAUGUAGAGGUAGCAUGCCGACCGCGAUCACAUCGACUUUGGAACCGUUUCCCACGCGCAUCGUCACCUCGUCCUUGGCCAGUGCUCACUUAUUCCGUAGUCCCUGUUUCAAGUUGCAAAUAUUAGCAACAGAACCAGUAUCAAAUACACAAGUGCUACUACGAGCUCUAGUUAGGUACACAUCAAUAACAUGUAUAUCACAUAUACCUUUGUUCACUUUGCCAUCCUUCUUAUCCGCCAAAUACUUGGGGCAGUUCCGCUUCCAGUGACCAGUUUGCUUGCAGUAGAAGCACUCAGUUUCAGGCUUAGGUCCAGACUUGGGUUUCUUCUCUUGAGCAGCAACUUGCUUGUUGUUCUUCUUGAAGUUCCCCUUCUUCUUCCCUUUGCCCUUUUUCUUGAAACUAGUGGUCUUGUUAACCAUCAACACUUGAUGCUCCUUCUUGAUUUCUACCUCCGCAGCCUUUAGCAUUGCGAAGAGCUCGGGAAUUGUCUUGUUCAUCCCUUGCAUAUUAUAGUUCAUCACGAAGCUCGUGUAGCUUGGUGGCAGUGAUUGGAGAAUUCUGUCAAUGACGCUAUCAUCCGAAAGAUUAACUCCCAGUUGAAUCAAGUGAUUAUUAUACCCCGGACAUUUUGAGUAUAUGCUCACUAACAGAACUAUUCUCCUCCAUCUUGCAGCUGUAGAACUUAUUGGAGACUUCAUAUCUCUCAAUCUGGGCAUUUGCUUGAAAUAUUAACUUCAACUCCUGGAACAUCUCAUAUGCUCCAUGACGUUCAAAAUGUAGUUGAAGACCCGGUUCUAAGCCGUAAAGCAUGGCACACUGAACUACAGAGUAGUCAUCAGCUUUGCUCUGCCAGACGUUCACAACAUCUGGUGUUGCACUUGCAGCAAGCCUGACACCCAGCGGUGCUUCCAGGACGUAAUUCUUCUGUGCAGCAAUGAGGAUAAUCCUCAAGUUACGGACCCAGUCCGUGUAAUUACUACCAUCAUAUUUUAACUUUGCUUUCUCAAGGAAUGCAUUAAAAUUCAACGAAACAACAGCAUGAGCCAUCUAUCUACAACAAACAUAGACAAGCAAAAUACUAUCAGGUACUAAGUUCAUGAUAAAUUUAAGUUCAAUUAAUCAUAUUACUUAAGAACUCCCACUUAGAUAGAUAUCUCUCUAGUCAUCUAAGUGAUUACGUGAUCCAAAUCAACUAAACCAUAACCGAUCAUCACGUGAGAUGGAGUAGUUUUCAAUGGUGAACAUCACUAUGUUGAUCAUAUCUACUAUAUGAUUCACGCUCGACCUUUCGGUCUCUGUGUUCUGAGGCCAUAUCUGCAUAUGCUAGGCUCGUCAAGUAUAACCUGAAUAUUCUGCGUGUGCAAAACUGGCUUGCACCCGUUGUAGAUGGACGUAGAGCUUAUCACACCCGAUCAUCACGUGGUGUCUGGGCACGACGAACUUUGGCAACGGUGCAUAUUCAGGGAGAACACUCCUUGAUAAUUUUUAGUGAGAGAUCAUCUUAAAAUGCUACCGUCAAUCAAAGCAAGAUAAGAUGCAUAAAAGAUAAACAUCACAUGCAAUCAAUAUAAGUGAUAUGAUAUGGCCAUCAUCAUCUUGUGCUUGUGAUCUCCAUCUCCGAAGCACCGUCGUGAUCACCAUCGUCACUGGCGCGGCACCUUGAUCUUCAUCGUAGGAUCGUUGUCGUUUACGCCAUCUAUUGCUUCUACGACUAUCGCUACCGCUUAGUGAUAAAGUAAAGCAAUUAUAGGGCGUUUGUGUUUCAUACAAUAAAGCGACAACCAUAUGGCUCCUGCCAGUUGCCGAUAACUUCGGUUACAAAACAUGAUCAUCUCAUACAAUAAAUAUAGCAUCACGUCUUGACCAUAUCACAUCACAACAUGCCCUGCAAAAACAAUUUAGACGUCCUCUACUUUGUUGUUGCAAGUUUUACGUGGCUGCUACGGGCUUAGCAAGAACCGUUCUUACCUACGCAUCAAAACCACAACGAUAGUUCGUCAAGUUAGUGUUGUUUUAACCUUCGCAAGGACCGGGCGUAGCCACACUCGGUUCAACUAAAGUUGGAGAAACUGACACCCGCCAGCCACCUGUGUGCAAAGCACGUCGGUAGAACCAGUCUCGCGUAAGCGUACGCGUAAUGUCGGUCCGGACCGCUUCAUCCAACAAUACCGCUGAACCAAAGUAUGACAUGCUCGUAAGCAGUAUGACUUGUAUUGCCCACAACUCACUUGUGUUCUACUCGUGCAUAUGACAUCUACGCAUAAAACCUAGGCUCGGAUGCCACUAUUGGGGAACGUAGUAAUUUCAAAAAAAUUCCUAUGCACACGCAAGAUCAUGGUGAUGGCAUAGCAACGAGAGGGGAGAGUGUUGUCUACGUACCCUCGUAGACCGUAAGCGGAAGCGUUAUCACAACGCGGUUGACAUAGUCAUACGUCUUCACGACUUGACCGAUCCAAGCACCGAACGUACGGCACCUCCGUGUUCAGCACACGUUCAGCUCGAUGACGUUCCCCGGGCUCCAAUCCAGCAAAGCGUCGGGGAUGAGUUCCGUCAGCACGACGGCAUGGUGACGAUGAUGAUGUUCUACCGGCGCAGGGCUUCACCUAAACUCCGCGACGAUAUGACCGAGGUGGAAUAUGGUGGAGGGGGGCACCGCACACGGCUAAGGAACGAUCCGUAGAUCAACUUGUGUGUACUAGGGUGCCCCCUGCCCCCGUAUAUAAAGGAGCAAGGGGGAGGCCGGCCGGCCCCUUGGGGCGCGCCAAGGGGGAGGAGUCCUCCUCCUAGUAGGAGUAGGACUCCCCUUUUCCUACUCCUACUAGGAGGGGGAAAGGAAGGGGGAGAGGGGGAAGGAAAGAGGGGGGCGCCGCCCCCCCCCCCUCCUAGUCCAAUUCGGACCAGAGGGAGAGGGGGCACGCGGCCCACCCUGGCUGCCCCUCUCUCUUCCCACUAAGGCCCAUGUGGCCCAUUAACUCUCCCUGGGGGGUUCCGGUAACCCUCCGGCACUCCGGUUUUCUCCGAAAUCACCCGGAACACUUCCGGUGUCCGAAUAUAGUCGUCCAAUAUAUCAAUCUUUAUGUCUCGAUCAUUUCAAGACUCCUCGUCAUGUCUGUGAUCACAUCCGGGACUCCAAACAAACUUCGGUACAUCAAAACUUGUAAGCUCAUAAUAAAACUGUCAUCAUAACGUUAAACUUGUAGACAUGACCUAGAACUAUUCUCGGUCAAUAACCAAUAGUGGAACCUGGAUGUUCAUAUUGGUUCCUACAUAUUCUACGAAGAUCUUUAUCGGUCAAACCGCAUAACAACAUACGUUAUUCCCUUUGUCAUCGGUAUGUUACUUGCCCGAGAUUCGAUCGUCGGUAUCCAAUACCUAGUUCAAUCUCAUUACCGGCAAGUCCCUUUACUCGUUACAUAAUACAUCAUUUCAUAACUAACUCAUUAGUUACAAUGCUUGCAAGGCUUAAGUGAUGAGUAUUACCGAGAGGGCCCAGAGAUACCUCUCCGACAAUCGGAGUGACAAAACCUAAUCUCGAAUUAUGCCAACUCAACAUGUACCUUUGGAGACACCUGUAGAGCACCUUUAUAAUCACCCAGUUACGUUGUGACGUUUGGUAGCACACAAAGUGUUCCUCCGGUAAACGGGAGUUGCACAAUCUCAUAGUUGUAGGAACUUUGUAUAAGUCAUGAAGAAAGCAAUAGCAACAUACUAAACGAUCAAGUGCUAAGCUAACGGAAUGGGUCAAGUCAAUCACAACAUUCUCCUAAUGAUGUGAUCCCAUUAAUCAAAUGACAACACAUGUCUAUAGUUAGGAAACAUAACCAUCUUUGAUUAAUGAGCUAGUCAAGUAGAGGCAUACUAGUGACACUUUGUUUGUCUAUGUAUUCACACAUGUAUCAUGUUUCCGGUUAAUACAAUUCUAGCAUGAAUAAUAAACAUUUAUCAUGAUAUGAGGAAAUAAAUAAUAACUUUAUUAUUGCCUCUAGGGCAUAUUUCCUUCACCUAGGCACUAGGCGAAGGCCAACCGCCUCGCUUACGCCUACCGCUUUUUCCAACCUUGAUGAGAUUGAACUUGUGCCCUCUUCCCUUGUUGCUUGACACUAAUGGCCUUCUUCUUCAAUGGGCAAGAUCUAACAUGAUGCCCUUCUACUUUGCACUUGAAGCAAACAAUCUUGGCCGAAUUCUUGACUUGUUUUUGGCCCUUCCUUUUGUUCAUCUUGGACUUCUUCUUCUUAUUGGAGUUGAAUCCAAGUCCACCUUUGUCAUCGGGGGAUUUUUGCACACUCAAGAUAUUGUUGAGUGUGGAUUUCCCUUGAUGACUCUUUUCCAAGUCUUUCUUCAAAGAAGUGACUUGGGCCUUGAGCUCUUUGAUUUCCUCUACAUGGUUAGUCUCAACACAAGUACUAGAGGAAGUAUAAGCUUCAUCGUUAGAGCAACAAGGCAAGGAAAGCAAUUCAUCACAAGAUGUACCAACAUUGUGAGUAGAUGAAUUACAAGGACUAGCACAUGGCAAUAUACUAUUUUGACUAGAAGUAGUGCUAGUAUCCACAUGAGGCUCAAUCAUGGCCUCAUGAGCUAUCUUUAGCACACUAUGGGAUACUAGAAGAUCAUCAGGAGAGCUUGAGAGCUUUUCAUGACUUUCUUCCAAUUUCCCAUAAUUGCUAGAUAGCACCUCCAGUUGAGCCCGUAGCUCAACAUUCUCCUUCAAAAUGGAUGCUUCACAAGUAAUAGAAUUAGUAGCACAAGCAUCAUCAUUAACAACAAGAGGAGAAGGCAACUUGGCAACCUCUUUUAAAUAAGAGGCUUCAAGUUGGGCAUGAGACUCGGUGAGUUUGAUGAGCUCACCCUUGAUGAAUCUUGAGCCAUUUUCGAGGUGCUCAAAAUCCUCAAGGAGUCUAGCAUGAUAAACUUCAAGCUUAGCAUUUUUAGUUUUGAAAUCGUUGGCCACAUCAAGAGCUCUAUCAUGAGAUUCCCUCACUCUAGAUAAUUCUAGAGCAAAAGUCUCCUCAAGAGAUUUGGAGGUGGUUUGUUCAUGUUCAAGAGCUUGAGAUAGCUCCACGAUCUCAUUUGCGUAAUCACGCCCAUGAGCUUCCAUUUUCUCAAUGGUGACCUCAUGCUCCUCGAGAUGAGAUUCCAACUCCUCAAUAUAUUUGUUGCCCUCAAUGGCAAUGGACAUAAUUUCCAUGAAGUUGGAACAAGCAAUUUUAGUUUUAUGAAGAGCUUUAAAAAUCAUCUCCCCCUUAGUUUUUAAGGAGGCAACAUUAUCAUUCUCUUCAUCAUCAUCCUCAUCAUCAUUAGCAUCAACAUCAUCAUCAAGAGACAUAUUGGGGUACAAAGUAGGAGAUACCUUUGAUGCCUUAGCCAUAAGGCAAAAAGCAAUAGAUGAUGAUGUAGGAUCCCUUGAGGCACCAUUAAACACCACAUCUUGUUCCAUGGAGUGUUCGGUUUCCUCUACAUUGUUAGCACAAUAAUUCGAGGAAAUAGAUGCAUUUUUAUCAUGGCAACAAGACAUAGCAAGCAUAUCAUCAUGCGAUUUAGUCAAGCAAUUUCUACAUGAUAUGCAAGGACUAUCAACACAAGCAUGUGAAACAUUUGGAGUGCUCGAAGUGUUAAAGCCCAAAGAAGGAGCAUUACAAUAAUAUAGUGAUGAAGGAUCAUCCACAAUAAGCAUACUAUCACCAUUGCAAUGACCAACACUACUCACCAUAUCAUUACCUUGUGGCAAACCACAUGUAGGUGAAGUAGAAGAAGUUGAGAAGACUAUACGACCGGAGGUGGAGGGGGAACAAUCAUCCCAAAUAUUGGACACACCAUAUUUAUCUUGAAGCUUUGUCCACAACUCAUGAGCAUCCCGGAACGGCAUGAGUUGAAAAAUAACUACAUUGCUCAAAGCAUCAAAAAGCACAUUAGAAGCUUGAGCAUUGAGAUAAGAGUUUUUCUCAUCCUCUAAAGAUAAUCUUUGGGGAUCCUUUGGAGGAGAAAAACCCAUAUCUACAAUUCGCUCUAAAUUUGGGUCCAUGAGCCUAAAGAGAUUAAGCAUGCGAAUUACCCAAACAUCAAAAUUUGUGCCAUCGAAACUAAGUGUGUCAGAGAAUCCUAAUCCCCUAGUAGACAUCUUUACACUCUAGGCGGUUAAGCCUAAAAAAGAGAGACGAGGCUCUGAUACCAAUUGAAAGAUCGAGGAUGUCGCCUAGAGGGGGGGCUGAAUAGGCGCUUUAAAAUAAUUACGGUUUAGGCUUGAACAAAUGCGGAAUAAACCUAGCGGUUAAUUUGUCAAGCACAAAACCUACAACAAAUAGGUCACCUAUGUGCACCAACAACUUAUGCUAAGCAAGAUAAGCAACUAUGUGAUAGCAAGAUAUAUGACAAAAACAAUAUGGCUAUCACAAAGUAAAGUGCAUAAGUAAAGGGGCUCGGGUAAGAGAUAACCGAGGCACGCGGAGACGACGAUGUAUCCCGAAGUUCACACCCUUGCGGAUGCUAAUCUCCGUUUGGAGCGGUGUGGAGGCACAAUGCUCCCCAAGAAGCCACUAGGGCCACCGUAAUUUCCUCACGCCCUCGCAGAAUGCAAGAUGUCGUGAUUCCACUAAGGGGCCCUUGAGGGCGGUCACCGAACCCGUACAAAUGGCGACCCUUGGGGGCGGUCACCGAACCCGUACACUUUGGAAACCCUUGGGGGCGGUCAUCCGUACCCGUCAAAUUGCUCGGGGCGAUCUCCACAACCUAAUUGGAGACCCCGACGCUUGCCCGGAGCUUUACACCACAAUGAUUGAGCUCCGAACACCACCAACCGUCUAGGGCACCAAGGCACCCAAGAGGAACAAGCUCUAGGGUGCCCAAACACCCAAGAGUAAUAAGCUUCUCAAACUUCACUUCCACGUAUCACCGUGGAGAACUCAAACUGAUGCACCAAAUGCAAUGGCAAGGGCACACGGAGUGCCCAAGUCCUUCUCUCCCAAAUCCCACCAAAGCAACUAAUGCUAGGGAGGAAAAUGAGAGAAAGAACGAAAGAAGAACACGAAGAACUCCAAGAUCUAGAUCCAAGGGGUUCCCCUCACUUAGAGGAGAAAGUGAUUGGUGGAAACGUGGAUCUAGAUCUCCUCUCUCUUUUCCCUCAAGAACUAGCAAGAAUCCAUGGAGGGAUUGAGAGUUAGCAAGCUCGAAGAAGGUCAACAAUGGGGGAAGAACACGAGCUCAAGGGAUUAGGUUCAUUGGGGAAGAAGACCCCCUUUUAUAGGACCUCCCGAAUCCAACCAUUAUGUGCUCAGGUCGUGCACAAGCGGUACUACCGCUUGGAGGAGCGGUACUACCGCUUAGCACGGUCAAAACAGCCCAACGAGAGAGAAAACACGAGUUUUUGGUCCGGAGCGGUACUACCACUUAGGAGCCAUGGUAGUACUUCUCUGGAGCGGUACUACCGCUCAGGAGCCGCGGUAGUACCGCUCUAGAGCGGUAGUAAAAAAUUACAUCCGCUCUAGUCACGGUAGUACCGCUGCAGCCUUUACCAAAACAGCCACAACUUUUGCAAACGGACUCCGAAUUCAAUGAAACCAAGUUUGUUGGAAAGCUAACGACAUGGGAUAACACAAUAUUGAUAGAAAUAUCAAGAAUAAGAAAAUGAGAAAGGUCUUAUAAGAAAAUGGUGAGAACCCUUCAUCGGAUAAGACCGGUAAAACCUCCAACACCGAAAACAUCAUAGAAGACGCAUGCGAACUCCGUUUUCGAUGAACUCAAGCUUGUCAUCAAGAUGACCAUAAGCUCUAAGACUCACAAAUAUAACCAAACAAGAACCAAGAAACAUGAUGCAAGGAUGCAAUGGUUUCAGCUCUCUACUAACGAUACGAUCAAGCUACCAACUUGAGAGCCCCCCUUGAUAGUACGUCAAACGAUCCUAUAACUCAGUCUCCCAACUACCACCACAAGACCGGUAAAAUAGAAAACCUAUCAAGGGAAAAACUUUGCCUUGCACAUGGUCCACUUGAGCUUGAUGAAGACGAUCUUGACUCCCUCAAGUUGGACCACCUUUCUUGAUUGCGUUGGCUCGAUGAAGACUAGAUGAUUGCUCCCCCAUAAUUCACUAUGGGUGAGCCACUCUUCGGCACAUCUUCACAAGUCCAUUGACACCACAAUGGAUGGCAAGAUUCAAGCACUUGAUCUCUUCGUGAUGCUCCACUUGAACUUGCACACGGCAAUCUUGAUGACAAUCACCACUUGAUGUCAUCCUUUCCAUGGGUUGUAUGAUAUCUUCCUCUUGACGCAAGCCCAUGGAUACAUACCUAACCCCACAUACAACUCUCACAUAGACCAUGGGUUAGUACAUAAAGUGCAAUGGACAAUGCUUACCAUACCAUGGGAUCACUUGAUCCCUCUCGGUACAUCUUCUAUGCUUUGUGAGUUGAUCAACUUGAUUCACUAUUGACUUAGUCUUGAUCAACCUUGAAUCUUUGCAACUCUCUUCAUUUGGACGAUGUAUUGAAGGUAAACAUGAAUGAUCACACAACCUUCUUCUUCAAGACAUGCUUGCAAUAAGCUCAACACUCGCAUGAUCAAUCUUUGGAUAAUUCCUUAAUAGCACCUUGUUCAACUCAUAAACUCCUUGAAACCAACACAUGGACUUCAAGAAAAGCCUAUGGACAAAUCCUUCAAAUAUAACUCAAGACAACCAUUAGUCCAUAGAGAUUGUCAUCAAUUACCAAAACCAAACAUGGGGGCACCGCAUGUUCUUUCAGUGAUAAUAUUCGACGAUGUACGGACACCAAGAGAUGAUGUACUUUUGCUUAUAAUUAUUGAAUGCAUGCUAAUUUGAAUACUACUUUAUUUUAUGAUUUGGUUUUGCUUAUUUUAUGAUUUGAUUUUGCUUAUUGAAUGCUCAUAUCGGAUAAGUUCUCCUUCAUUCCCGUGUGCUAGACAAUUCGAUGUAAUAAUGCACUCGGGAAUGAAAGGAGGAGCUACGUACAUCACCGAUAGUCAACCCAUGAUUAAUAAUCUAGUUUAAUAUUAGAAUUAUGAACAUAGGCCGGAAAUGUCGUACUCGGACGACGAAAACCGUCCGGGGGAGUGCGACUAGUGCCACGACGACCGAGGUAUCUGCGACAGGUUCAUUGAGCUGGACGAAGAUCGUCGCUUCAGCAUUAAGCUCGAGGAGACCUUCGAUGUUCAUACGGUACGCAACCGACGACAAUAGUUUUUUUUGUAAUUAAUCAUGACUUCAACUAUUUUAAUCAUGACAACAUUUUUCAUCUUUUCCAAUUCGACUAGCUUAUCCCAUGCUUUGCAAGACGCUAUGUCUUGGAGAGGAUGGGUUUUAAAGACCAUGAAAGUUUCGAAACCAAAAACAUUAUCCUAAGUACCCAUCAUGGUGUGGAUUUUCAAGUAAAGUUGUACAAUGCUCAAAGUGUAACCCAUUUUGGUUGCAAAAAUUGGGAAGCACUUUGCAAGAUAUAUGGUCUUGAUGACGGUAUGCUUGUCACCAUGGAUCUUGGUGAUCCUACAAUCGAGCAAGAGAGACCUUAGAUUUGGGUCCUUGUGGAUACACCUCCAAUUCUUCCCCCAUGUGAGCUUAACAUAAUUAUUAAGUAAUUUAUAUUGUUUAUUUCAAAAUAGUUUACAACUUAUCUCCAUUGACAGCUUAUUUUCAUUCUUCAAAGAAUGUGCGAAAGAUGGUAGACAGAACCUACUACACCGAAGGCUCCGAAUUAACUUAUCAGGAGAAAAAUCAUCUGGUCGCAUUUUGGACUGAUCUUGAGAAUUACAAUAUCUACAAUCAAACUCCUCAACAUUAUGGUCAAUACGUGCCACUAGUGCACGUGUUGAACUACGGUAACUACCAUGGAGAUACCCUGGUAAGAUUAUUUUUUACUAUUACAACAUCUGUGCAUCUUUUUGCACACUUCUAAAACUAGUACAUUAUUGCUAACUACGAAGUUAUUACUAUGUUUUUCAACAGAUAAUCCCGAAUGAUUGUGUGCCUCAUCUGAUGUAUACGCAUGGUAGCCUUCAUGUUUUGAACAUACAACCAGGUCGUCCUACAAAUCUCAACUAUCCAUACCGGAUUUCUAAAAGAAGUGGAGACAUAACAAUCAAAGAAUGGAAAAAAUGUAUGGACAGUCGUAAGGAGCUUCUUGGAAGCAACAAGCAGCGAAGGGCAAGAAUUGGAGACAGGAUGAUCGCCAUUCUUCAUAAUGGAGAGUCAGGGUCUAUAUUGUUUUAUGCUAUUUUACCUUAAGGUUGUUUAGGUCCUACCUGAUACUAAUGAUCAUGUGCUAAGAACAAUUAUGUAGGGUUGGGUUCGAUGACUAUGAGGAUGAGGAUCGUAUGACUUAUUAUUAAUAACGAGUAGAAGUUGUAUGAUGAUGCAUGAUAUUAGUAGGACUUGUUAUUAUAUAUGAUGAUGUAUGAUGCGAGCAUGCAUGAGCAUGUUAUAUCAGCGGGUGAAAUGAACAUAGCAGCAGCGUUGAUAAACCAAGGACGAAGAUAUAAGAGAGGACACUUCUCUCUAUUAGCUAGCUAAUAACAACCUAAAAAUAACCCCCAAAACCCCUAAAGCAGCCACUUUUGGAAAAAAAAAGCAUGGACUUUUGGUCCCGGUUGGUGCCACCAACCGGGACCAAAGGCCCCCCUGACUGGGCUCGAUGGACCGGCCACGUGGAGGCACAUCUGUCCCGGUUCGUGUUUGAACCGGGACUAAUGGGUGGAGGUAUUUGUAACAACCCAUUAGUCCCGGUUCAUGAAUCGGGACUAAAGGCUCUUUCGAACCGGGACUAAUUGGUGUUUUUCUACUAGUGUACUAGCCAGCUCAAUUAGAUUAAUUGUUGUGUAAAAGGAAGCACGUCGCACUCUUUUGACCAUUCCACGAUGUUUUCUUUUUCUCUCUUCUUUGAGGAAUCUCCAUCACUCUCUCGUCCCCCUAUUUCUUUCUUAUUCGUAUUUAUCUUUACGUAAACACGCAAUGACGAUGAUUCAUAGGAAAUAAUCUUAGAUCGAGAAAGAAAUGUAUAAUCAAUGAUCUGAUUUCUGAAAAUGAUACUUUAGUGUGCACUUGAUUUGAGAGGGAUUGGGUAGAUUAGGAAUCUCCAACGUCUGUCCUCCCGCAUUUAACUUUUGAAGAAUGGACAAGAUGCACCAUCCCACAACAUGGUUAUUAUGUAGUUACCGGGCUAGAUGUACUAUAGUUACCAACAUGAUUACUAUGUAGUUAUCGGCCUAAAUGUACUAUAGUUAUCAACAUGGUUAUUACGGAGUUACCAUGCUCGAUGGACUAUAGUUAUCAACAUGGGCUACAUGCGGUAGAAUACACCCCCCCGGUAGCUUAUGUGUAAAUAGCAUGAUAAUUUACACAUCCCAGACCUGAUAACUCAUUCACAAACAUUGAUUACUUUUACCCGAGGAAAAAAAGUUGUUUGAAACCAUCCCCUCGUAGCUUAUGUGUAAGAAGCAUGAUAAUUUACACACCACGGACCUGAUAGACUAUGCACAAACACCGUGAUAAUUUUGACCUGAGAGAAAAAAGUUGUUAAGAACAUUUCUGAUAACUUACGCGUAAAUAAAAUGCUAAUGUAUGCACCGUAGAGUUGAUUAUUCACAUACAAAUGUCGUGUUUACUUUUUGAACCGGGUGAAAAAGUUGUGGAAAACAUACCCCGAUAACUUCUACCUAAAUAGCAUGGUAACAUACACACCUCGGCGUGAUAACUCACGCAAAAACACCGUGGUAACUUUGAUCAAGAGAAAAAGUAGUUGUUGAUACCAUACCCCCAAUAAUUUCCACGGAAAUAGCAUGUUAAUAUACUCAUUGCGGACAUGGUAACUUGCGCACAAACAUCACGACAACUUUUACCAAGAGAGUUUUUUGUUUGAAACCAUACCCUUGGUAAAUUUUGUGGAAAUAACAUGGUAAUAUAUGCACCAUAGACAUGAUAACUAAACAUACACCCGAUAAUUUUUGUGUAAAUAACAUGAUGAUGUAUCAUCGCAGACUUGAUAACUAAUAUUUUAUGUUUAAACACCAUGGUGUCUUUCAUCCAAGGGGAAAAAGUUUUUGAAACAUUUCACCGGUAAUUUCUAUGUUAAAUUAUCAUACUUUCCCAUGCUUUUAACCUUCUUGUACUGUAGUUACCAGCCUUAUCAUGGUAUAGUUAUCAUGUUACUCAGACCAUAGUUAUCACGCUGGUCAUUGCCAAAGUUACCAAGCCAAACUUUAUUUUUUCUUUUGAUAUGGCAGAAAUAAGAAAGGUUCAAAUAACAUUGUCAUUCUACAAAAGACAACAACAAAAGGUGGCUUAGUUGGUUAUUAGGCUCAAUAGGUAUUACAUAGACCUGGGUUUGAAUCCUCUUUCAAGCACUUUUAUUUUCUUUUCAUAUUAUGCAGCGAAAAACCAGAAAAAAUCACUAGCAAUUUACUACAAUUUUUGAGAGAAGGAAAAAAAUCAGUGGAAGCGGGAGAAACGACGCAGCGGGACGAGCUGAAGGAUCGAUCGAAGGUUGUGCAGAUGUGCGGAUCUGUUGCUAAUCACGAGUCGACUGAUGGUUAGCACAGUCCUUAUAAUAAUGAAAUACAUGGGUUUGGUCUAUUUUGUUUGGUUUUCGUUCCAUGCCGACAAUUCCAGCUUUCAUCUUCCAAAGCAAACAAGACGACUUUUGCAAGCGGAGAGAACGUGUUUCGGGGACUAUCCCCCGCACGUGUGUCAUCACUUCUACCUCGAGAACAAGCUGAGACGUGGCAUCCCGGACGCGUCCAGUAGCUGCACACGUCCGGCCUCUCUUUAAUGGGGAGUCACUAGUCACCGGCUCCCGCCGGCCAGCCCACUCAUGCCCGCACACGUAGUGCCUCCGGCGAUCAUAUCCCCUCGCCGCAGACGGCUUAUAAAUUGGGCCUCGUGCUGCACCUGCUUCCACAACCACAAGGUGCAGCUAAGUGAUCAAGUGAGCAAGACAACACACCAGAUUUCUAAGGGAAUCAAGAUCAGCAUCUGUGCAAGAUGGAGCACGGCCAGGCGACUAACCGCGUCGACGAGUACGGCAACCCGGUGGCCGGACAUGGCGUCGGCACCGGCAUGGGGGCGCACGGCGGCGUGGGCACCGGCGCGGCCGCUGGUGGGCAUUUCCAGCCCACGAGGGAGGAGCACAAGGCCGGAGGGAUCCUGCAGCGCUCCGGCAGCUCUAGUAGCUCCAGCUCGGUGCGUGUACAUACACUUCUUGCUUGUUGCUAACACUAGUUGUAAUUUGCAUUUUCCCGUUUAAAUGCAUCAACGACUGAAUUUUCUCGUUCGUCGUGAUAGUCUGAGGAUGAUGGCAUGGGCGGGAGGAGGAAGAAGGGCAUCAAGGGGAAGAUCAAGGAGAAGCUCCCCGGUGGCCAUGGCGACCAGCAACAGACCGCUGGCACCUAUGGGCAGCAGGGUCACACCGGAAUGACCGGCACCGGGGCGCAUGGUACAGCAGCCACUGGCGGCACCUACGGGCAGCAAGGACACACCGGAGUGACCGGCACGGGGACGCACGGCACCGACGGCACUGGCGAAAAGAAGGGCAUCAUGGACAAGAUCAAGGAGAAGCUGCCCGGACAGCACUGAGCGCGGCCCGCGGCAGCUACUUGAGAGUUGGGGUGCCGAGCUGGCCACCUUUGCAGAAUAAUAAGAUGGAGAUACAGUAGAACUUCCCGAAAUAAAGUGAGCUAGCUCACUCGUAAUAUCCGAGUUCUGAGUUUAGUGGACUUGAAUUUGGGUUGCUUGCUUGUAUUUGUAUGUACCCGGGACGUUUUGCACUCUGUACUUCGAUGUGUGAUUUUUUUUUGGUUGCAUUGUGUAUUUAUUAUAUGGGGAUAUACUGCAUUAUAUUUUGGUCUUUACUUGAGCUUUCUAUGUUAUUGCAUUUUUCGAAAUUUUGUGAGACAUAUUGUACAUUGCAUGGUAAAAUGUUUUAAGAGAAUUUGGAGCAUUCUAGGCAAUUGUUGAAAUUUUUUGGAAGUAUCAAAAAAUAAGGCACACCAAAAAUACACAUACAGAUCUUGAUUUUACUAACUCGGAGGAUGUUGCAUGCGCCGUGGAUCAUAAAUGAACGGCACUGUCGGAGAUCAACAAAACAGAGUGCAUAGCCACCAAAGAAAAAUCCCCACCGCCGAAAGUUUUCCUCUAUGCUCGAGCUCACAUGCACACUGAUGAAUAGUAAAAUAUGAAUAAAUUUAAAAAAUUCUGAAUUUUUUUACACGCUGAUGAAUGUUUUACCUACAUGCAAAAAUUCGUAAUGCAAUGAUAUUUGUGGAGGUCAGGGUUAUAAAAAUAAAAUCAAUGCUCUAAAAUUAGUCUUUCUGGAGCAUUUGAUUUUUUUACCAGACCCUAAUGAAAGUGAUUUCAUCACGAAAAAUUGCACGCAUGUUUAUUAAAAAGGGGCAGAGUUUUUACAUUUUUUUUUAUUUUACUGUUUAUACAGGUGCAUAUAAGCUCGAGAUUAGAAGCUCCAUGUCCACCCACCACUUAAUUCAUUCAUACACAAACUUUUAUUUUAAUACGCACAAAUGUGCUACUUUAUACUCUCCCGUCUCAAAAUAAAUGUCUCAACUUUGUACUAGUUUUGAUACAAAAUUGUAUUAAGGUUAAGACACUUAUUUUGGAACAGAGUGGGUAUUAAAAAAAAGAGAGGGGAUAAACAGCCCCUUCACGAUGAGAUUACAUAGUUCUUACAUACACUCAACUCCACGUCUAACUCAAUCCAUCGCUAAGGGCAUCUCCAGCCGUUGGCCCCCCAUGAGGAGCAAAAUAUCGCCCCUGGGAACGCACCGGCGCUAAACCGCGCACUGGGGGCGUGUUGUCCCCCAGUCACGGCGCCCAUGGGUAGUCAAAGAAGUCCAAAACGACUCAAUUUUAACACAAACGGCGGCGAGUUCAAACUUAAAUUUAAACAUAUUUCGUCCAAACUUAAACAUAUUUUACAAAAAAGAAAGAAACUACCGCGGGCUACCCCCGCCGUCUCCCUCGCCGCCCGCCUCGUCGCACGCCCACGCGGUUCUACAUGCCGAGGAGGCUGUAGAACCGCGUGUAGUCACCGUCGUCAUCGCCGUCGUCGUCGUCGUCGCCGCCCCCACCUACGCCUCCGUCGUCCCUGCUGCAUCCCUCCCCCGGUUGGGGCGGCGGGUUGGACGGUCCGGGGGCGGCGUCGUCGUCGUCGUCGCUGUCGAGGACCACGACGCCGUGCUCGUCCUCGCGCCCACGCUUGCGGGCGGCGAUCUCCUCCAGGGCCCGGUGCUGCCGGACCGUCUCGUCGCGGAGGUAGUCCUCCCGCGCCCACCGCAUGGCGUCCUCGUAGGAGAAGCCGCGCCGGGCUAUCUCCUCGUACUCCGCGGGGAGGCCCGGCUCCGGCUUGGGCUCGACGAGGACGAAGCGGCCGGUGGGUGGCGGGGCGUUGGCGCCGAUGCGGACGCCGGAACUGCGGGUGCGCGAGCUGACCGGCAUACCCUGGGGCUUCGGCUUGACGGGGCGGAGGCAGGGCGAGCCGCCGGACGAGGAGGAGGACCCCCCGGUCUCCAUGCGCCUCGGGGUCCAGGAGCUUCCCCGGCGGUGUGAGAAGGAAGGGGGGUCGGGGUACUCGAGGCGCGGCGUGUUGCCGCCCUCGAUGUACUCGAGGACAGCCUCCAACAUGCUCCCGGGCACGCCCCACCACCGACGCCGGCCGGCGGCGUUGAGCCUGCCGGAGGGCACGACGCCGUUGGUGGCCUCGAGCUGCUGGGCGUGACGGCGGCGGAAGUACGGUUCCCAGAGCGGGCUGUCGGGGACGUACCUUGGCCCCUCCCUCGCUGCACGCGGCAGGUUCGAGCGGAUGCGUGCGAUCUCCGCACGCUGCGCCGCGCCGGCGGGUACCGGGGGCACCGGCACGCCGCCCGCGCUGAUCCUUCACGCCCUCGGCACUCGCAUGUCCGGCGGAACCGGGUUCUCGGCCUCGUAAAGGAGGCGAGCCUCGUCUUCAUGAAGAUGGCAGCGGCCGAAGCCGUUCGCCGCCGCGCCGUCGCCUGGGAAGCGUUCGGCCAUGGGUGUGAAAGAGAGGAGAGGAGAGGAAGGAACGACGACGGCGGGAGAGUCUGCGAGCCGACGAGUGCGUCGGGGCGCGGCAUAUAUAGGCCGAGGCGCCGCCCACGCGUGUGCCACCGUGUGUACGCGUCACGGGCGAGGGAGGGCGAGGGACGCGCGUCGUUCGGUCUUCACUGCGCCGCCCAUGAGGCAUCAAUGGCGCAGGCUGACCGGCGCGGCAGCGCGCGGCAGCUUUGACAUUGAUUCUCCGCGGGAAACGAGGCGAUGCGGACGACGGAGAGCCGAGAAGAGAGCCGUGUCGCUGACGCGGCGGGCCCGCGGCUUUUUCGCGCCAAAACAGUUCGCCCGGCGCCCCCGGGCGCCCCCCAGCGCGCCGGGUUCGGGCUGGGUCCGCCGGNNNNNNNNNNNNNNNNNNNNNNNNNNNNNNNNNNNNNNNNNNNNNNNNNNNNNNNNNNNNNNNNNNNNNNNNNNNNNNNNNNNNNNNNNNNNNNNNNNNNNNNNNNNNNNNNNNNNNNNNNNNNNNNNNNNNNNNNNNNNNNNNNNNNNNNNNNNNNNNNNNNNNNNNNNNNNNNNNNNNNNNNNNNNNNNNNNNNNNNNNNNNNNNNNNNNNNNNNNNNNNNNNNNNNNNNNNNNNNNNNNNNNNNNNNNNNNNNNNNNNNNNNNNNNNNNNNNNNNNNNNNNNNNNNNNNNNNNNNNNNNNNNNNNNNNNNNNNNNNNNNNNNNNNNNNNNNNNNNNNNNNNNNNNNNNNNNNGCUAUUUUCGGUCCAAGCCGGCGAAAAUCGGGCUCCUGGGGGCGCGACUGGGCCGUUUUUUCGGCGCCAGCGCGGACAAAACGCCUGGGGGGGCCUUCCUGGGGGCGCGGCUGGAGAUGCCCUAACUCCUCGCGUCACUACCCAUUGUUAGCGCUACUAGGAAACUAUCCAUGUCCGCUUUGACAAUGCCUGCCGUCUUCCAUGAUCUACACUUGACCUCUAUUCUAUGAAUUACGCUUUCCAAAGACGAUGUGGCACCAUCGAAUACGACCCCGUUGCGAUGCUUCCAUUCAAGAACAACAACCGAUCCAGUAAUUGUUGGGGAACGUAGUAAUUUCAAAAAUUUCCUACGCACACGCAAGAUCAUGGUGAUGGCAUAGCAACGAGAGGGGAGAGUGUUGUCCACGUACCCUCGUAGACCGUAAGCGGAAGCGUUAUGACAACGCGGUUGAUGUAGUCGUACGUCUUCACGAUUCGACCGAUCCAAGCACCGAACGUACGGCACCUUCGUGUUCAGCACACGUUCAGCUCGAUGACGUUCCCCGGGCUCCAAUCCAGCAAAGCGUCGGGGAUGAGUUCCGUCAGCAUGACGGCGUGGUGACGAUGAUGAUGUUCUACCGGCGCAGGGCUUCGCCUAAACUCCGCGACGAUAUGACCGAGGUGGAAUAUGGUGGAGGGGGGCACCGCACACGGCUAAGGAACGAUCCGUAGAUCAACUUGUGUGUCUAUGGGGUGCCCUUGCCUCCGUAUAUAAAGGAGUGGAGGAGGGGGAGGGCCGGCGCUCUCUAUGGCGCGCCCUAGGGGAGUCCUACUCCCACCGGGAGUAGGAUUCCCUCUUUCCUAGUAGAACUAGGAACCCUUCCAUGUAGUAGGAGUAGGAGAGAAGGAAAGGGAAGAGAGAAGGAGAAGGAAGGAAGGGGGCGCCCCCCCCUCCCUAGUCCAAUUCGGACUAGUCCAAGGGGAGGGGUGCGGCCACCCUUUUGGCCCUUUCUCUCCUUUCCCUUAUGGCCCAAUGAGGCCCAAUACGAAUUCCCGUAACUCUCCGGUACUCCGAAAAAUAACCGAAUCACUCGGAACCUUUCCGAACUCCGAAUAUAGUCGUCCAAUAUAUCGAUUUUUACGUCUCGACCAUUUCGAGACUCCUCGUCAUGUCCCCGAUCUCAUCCGGGAUUCUGAACUCCUUCGGUACAUCAAAACUCAUAAAUUCAUAAUAAAACUGUCAUCGUAACGUUAAGCGUGCGGACCCUACGGGUUCGAGAACUAUAUAGACAUGACCUAGAACUAUUCUCGGUCAAUAACCAAUAGUGGAACCUGGAUGUUCAUAUUGGUUCCUACAUAUUCUACGAAGAUCUUUAUCGGUCAAACCGCAUAACAACAUACGUUGUUCCCUUUGUCAUCGGUAUGUUACUUGCCCGAGAUUCGAUCGUCGAUAUCCAAUACCUAGUUCAAUCUCGUUACCGGCAAGUCUCUUUACUCGUUCCGUAAUACAUCAUUUCGUAACUAACUCAUUAGUUACAAUGCUUGCAAGGCUUAAGUGAUGAGUAUUACCGAGAGGGCCCAGAGAUACCUCUCCGACAAUCGGAGUGACAAAACCUAAUCUCGAAUUAUGCACUCAACAUGUACCUUUGGAGACACCUGUAGAGCAUCUUUAUAAUCACCCAGUUACGUUGUGACGUUUGGUAGCACACAAAGUGUUCCUCCGGUAAACGGGAGUUGCACAAUCUCAUAGUUGUAGGAACUUUGUAUAAGUCAUGAAGAAAGCAGUAGCAACAUACUAAACGAUCGUGUGCUAAGCUAACGGAAUGGGUCAAGUAAAUCACAUCAUUCUCCUAAUGAUGUGAUCCCGUUAAUCAAAUGACAACUCUUUUGUCCAUGGCUAGGAAACUUAACCAUCUUUGAUUCACGAGCUAGUCAAGUAGAGGCAUACUAGUGACACUAUGUUUGUCUAUGUAUUCACACAUGUAUUAUGUUUUCGGUUAAUACAAUUCUAGCAUGAAUAAUAAACAUUUAUCAUGAAAUAAGGAAAUAAAUAAUAACUUUAUUAUUGCCUCUAAGGCAUAUUUCCUUCAGUCUCCCACUUGCACUAGAGUCAAUAAUCUAGUUCACAUCACCAUGUGAUUUAACACCAAUAUUUACAUCUGUAUGUGAUUAAUACCCAUAGUUCACAUCAUCAUGUGAUCAACGCCCAAAGAGUUUACUAGAGUCAAUAAUCUAGUUCACAUGGCUAUGUGAUUGACACCCAAAGAGUACUAAGGUAUGAUCAUGUUUUGCUCAUGAGAGAAGUUUAGUCAACGGGUCUGUCACAUUCAGAGCCGUAUGUAUUUUGCAAAUAUUCUAUGUCCACAAUGCUCUGCACGGAGCUACUCUAGCUAAUUGCUCCCACUUUCAAUAUGUAUCCAGAUUGAGACUUAGAUUCAUCUGGAUUGUUGUAAAAGCUUGCAUCGUUGUAACUUUUUACGACUUGCUCUUUUAUCACCUCCAUAAUCGAGAAACGUCUCCUUAGUCCUCACUAAGGAUAUUCUUGACCGCUGUUCUAGUGAUCUACUUUUAGAUCAAAAUUGUAUUCCUUUGCCAAACUCAGAGCAAGGUAUACAAUAGGUAUAGUACACAGCAUAGCAUACUUUAUAGAACCUAUGACUGAGGCAUAGGGAAUGACUGUUCAUUCUUUUCUAUUUUCUGCCAUGGUCGGGUAUUGAGUCUUACUCAACUUCACACCUUGCAACACAGGCAAGAACGCUUUCUUUGACUGUUCAUUUUGAACUACUUCAAAAUCUUGUCAAGGUGUGUAUUCAUUGAAAAAUCAUAUCAAGCGUCUUGAUCUAUCUCUAUAGAUCUUGAUGCUCAAUGUGUAAGCAGCUUUACCGAGGUCCUUCUUCGAAAAACUCCUUUCAAAUACUCCUUUAUGCUUUACAGAAUAAUUCUACAUUAUUUCCGAUCAACAUAUGUCAUUCACAUAUACUUAUCAGAAAUGUUGUAUUGCUUCCACUCACUUUCUUGUAAAUACAGGCUUCACCGCAAGUCUGUAUAAAAGUAUAUGCUUUGAUCAAUUUAUCAAAGCGUAUAUUCCAACUCCGAGAUGCUUGCACCAGUCCAUAGAUGAAUCGCUGGAGCUUGCACAUUUUGUUCAAUUAAUCAUAUUACUUAAGAACUCCCACUUAGAUAGAUAUCUCUCUAGUCAUCUAAGUGAUUACGUGAUCCAAAUCAACUAAACCAUAACCGAUCAUCACGUGAGAUGGAGUAGUUUUCAAUGGUGAACAUCACUAUGUUGAUCAUAUCUACUAUAUGAUUCACGCUCGACCUUUCGGUCUCUGUGUUCUGAGGCCAUAUCUGCAUAUGCUAGGCUCGUCAAGUAUAACCUGAAUAUUCUGCGUGUGCAAAACUGGCUUGCACCCGUUGUAGAUGGACGUAGAGCUUAUCACACCCGAUCAUCACGUGGUGUCUGGGCACGACGAACUUUGGCAACGGUGCAUAUUCAGGGAGAACACUCCUUGAUAAUUUUUAUUGAGAGAUCAUCUUAAAAUGCUACCGUCAAUCAAAGCAAGAUAAGAUGCAUAAAAGAUAAACAUCACAUGCAAUCAAUAUAAGUGAUAUGAUAUGGCCAUCAUCAUCUUGUGCUUGUGAUCUCCAUCUCCGAAGCACCGUCGUGAUCACCAUCGUCACUGGCGCGGCACCUUGAUCUUCAUCGUAGGAUCGUUGUCGUUUACGCCAUCUAUUGCUUCUACGACUAUCGCUACCGCUUAGUGAUAAAGUAAAGCAAUUACAGGGCGUUUGUGUUUCAUACAAUAAAGCGACAACCAUAUGGCUCCUGCCAGUUGCCGAUAACUUCGGUUACAAAACAUGAUCAUCUCAUACAAUAAAUAUAGCAUCACGUCUUGACCAUAUCACAUCACAACAUGCCCUGCAAAAACAAGUUAGACGUCCUCUACUUUGUUGUUGCAAGUUUUACGUGGCUGCUACGGGCUUAGCAAGAACCGUUCUUACCUACGCAUCAAAACCACAACGAUAGUUCGUCAAGUUAGUGUUGUUUUAACCUUCGCAAGUACCGGGCGUAGCCACACUCGGUUCAACUUAAGUUGGAGAAACUGACACCCGCCAGCCACCUGUGUGCAAAGCACGUCGGUAGAACCAGUCUCGCGUAAGCGUACGCGUAAUGUCGGUCCGGACCGCUUCAUCCAACAAUACCGCUGAACCAAAGUAUGACUUGUAUUGCCCACAACUCACUUGUGUUCUACUCGUGCAUAUGACAUCUACGCAUAAAACCUAGGCUCGGAUGCCACUGUUGGGGAACGUAGUAAUUUCAAAAAAAUUCCUAUGCACACGCAAGAUCAUGGUGAUGGCAUAGCAACAAGAGGGGAGAGUGUUGUCCACGUACCCUCGUAGACCGUAAGCGGAAGAGUUAUCACAACGCGGUUGAUGUAGUCAUACGUCUUCACGACUCGACCGAUCCAAGCACCGAACAUACGGCACCUCCGUGUUCAGCACACGUUCAGCUCGAUGACGUUCCCCGGGCUCCAAUCCAGCAAAGCGUCGGGGAUGAGUUCCGUCAGCACGACGGCAUGGUGAUGAUGAUGAUGUUCUACCGGCGCAGGGCUUCGCCUAAACUCCGCGACGAUAUGACCGAGGUGGAAUAUGGUGGAGGGGGGCACCGCACACGGCUAAGGAAUGAUCCGUAGAUCAACUUGUGUGUACUAGGGUGCCCCCUGCCCCCGUAUAUAAAGGAGCAAGGGGGAGGUCGGCCGGCCCCUUGGGGCGCGCCAAGGGGGAGGAGUUCUCCUCCUAGUAGGAGUAGGACUCCCCUUUUCCUACUCCUACUAGGAGGGGGAAAGGAAGGGGGAGAGGGGGAAGGAAAGAGGGGGGCGCCGCCCCCCCCCCUCCUAGUCCAAUUCGGACCAGAGGGAGAGGGGGCACGCGGCCCACCCUGGCCGCCCCUCUCUCUUCCCACUAAGGCCCAUGUGGCCCAUUAACUCUCCCGGGGGGGUUUCGGUAACCCUCCGGCACUCCGGUUUUCUCCGAAAUCACCCGGAACACUUCCGGUGUCCGAAUAUAGUCGUCCAAUAUAUCAUUCUUUAUGUCUCGAUCAUUUCAAGACUCCUCGUCAUGUCUGUGAUCACAUCCGGGACAACAAACAAACUUCGGUACAUCAAAACUUGUAAGCUCAUAAUAAAACUGUCAUCGUAACGUUAAGCGUGCGGACCCUACGGGUUCGAGAACUAUGUAGACAUGACCUAGAACUAUUCUCGGUCAAUAACCAAUAGUGGAACCUGGAUGUUCAUAUUGGUUCCUACAUAUUCUACGAAGAUCUUUAUCGGUCAAACCGCAUAACAACAUACGUUAUUCCCUUUGUCAUCGGUAUGUUACUUGCCCGAGAUUCGAUCGACGGCAUCCAAUACCUAGUUCAAUCUCAUUACCGGCAAGUCCCUUUACUCGUUACAUAAUACAUCAUUUCAUAACUAACUCAUUAGUUACAAUGCUUGCAAGGCUUAAGUGAUGAGUAUUACCGAGAGGGCCCAGAGAUACCUCUCCGACAAUCGGAGUGACAAAACCUAAUCUCAAAUUAUGCCAACUCAACAUGUACCUUUGGAGACACCUGUAGAGCACCUUUAUAAUCACCCAGUUACGUUGUGACGUUUUGUAGCACACAAAGUGUUCCUCCGGUAAACGGGAGUUGCACAAUCUCAUAGUUGUAGGAACUUUGUAUAAGUCAUGAAGAAAGCAAUAGCAACAUACUAAACGAUCAAGUGCUAAGCUAACGGAAUGGGUCAAGUCAAUCACAACAUUCUCCUAAUGAUGUGAUCCCAUUAAUCAAAUGACAACACAUGUCUAUAGUUAGGAAACAUAACCAUCUUUGAUUAAUGAGCUAGUCAAGUAGAGGCAUACUAGUGACACUUUGUUUGUCUAUGUAUUCACACAUGUAUCAUGUUUCCGGUUAAUACAAUUCUAGCAUGAAUAAUAAACAUUUAUCAUGAUAUGAGGAAAUAAAUAAUAACUUUAUUAUUGCCUCUAGGGCAUAUUUCCUUCACCUAGGCACUAGGCGAAGGCCAACCGCCUCGCUUACGCCUACCGCUUUUUCCAACCUUGAUGAGAUUGAACUUGUGCCCUCUUCCCUUGUUGCUUGACACUAAUGGCCUUCUUCUUCAAUGGGCAAGAUCUAACAUGAUGCCCUUCUACUUUGCACUUGAAGCAAACAAUCUUGGCCGAAUUCUUGACUUGUUUUUGGCCCUUCCUUUUGUUCAUCUUGGACUUCUUCUUCUUAUUGGAGUUGAAUCCAAGUCCACCUUUGUCAUCGGGGGAUUUUUGCACACUCAAGAUAUUGUUGAGUGUGGAUUUCCCUUGAUGACUCUUUUCCAAGUCUUUCUUCAAAGAAGUGACUUGGGCCUUGAGCUCUUUGAUUUCCUCUACAUGGUUAGUCUCAACACAAGUACUAGAGGAAGUAUAAGCUUCAUAGUUAGAGCAACAAGGCAAGGAAAGCAAUUCAUCACAAGAUGUACCAACAUUGUGAGUAGAUGAAUUACAAGGACUAGCACAUGGCAAUAUACUAUUUUGACUAGAAGUAGUGCUAGUAUCCACAUGAGGCUCAAUCAUGGCCUCAUGAGCUAUCUUUAGCACACUAUGGGAUACUAGAAGAUCAUCAGGAGAGCUUGAGAGCUUUUCAUGACUUUCUUCCAAUUUCCCAUAAUUGCUAGAUAGCACCUCCAGUUGAGCCCGUAGCUCAACAUUCUCCUUCAAAAUGGAUGCUUCACAAGUAAUAGAAUUAGUAGCACAAGCAUCAUCAUUAACAACAAGAGGAGAAGGCAACUUGGCAACCUCUUUUAAAUAAGAGGCUUCAAGUUGGGCAUGAGACUCGGUGAGUUUGAUGAGCUCACCCUUGAUGACCCUUGAGCCAUUUUCGAGGUGCUCAAAAUCCUCAAGGAGUCUAGCAUGAUAAACUUCAAGCUUAGCAUUUUUAGUUUUGAAAUCGUUGGCCACCUCAAGAGCUCUAUCAUGAGAUUCCCUCACUCUAGAUAAUUCUAGAGCAAAAGUCUCCUCAAGAGAUUUGGAGGUGGUUUGUUCAUGUUCAAGAGCUUGAGAUAGCUCCACGAUCUCAUUUGCGUAAUCAUGCCCAUGAGCUUCCAUUUUCUCAAUGGUGACCUCAUGCUCCUCGAGAUGAGAUUCCAACUCCUCAAUAUAUUUCUUGCCCUCAAUGGCAAUGGACAUAAUUUCCAUGAAGUUGGAACAAGCAAUUUUAUUUUUAUGAAGAGCUUUAAAAAUAAUCUCCCCCUUAGUUUUUAAGGAGGCAACAUUAUCAUUCUCUUCAUCAUUAUCCUCAUCAUCAUUAGCAUCAACAUCAUCAUCAAGAGACAUAUUGGGGUACAAAGUAGGAGAUACCUUUGAUGCCUUAGCCAUAAGGCAAAAAGCAAUAGAUGAUGAUGUAGGAUCCCUUGAGGCACCAUUAAACACCACAUCUUGUUCCAUGGAGUGUUCGGUUUCCUCUACAUUGUUAGCACAAUAAUUCGAGGAAAUAGAUGCAUUUUUAUCAUGGCAACAAGACAUAGCAAGCAUAUCAUCAUGCGAUUUAGUCAAGCAAUUUCUACAUGAUAUGCAAGGACUAUCAACACAAGCAUGUGAAACAUUUGGAGUGCUCGAAGUGUUAAAGCCCAAAGAAGGAGCAUUACAAUAAUAUAGUGAUGAAGGAUCAUCCACAAUAAGCAUACUAUCACCAUUGCAAUGACCAACACUACUCACCAUAUCAUUACCUUGUGGCAAACCACAUGUAGGUGAAGUAGAAGAAGUUGAGAAGACUAUACGACCGGAGGUGGAGGGGGAACAAUCAUCCCAAAUAUUGGACACACCAUAUUUAUCUUGAAGCUUUGUCCACAACUCAUGAGCAUCCCGGAACGACAUGAGUUGAAAAAUAACUACAUUGCUCAAAGCAUCAAAAAGCACAUUAGAAGCUUGAGCAUUGAGAUAAGAGUUUUUCUCAUCCUCUAAAGAUAAUCUUUGGGGAUCCUUUGGAGGAGAAAAACCCAUAUCUACAAUUCGCUCUAAAUUUGGGUCCAUGAGCCUAAAGAGAUUAAGCAUGCGAAUUACCCAAACAUCAAAAUUUGUGCCAUCGAAACUAAGAGUGUCAGAGAAUCCUAAUCCCCUAGUCGACAUCUUUACACUCUAGGCGGUUAAGCCUAACAAAGAGAGACGAGGCUCUGAUACCAAUUGAAAGAUCGAGGAUGUCGCCUAGAGGGGGGGCUGAAUAGGCGCUUUAAAAUAAUUACGGUUUAGGCUUGAACAAAUGCGGAAUAAACCUAGCGGUUAAUUUGUCAAGCACAAAACCUACAACAAAUAGGUCACCUAUGUGCACCAACAACUUAUGCUAAGCAAGAUAAGCAACUAUGUGAUAGCAAGAUAUAUGACAAAAACAAUAUGGCUAUCACAAAGUAAAGUGCAUAAGUAAAGGGGCUCGGGUAAGAGAUAACCGAGGCACGCGGAGACGACGAUGUAUCCCGAAGUUCACACCCUUGCGGAUGCUAAUCUCCGUUUGGAGCGGUGUGGAGGCACAAUGCUCCCCAAGAAGCCACUAGGGCCACCGUAAUCUCCUCACGCCCUCGCAGAAUGCAAGAUGUCGUGAUUCCACUAAGGGGCCCUUGAGGGCGGUCACCGAACCCGUACAAAUGGCGACCCUUGGGGGCGGUCACCGAACCCGUACACUUUGGCAACCCUUGGGGGCGGUCACCGGUACCCGUCAAAUUGCUCGGGGCGAUCUCCACAACCUAAUUGGAGACCCCGACGCUUGCCCGGAGCUUUACACCACAAUGAUUGAGCUCCGAACACCACCAACCGUCUAGGGCACCAAGGCACCCAAGAGGAACAAGCUCUAGGGUGCCCAAACACCCAAGAGUAAUAAGCUUCUCAAACUUCACUUCCACGUAUCACCGUGGAGAACUCAAACUGAUGCACCAAAUGCAAUGGCAAGGGCACACGGAGUGCCCAAGUCCUUCUCUCCCAAAUCCCACCAAAGCAACUAAUGCUAGGGAGGAAAAUGAGAGAAAGAACGAAAGAAGAACACGAAGAACUCCAAGAUCUAGAUCCAAGGGGUUCCCCUCACUUAGAGGAGAAAGUGAUUGGUGGAAACGUGGAUCUAGAUCUCCUCUCUCUUUUCCCUCAAGAACUAGCAAGAAUCCAUGGAGGGAUUGAGAGUUAGCAAGCUCGAAGAAGGUCAACAAUGGGGGAAGAACACGAGCUCAAGGGAUUAGGUUCAUUGGGGAAGAAGACCCCCUUUUAUAGGACCUCCCGAAUCCAACCAUUAUGUGCUCAGGUCGUGCACAAGCGGUACUACCGCUUGGAGGAGCGGUACUACCGCUUAGCACGGUCAAAACAGCCCAACGAGAGAGAAAACACGAGUUUUUGGUCCGGAGCGGUACUACCACUUAGGAGCCAUGGUAGUACUUCUCUGGAGCGGUACUACCGCUCAGGAGCCGCGGUAGUACCGCUCUAGAGCGGUAGUAAAAAAUUACAUCCGCUCUAGUCACGGUAGUACCGCUGCAGCCUUUACCAAAACAGCCACAACUUUUGCAAACGGACUCCGAAUUCAAUGAAACCAAGUUUGUUGGAAAGCUAACGACAUGGGAUAACACAAUAUUGAUAGAAAUAUCAAGAAUAAGCAAAUGAGAAAGGUCUUAUAAGAAAAUGGUGAGAACCCUUCAUCGGAUAAGACCGGUAAAACCUCCAACACCGAAAACAUCAUAGAAGACGCAUGCGAACUCCGUUUUCGAUGAACUCAAGCUUGUCAUCAAGAUGACCAUAAGCUCUAAGACUCACAAAGAUAACCAAACAAGAACCAAGAAACAUGAUGCAAGGAUGCAAUGGUUUGAGCUCUCUACUAACGAUACGAUCAAGCUACCAACUUGAGAGCCCCCCUUGAUAGUACGUCAAACGAUCCUAUAACUCAGUCUCCCAACUACCACCACAAGACCGGUAAAAUAGAAAACCUAUCAAGGGAAAACCUUUGCCUUGCACAUGGUCCACUUGAGCUUGAUGAAGACGAUCUUGACUCCCUCAAGUUGGACCACCUUUCUUGAUUGCGUUGGCUCGAUGAAGACUAGAUGAUUGCUCCCCCAUAAUUCACUAUGGGUGAGCCACUCUUCGGCACAUCUUCACAAGUCCAUUGACACCACAAUGGAUGGCAAGAUUCAAGCACUUGAUCUCUUCGUGAUGCUCCACUUGAACUUGCACACGGCAAUCUUGAUGACAAUCACCACUUGAUGUCAUCCUUUCCAUGGGUUGUAUGAUAUCUUCCUCUUGACGCAAGCCCAUGGAUACAUACCUAACCCCACAUACAACUCUCACAUAGACCAUGGGUUAGUACAUAAAGUGCAAUGGACAAUGCUUACCAUACCAUGGGAUCACUUGAUCCCUCUCGGUACAUCUUCUAUGCUUUGUGAGUUGAUCAACUUGAUUCACUAUUGACUUGGUCUUGAUCAACCUUGAAUCUUUGCAACUCUCUUCAUUUGGACGAUGUAUUGAAGGUAAACAUGAAUGAGCACACAACCUUCUUCUUCAAGACAUGCUUGCAAUAAGCUCAACACUCGCAUGAUCAAUCUUUGGAUAAUUCCUUAAUAGCACCUUGGUCAACUCAUAAACUCCUUGAAACCAACACAUGGACUUCAAGAAAAGCCUAUGGACAAAUCCUUCAAAUAUAACUCAAGACAACCAUUAGUCCAUAGAGAUUGUCAUCAAUUACCAAAACCAAACAUGGGGGCACCGCAUGUUCUUUCAGUGAUAAUAUUCGACGAUGUACGGACACCAAGAGAUGAUGUACUUUUGCUUAUAAUUAUUGAAUGCAUGCUAAUUUGAAUACUACUUUAUUUUAUGAUUUGGUUUUGCUUAUUUUAUGAUUUGAUUUUGCUUAUUGAAUGCUCAUAUCGGAUAAGUUCUCCUUCAUUCCCGUGUGCUAGACAAUUUGAUGUAAUAAUGCACUCGGGAAUGAAAGGAGGAGCUACGUACAUCACCGAUAGUCAACCCAUGAUUAAUAAUCUAGUUUAAUAUUAGAAUUAUGAACAUAGGCCGGAAAUGUCGUACUCGGACGACGAAAACCGUCCGGGGGAGUGCGACUAGUGCCACGACGACCGAGGUAUCUGCGACAGGUUCAUUGAGCUGGACGAAGAUCGUCGCUUCAGCAUUAAGCUCGAGGAGACCUUCGAUGUUCAUACGGUACGCAACCGACGACAAUAGUUUUUUUUGUAAUUAAUCAUGACUUCAACUAUUUUAAUCAUGACAACAUUUUUCAUCUUUUCCAAUUCGACUAGCUUAUCCCAUGCUUUGCAAGACGCUAUGUCUUGGAGAGGAUGGGUUUUAAAGACCAUGAAAGUUUCGAAACCAAAAACAUUAUCCUAAGUACCCAUCAUGGUGUGGAUUUUCAAGUAAAGUUGUACAAUGCUCAAAGUGUAACCCAUUUUGGUUGCAAAAAUUGGGAAGCACUUUGCAAGAUAUAUGGUCUUGAUGACGGUAUGCUUGUCACCAUGGAUCUUGGUGAUCCUACAAUCGAGCAAGAGAGACCUUAGAUUUGGGUCCUUGUGGAUACACCUCCAAUUCUUCCCCCAUGUGAGCUUAACAUAAUUAUUAAGUAAUUUAUAUUGUUUAUUUCAAAAUAGUUUACAACUUAUCUCCAUUGACAGCUUAUUUUCAUUCUUCAAAGAAUGUGCGAAAGAUGGUAGACAGAACCUACUACACCGAAGGCUCCGAAUUAACUUAUCAGGAGAAAAAUCAUCUGGUCGCAUUUUGGACUGAUCUUGAGAAUUACAAUAUCUACAAUCAAACUCCUCAACAUUAUGGUCAAUACGUGCCACUAGUGCACGUGUUGAACUACGGUAACUACCAUGGAGAUACCCUGGUAAGAUUAUUUUUUACUAUUACAACAUCUGUGCAUCUUUUUGCACACUUCUAAAACUAGUACAUUAUUGCUAACUACGAAGUUAUUACUAUGUUUUUCAACAGAUAAUCCCGAAUGAUUGUGUGCCUCAUCUGAUGUAUACGCAUGGUAGCCUUCAUGUUUUGAACAUACAACCAGGUCGUCCUACAAAUCUCAACUAUCCAUACCGGAUUUCUAAAAGAAGUGGAGACAUAACAAUCAAAGAAUGGAAAAAAUGUAUGGACAGUCGUAAGGAGCUUCUUGGAAGCAACAAGCAGCGAAGGGCAAGAAUUGGAGACAGGAUGAUCGCCAUUCUUCAUAAUGGAGAGUCAGGGUCUAUAUUGUUUUAUGCUAUUUUACCUUAAGGUUGUUUAGGUCCUACCUGAUACUAAUGAUCAUGUGCUAAGAACAAUUAUGUAGGGUUGGGUUCGAUGACUAUGAGGAUGAGGAUCGUAUGACUUAUUAUUAAUAACGAGUAGAAGUUGUAUGAUGAUGCAUGAUAUUAGUAGGACUUGUUAUUAUAUAUGAUGAUGUAUGAUGCGAGCAUGCAUGAGCAUGUUAUAUCAGCGGGUGAAAUGAACAUAGCAGCAGCGUUGAUAAACCAAGGACGAAGAUAUAAGAGAGGACACUUCUCUCUAUUAGCUAGCUAAUAACAACCUAAAAAUAACCCCCAAAACCCCUAAAGCAGCCACUUUUGGAAAAAAAAGCAUGGACUUUUGGUCCCGGUUGGUGCCACCAACCGGGACCAAAGGCCCCCCUGACUGGGCUCGAUGGACCGGCCACGUGGAGGCACAUCUGUCCCGGUUCGUGUUUGAACCGGGACUAAUGGGUGGAGGUAUUUGUAACAACCCAUUAGUCCCGGUUCAUGAACCGGGACUAAAGGCUCUUUCGAACCGGGACUAAUUGGUGUUUUUCUACUAGUGUACUAGCCAGCUCAAUUAGACUAAUUGUUGUGUAAAAGGAAGCACGUCGCACUCUUUUGACCAUUCCACGAUGUUUUCUUUUUCUCUUUUCUUUGAGGAAUCUCCAUCACUCUCUCGUCCCCCUAUUUCUUUCUUAUUCGUAUUUAUCUUUACGUAAACACGCAAUGACGAUGAUUCAUAGGAAAUAAUCUUAGAUCGAGAAAGAAAUGUAUAAUCAAUGAUCUGAUUUCUGAAAAUGAUACUUUAGUGUGCACUUGAUUUGAGAGGGAUUGGGUAGAUUAGGAAUCUCCAACGUCUGUCCUCCCGCAUUUAACUUUUGAAGAAUGGACAAGAUGCACCAUCCCACAACAUGGUUAUUAUGUAGUUACCGGGCUAGAUGUACUAUAGUUACCAACAUGAUUACUAUGUAGUUAUCGGCCUAAAUGUACUAUAGUUAUCAACAUGGUUAUUACGGAGUUACCAUGCUCGAUGGACUAUAGUUAUCAACAUGGGCUACAUGCGGUAGAAUACACCCCCCCCCGGUAGCUUAUGUGUAAAUAGCAUGAUAAUUUACACAUCCCAGACCUGAUAACUCAUUCACAAACAUUGAUUACUUUUACCCGAGGAAAAAAAGUUGUUUGAAACCAUCCCCUCGUAGCUUAUGUGUAAGAAGCAUGAUAAUUUACACACCACGGACCUGAUAGACUAUGCACAAACACCGUGAUAAUUUUGACCUGAGAGAAAAAAGUUGUUAAGAACAUUUCUGAUAACUUACGCGUAAAUAAAAUGCUAAUGUAUGCACCGUAGAGUUGAUUAUUCACAUACAAAUGUCGUGUUUACUUUUUGAACCGGGUGAAAAAGUUGUGGAAAACAUACCCCGAUAACUUCUACCUAAAUAGCAUGGUAACAUACACACCUCGGCGUGAUAACUCACGCAAAAACACCGUGGUAACUUUGAUCAAGAGAAAAAGUAGUUGUUGAUACCAUACCCCCAAUAAUUUCCACGGAAAUAGCAUGUUAAUAUACUCAUUGCGGACAUGGUAACUUGCGCACAAACAUCACGACAACUUUUAGCAAGAGAGUUUUUUGUUUGAAACCAUACCCUUGGUAAAUUUUGUGGACAUAACAUGGUAAUAUAUGCACCAUAGACAUGAUAACUAAACAUACACCCGAUAAUUUUUGUGUAAAUAACAUGAUGAUGUAUCAUCGCAGACUUGAUAACUAAUAUUUUAUGUUUAAACACCAUGGUGUCUUUCAUCCAAGGGGAAAAAGUUUUUGAAACAUUUCACCGGUAAUUUCUAUGUUAAAUUAUCAUACUUUCCCAUGCUUUUAACCUUCUUGUACUGUAGUUACCAGCCUUAUCAUGGUAUAGUUAUCAUGUUACUCAGACCAUAGUUAUCACGCUGGUCAUUGCCAAAGUUACCAAGCCAAACUUUAUUUUUUCUUUUGAUAUGGCAGAAAUAAGAAAGGUUCAAAUAACAUUGUCAUUCUACAAAAGACAACAACAAAAGGUGGCUUAGUUGGUUAUUAGGCUCAAUAGGUAUUACAUAGACCUGGGUUUGAAUCCUCUUUCAAGCACUUUUAUUUUCUUUUCAUAUUAUGCAGCGAAAAACCAGAAAAAAUCACUAGCAAUUUACUACAAUUUUUGAGAGAAGGAAAAAAAUCAGUGGAAGCGGGAGAAACGACGCAGCGGGACGAGCUGAAGGAUCGAUCGAAGGUUGUGCAGAUGUGCGGAUCUGUUGCUAAUCACGAGUCGACUGAUGGUUAGCACAGUCCUUAUAAUAAUGAAAUACAUGGGUUUGGUCUAUUUUGUUUGGUUUUCGUUCCAUGCCGACAAUUCCAGCUUUCAUCUUCCAAAGCAAACAAGACGACUUUUGCAAGCGGAGAGAACGUGUUUCGGGGACUAUCCCCGCACGUGUGUCAUCACUUCUACCUCGAGAACAAGCUGAGACGUGGCAUCCCGGACGCGUCCAGUAGCUGCACACGUCCGGCCUCUCUUUAAUGGGGAGUCACUAGUCACCGGCUCCCGCCGGCCAGCCCACUCAUGCCCGCACACGUAGUGCCUCCGGCGAUCAUAUCCCCUCGCCGCAGACGGCUUAUAAAUUGGGCCUCGUGCUGCACCUGCUUCCACAACCACAAGGUGCAGCUAAGUGAUCAAGUGAGCAAGACAACACACCAGAUUUCUAAGGGAAUCAAGAUCAGCAUCUGUGCAAGAUGGAGCACGGCCAGGCGACUAACCGCGUCGACGAGUACGGCAACCCGGUGGCCGGACAUGGCGUCGGCACCGGCAUGGGGGCGCACGGCGGCGUGGGCACCGGCGCGGCCGCUGGUGGGCAUUUCCAGCCCACGAGGGAGGAGCACAAGGCCGGAGGGAUCCUGCAGCGCUCCGGCAGCUCUAGUAGCUCCAGCUCGGUGCGUGUACAUACACUUCUUGCUUGUUGCUAACACUAGUUGUAAUUUGCAUUUUCCCGUUUAAAUGCAUCAACGACUGAAUUUUCUCGUUCGUCGUGAUAGUCUGAGGAUGAUGGCAUGGGCGGGAGGAGGAAGAAGGGCAUCAAGGGGAAGAUCAAGGAGAAGCUCCCCGGUGGCCAUGGCGACCAGCAACAGACCGCUGGCACCUAUGGGCAGCAGGGUCACACCGGAAUGACCGGCACCGGGGCGCAUGGUACAGCAGCCACUGGCGGCACCUACGGGCAGCAAGGACACACCGGAGUGACCGGCACGGGGACGCACGGCACCGACGGCACUGGCGAAAAGAAGGGCAUCAUGGACAAGAUCAAGGAGAAGCUGCCCGGACAGCACUGAGCGCGGCCCGCGGCAGCUACUUGAGAGUUGGGGUGCCGAGCUGGCCACCUUUGCAGAAUAAUAAGAUGGAGAUACAGUAGAACUUCCCGAAAUAAAGUGAGCUAGCUCACUCGUAAUAUCCGAGUUCUGAGUUUAGUGGACUUGAAUUUGGGUUGCUUGCUUGUAUUUGUAUGUACCCGGGACGUUUUGCACUCUGUACUUCGAUGUGUGAUUUUUUUUUGGUUGCAUUGUGUAUUUAUUAUAUGGGGAUAUACUGCAUUAUAUUUUGGUCUUUACUUGAGCUUUCUAUGUUAUUGCAUUUUUCGAAAUUUUGUGAGACAUAUUGUACAUUGCAUGGUAAAAUGUUUUAAGAGAAUUUGGAGCAUUCUAGGCAAUUGUUGAAAUUUUUUGGAAGUAUCAAAAAAUAAGGCACACCAAAAAUACACAUACAGAUCUUGAUUUUACUAACUCGGAGGAUGUUGCAUGCGCCGUGGAUCAUAAAUGAACGGCACUGUCGGAGAUCAACAAAACAGAGUGCAUAGCCACCAAAGAAAAAUCCCCACCGCCGAAAGUUUUCCUCUAUGCUCGAGCUCACAUGCACACUGAUGAAUAGUAAAAUAUGAAUAAAUUUAAAAAAUUCUGAAUUUUUUUACACGCUGAUGAAUGUUUUACCUACAUGCAAAAAUUCGUAAUGCAAUGAUAUUUGUGGAGGUCAGGGUUAUAAAAAUAAAAUCAAUGCUCUAAACUUAGUCUUUCUGGAGCAUUUGAUUUUUUUACCAGACCCUAAUGAAAGUGAUUUCAUCACGAAAAAUUGCACGCAUGUUUAUUAAAAAGGGGCAGAGUUUUUACAUUUUUUUUUAUUUUACUGUUUAUACAGGUGCAUAUAAGCUCGAGAUUAGAAGCUCCAUGUCCACCCACCACUUAAUUCAUUCAUACACAAACUUUUAUUUUAAUACGCACAAAUGUGCUACUUUAUACUCUCCCGUCUCAAAAUAAAUGUCUCAACUUUGUACUAGUUUUGAUACAAAAUUGUAUUAAGGUUAAGACACUUAUUUUGGAACAGAGUGGGUAUUAAAAAAAAGAGAGGGGAUAAACAGCCCCUUCACGAUGAGAUUACAUAGUUCUUACAUACACUCAACUCCACGUCUAACUCAAUCCAUCGCUAAGGGCAUCUCCAGCCGUUGGCCUCCCAUGAGGGGCAAAAUAUCGCCCCUGGGAACGCACCGGCGCUAAACCGCGCACUGGGGGCGUGUUGCCCCCCAGUCACGGCGCCCAUGGGUAGUCAAAGAAGUCCAAAACGACUCAAUUUUAACACAAACGGCGGUGAGUUCAAACUUAAAUUUAAACAUAUUUCGUCCAAACUUAAACAUAUUUUACAAAAAAGAAAGAAACUACCGCGGGCUACCCCCGCCGUCUCCCUCGCCGCCCGCCUCGUCGCACGCCCACGCGGUUCUACAUGCCGAGGAGGCUGUAGAACCGCGUGUAGUCACCGUCGUCAUCGCCGUCGUCGUCGUCGUCGCCGCCCCCACCUACGCCUCCGUCGUCCCUGCUGCAUCCUUCCCCCGGUUGGGGCGGCGGGUUGGACGGUCCGGGGGCGGCCUCGUCGUCGUCGUCGCUGUCGAGGACCACGACGCCGUGCUCGUCCUCGCGCCCACGCUUGCGGGCGGCGAUCUCCUCCAGGGCCCGGCGCUGCCGGACCGUCUCGUCGCGGAGGUAGUCCUCCCGCGCCCACCGCAUGGCGUCCUCGUAGGAGAAGCCGCGCCGGGCUAUCUCCUCGUACUCCGCGGGGAGGCCCGGCUCCGGCUUGGGCUCGACGAGGACGAAGCGGCCGGUGGGUGGCGGGGCGUUGGCGCCGAUGCGGACGCCGGAACUGCGGGUGCGCGAGCUGACCGGCAUACCCUGGGGCUUCGGCUUGACGGGGCGGAGGCAGGGCGAGCCGCCGGACGAGGAGGAGGACCCCCCGGUCUCCAUGCGCCUCGGGGUCCAGGAGCUUCCCCGGCGGUGUGAGAAGGAAGGGGGGUCGGGGUACUCGAGGCGCGGCGUGUUGCCGCCCUCGAUGUACUCGAGGACAGCCUCCAACAUGCUCCCGGGCACGCCCCACCACCGACGCCGGCCGGCGGCGUUGAGCCUGCCGGAGGGCACGACGCCGUUGGUGGCCUCAAGCUGCUGGGCGUGACGGCGGCGGAAGUACGGUUCCCAGAGCGGGCUGUCGGGGACGUACCUUGGCCCCUCCCUCGCUGCACGCGGCAGGUUCGAGCGGAUGCGUGCGAUCUCCGCACGCUGCGCCGCGCCGGCGGGUACCGGGGGCACCGGCACGCCGCCCGCGCUGAUCCUUCACGCCCUCGGCACUCGCAUGUCCGGCGGAACCGGGUUCUCGGCCUCGUAAAGGAGGCGAGCCUCGUCUUCAUGAAGAUGGCAGCGGCCGAAGCCGUUCGCCGCCGCGCCGUCGCCUGGGAAGCGUUCGGCCAUGGGUGUGAAAGAGAGGAGAGGAGAGGAAGGAACGACGACGGCGGGAGAGUCUGCGAGCCGACGAGUGCGUCGGGGCGCGGCAUAUAUAGGCCGAGGCGCCGCCCACGCGUGUGCCACCGUGUGUACGCGUCACGGGCGAGGGAGGGCGAGGGACGCGCGUCGUUCGGUCUUCACUGCGCCGCCCAUGAGGCAUCAAUGGCGCAGGCUGACCGGCGCGGCAGCGCGCGGCAGCUUUGACAUUGAUUCUCCGCGGGAAACGAGGCGAUGCGGACGACGGAGAGCCGAGAAGAGAGCCGUGUCGCUGACGCGGCGGGCCCGCGGCUUUUUCGCGCCAAAACAGUUCGCCCGGCGCCCCCGGGCGCCCCCCAGCGCGCCGGGUUCGGGCUGGGUCCGCCGGNNNNNNNNNNNNNNNNNNNNNNNNNNNNNNNNNNNNNNNNNNNNNNNNNNNNNNNNNNNNNNNNNNNNNNNNNNNNNNNNNNNNNNNNNNNNNNNNNNNNNNNNNNNNNNNNNNNNNNNNNNNNNNNNNNNNNNNNNNNNNNNNNNNNNNNNNNNNNNNNNNNNNNNNNNNNNNNNNNNNNGCUAUUUUCGGUCCAAGCCGGCGAAAAUCGGGCUCCUGGGGGCGCGACUGGGCCGUUUUUUCGGCGCCAGCGCGGACAAAACGCCUGGGGGGGCCUUCCUGGGGGCGCGGCUGGAGAUGCCCUAACUCCUCGCGUCACUACCCAUUGUUAGCGCUACUAGGAAACUAUCCAUGUCCGCUUUGACAAUGCCUGCCGUCUUCCAUGAUCUACACUUGACCUCUAUUCUAUGAAUUACGCUUUCCAAAGACGAUGUGGCACCAUCGAAUACGACCCCGUUGCGAUGCUUCCAUUCAAGAACAACAACCGAUCCAGUAAUUGUUGGGGAACGUAGUAAUUUCAAAAAUUUCCUACGCACACGCAAGAUCAUGGUGAUGGCAUAGCAACGAGAGGGGAGAGUGUUGUCCACGUACCCUCGUAGACCGUAAGCGGAAGCGUUAUGACAACGCGGUUGAUGUAGUCGUACGUCUUCACGAUUCGACCGAUCCAAGCACCGAACGUACGGCACCUUCGUGUUCAGCACACGUUCAGCUCGAUGACGUUCCCCGGGCUCCAAUCCAGCAAAGCGUCGGGGAUGAGUUCCGUCAGCAUGACGGCGUGGUGACGAUGAUGAUGUUCUACCGGCGCAGGGCUUCGCCUAAACUCCGCGACGAUAUGACCGAGGUGGAAUAUGGUGGAGGGGGGCACCGCACACGGCUAAGGAACGAUCCGUAGAUCAACUUGUGUGUCUAUGGGGUGCCCUUGCCUCCGUAUAUAAAGGAGUGGAGGAGGGGGAGGGCCGGCGCUCUCUAUGGCGCGCCCUAGGGGAGUCCUACUCCCACCGGGAGUAGGAUUCCCUCUUUCCUAGUAGAACUAGGAACCCUUCCAUGUAGUAGGAGUAGGAGAGAAGGAAAGGGAAGAGAGAAGGAGAAGGAAGGAAGGGGGCGCCCCCCCCCUCCCUAGUCCAAUUCGGACUAGUCCAAGGGGAGGGGUGCGGCCACCCUUUUGGCCCUUUCUCUCCUUUCCCGUAUGGCCCAAUGAGGCCCAAUACGAAUUCCCGUAACUCUCCGGUACUCCAAAAAAUAACCGAAUCACUCGGAACCUUUCCGAACUCCGAAUAUAGUCGUCCAAUAUAUCGAUUUUUACGUCUCGACCAUUUCGAGACUCCUCGUCAUGUCCCCGAUCUCAUCCGGGACUCCGAACUCCUUCGGUACAUCAAAACUCAUAAAUUCAUAAUAAAACUGUCAUCGUAACGUUAAGCGUGCGGACCCUACGGGUUCGAGAACUAUGUAGACAUGACCUAGAACUAUUCUCGGUCAAUAACCAAUAGUGGAACCUGGAUGUUCAUAUUGGUUCCUACAUAUUCUACGAAGAUCUUUAUCGGUCAAACCGCAUAACAACAUACGUUGUUCCCUUUGUCAUCGGUAUGUUACUUGCCCGAGAUUCGAUCGUCGAUAUCCAAUACCUAGUUCAAUCUCGUUACCGGCAAGUCUCUUUACUCGUUCCGUAAUACAUCAUUUCGUAACUAACUCAUUAGUUACAAUGCUUGCAAGGCUUAAGUGAUGAGUAUUACCGAGAGGGCCCAGAGAUACCUCUCCGACAAUCGGAGUGACAAAACCUAAUCUCGAAUUAUGCACUCAACAUGUACCUUUGGAGACACCUGUAGAGCAUCUUUAUAAUCACCCAGUUACGUUGUGACGUUUGGUAGCACACAAAGUGUUCCUCCGGUAAACGGGAGUUGCACAAUCUCAUAGUUGUAGAAACUUUGUAUAAGUCAUGAAGAAAGCAGUAGCAACAUACUAAACGAUCGUGUGCUAAGCUAACGGAAUGGGUCAAGUAAAUCACAUCAUUCUCCUAAUGAUGUGAUCCCGUUAAUCAAAUGACAACUCUUUUGUCCAUGGCUAGGAAACUUAACCAUCUUUGAUUCACGAGCUAGUCAAGUAGAGGCAUACUAGUGACACUAUGUUUGUCUAUGUAUUCACACAUGUAUUAUGUUUUCGGUUAAUACAAUUCUAGCAUGAAUAAUAAACAUUUAUCAUGAAAUAAGGAAAUAAAUAAUAACUUUAUUAUUGCCUCUAAGGCAUAUUUCCUUCAGUCUCCCACUUGCACUAGAGUCAAUAAUCUAGUUCACAUCACCAUGUGAUUUAACACCAAUAUUUACAUCUGUAUGUGAUUAAUACCCAUAGUUCACAUCAUCAUGUGAUCAACGCCCAAAGAGUUUACUAGAGUCAAUAAUCUAGUUCACAUGGCUAUGUGAUUGACACCCAAAGAGUACUAAGGUAUGAUCAUGUUUUGCUCAUGAGAGAAGUUUAGUCAACGGGUCUGUCACAUUCAGAGCCGUAUGUAUUUUGCAAAUAUUCUAUGUCCACAAUGCUCUGCACGGAGCUACUCUAGCUAAUUGCUCCCACUUUCAAUAUGUAUCCAGAUUGAGACUUAGAGUCAUCUGGAUUGUUGUAAAAGCUUGCAUCGUUGUAACUUUUUACGACUUGCUCUUUUAUCACCUCCAUAAUCGAGAAACGUCUCCUUAGUCCUCACUAAGGAUAUUCUUGACCGCUGUUCUAGUGAUCUACUUUUAGAUCAAAAUUGUAUUCCUUUGCCAAACUCAGAGCAAGGUAUACAAUAGGUAUAGUACACAGCAUAGCAUACUUUAUAGAACCUAUGACUGAGGCAUAGGGAAUGACUGUUCAUUCUUUUCUAUUUUCUGCCAUGGUCGGGUAUUGAGUCUUACUCAACUUCACACCUUGCAACACAGGCAAGAACGCUUUCUUUGACUGUUCAUUUUGAACUACUUCAAAAUCUUGUCAAGGUGUGUAUUCAUUGAAAAAUCUUAUCAAGCGUCUUGAUCUAUCUCUAUAGAUCUUGAUGCUCAAUGUGUAAGCAGCUUUACCGAGGUCCUUCUUCGAAAAACUCCUUUCAAAUACUCCUUUAUGCUUUACAGAAUAAUUCUACAUUAUUUCCGAUCAACAUAUGUCAUUCACAUAUACUUAUCAGAAAUGUUGUAUUGCUUCCACUCACUUUCUUGUAAAUACAGGCUUCACCGCAAGUCUGUAUAAAAGUAUAUGCUUUGAUCAAUUUAUCAAAGCGUAUAUUCCAACUCCGAGAUGCUUGCACCAGUCCAUAGAUGAAUCGCUGGAGCUUGCACAUUUUGUUCAAUUAAUCAUAUUACUUAAGAACUCCCACUUAGAUAGAUAUCUCUCUAGUCAUCUAAGUGAUUACGUGAUCCAAAUCAACUAAACCAUAACCGAUCAUCACGUGAGAUGGAGUAGUUUUCAAUGGUGAACAUCACUAUGUUGAUCAUAUCUACUAUAUGAUUCACGCUCGACCUUUCGGUCUCUGUGUUCUGAGGCCAUAUCUGCAUAUGCUAGGCUCGUCAAGUAUAACCUGAAUAUUCUGCGUGUGCAAAACUGGCUUGCACCCGUUGUAGAUGGACGUAGAGCUUAUCACACCCGAUCAUCACGUGGUGUCUGGGCACGACGAACUUUGGCAACGGUGCAUAUUCAGGGAGAACACUCCUUGAUAAUUUUUAUUGAGAGAUCAUCUUAAAAUGCUACCGUCAAUCAAAGCAAGAUAAGAUGCAUAAAAGAUAAACAUCACAUGCAAUCAAUAUAAGUGAUAUGAUAUGGCCAUCAUCAUCUUGUGCUUGUGAUCUCCAUCUCCGAAGCACCGUCGUGAUCACCAUCGUCACUGGCGCGGCACCUUGAUCUUCAUCGUAGGAUCGUUGUCGUUUACGCCAUCUAUUGCUUCUACGACUAUCGCUACCACUUAGUGAUAAAGUAAAGCAAUUACAGGGCGUUUGUGUUUCAUACAAUAAAGCGACAACCAUAUGGCUCCUGCCAGUUGCCGAUAACUUCGGUUACAAAACAUGAUCAUCUCAUACAAUAAAUAUAGCAUCACGUCUUGACCAUAUCACAUCACAACAUGCCCUGCAAAAACAAGUUAGACGUCCUCUACUUUGUUGUUGCAAGUUUUACGUGGCUGCUACGGGCUUAGCAAGAACCGUUCUUACCUACGCAUCAAAACCACAACGAUAGUUCGUCAAGUUAGUGUUGUUUUAACCUUCGCAAGUACCGGGCGUAGCCACACUCGGUUCAACUUAAGUUGGAGAAACUGACACCCGCCAGCCACCUGUGUGCAAAGCACGUCGGUAGAACCAGUCUCGCGUAAGCGUACGCGUAAUGUCGGUCCGGACCGCUUCAUCCAACAAUACCGCUGAACCAAAGUAUGACUUGUAUUGCCCACAACUCACUUGUGUUCUACUCGUGCAUAUGACAUCUACGCAUAAAACCUAGGCUCGGAUGCCACUGUUGGGGAACGUAGUAAUUUCAAAAAAAUUCCUAUGCACACGCAAGAUCAUGGUGAUGGCAUAGCAACGAGAGGGGAGAGUGUUGUCCACGUACCCUCGUAGACCGUAAGCGGAAGAGUUAUCACAACGCGGUUGAUGUAGUCAUACGUCUUCACGACUCGACCGAUCCAAGCACCGAACGUACGGCACCUCCGUGUUCAGCACACGUUCAGCUCGAUGACGUUCCCCGGGCUCCAAUCCAGCAAAGCGUCGGGGAUGAGUUCCGUCAGCACGACGGCAUGGUGAUGAUGAUGAUGUUCUACCGGCGCAGGGCUUCGCCUAAACUCCGCGACGAUAUGACCGAGGUGGAAUAUGGUGGAGGGGGGCACCGCACACGGCUAAGGAAUGAUCCGUAGAUCAACUUGUGUGUACUAGGGUGCCCCCUGCCCCCGUAUAUAAAGGAGCAAGGGGGAGGUCGGCCGGCCCCUUGGGGCGCGCCAAGGGGGAGGAGUUCUCCUCCUAGUAGGAGUAGGACUCCCCUUUUCCUACUCCUACUAGGAGGGGGAAAGGAAGGGGGAGAGGGGGAAGGAAAGAGGGGGGCGCCGCCCCCCCCCUCCUAGUCCAAUUCGGACCAGAGGGAGAGGGGGCACGCGGCCCAUCCUGGCCGCCCCUCUCUCUUCCCACUAAGGCCCAUGUGGCCCAUUAACUCUCCCGGGGGGGUUUCGGUAACCCUCCGGCACUCCGGUUUUCUCCGAAAUCACCCGGAACACUUCCGGUGUCCGAAUAUAGUCGUCCAAUAUAUCAUUCUUUAUGUCUCGAUCAUUUCAAGACUCCUCGUCAUGUCUGUGAUCACAUCCGGGACAACAAACAAACUUCGGUACAUCAAAACUUGUAAGCUCAUAAUAAAACUGUCAUCGUAACGUUAAGCGUGCGGACCCUACGGGUUCGAGAACUAUGUAGACAUGACCUAGAACUAUUCUCGGUCAAUAACCAAUAGUGGAACCUGGAUGUUCAUAUUGGUUCCUACAUAUUCUACGAAGAUCUUUAUCGGUCAAACCGCAUAACAACAUACGUUAUUCCCUUUGUCAUCGGUAUGUUACUUGCCCGAGAUUCGAUCGNNNNNNNNNNNNNNNNNNNNNNNNNNNNNNNNNNNNNNNNNNNNNNNNNNNNNNNNNNNNNNNNNNNNNNNNNNNNNNNNNNNNNNNNNNNNNNNNNNNNNNNNNNNNNNNNNNNNNNNNNNNNNNNNNNNNNNNNNNNNNNNNNNNNNNNNNNNNNNNNNNNNNNNNNNNNNNNNNNNNNNNNNNNNNNNNNNNNNNNNNNNNNNNNNNNNNNNNNNNNNNNNNNNNNNNNNNNNNNNNNNNNNNNNNNNNNNNNNNNNNNNNNNNNNNNNNNNNNNNNNNNNNNNNNNNNNNNNNNNNNNNNNNNNNNNNNNNNNNNNNNNNNNNNNNNNNNNNNNNNNNNNNNNNNNNNNNNNNNNNNNNNNNNNNNNNNNNNNNNNNNNNNNNNNNNNNNNNNNNNNNNNNNNNNNNNNNNNNNNNNNNNNNNNNNNNNNNNNNNNNNNNNNNNNNNNNNNNNNNNNNNNNNNNNNNNNNNNNNNNNNNNNNNNNNNNNNNNNNNNNNNNNNNNNNNNNNNNNNNNNNNNNNNNNNNNNNNNNNNNNNNNNNNNNNNNNNNNNNNNNNNNNNNNNNNNNNNNNNNNNNNNNNNNNNNNNNNNNNNNNNNNNNNNNNNNNNNNNNNNNNNNNNNNNNNNNNNNNNNNNNNNNNNNNNNNNNNNNNNNNNNNNNNNNNNNNNNNNNNNNNNNNNNNNNNNNNNNNNNNNNNNNNNNNNNNNNNNNNNNNNNNNNNNNNNNNNNNNNNNNNNNNNNNNNNNNNNNNNNNNNNNNNNNNNNNNNNNNNNNNNNNNNNNNNNNNNNNNNNNNNNNNNNNNNNNNNNNNNNNNNNNNNNNNNNNNNNNNNNNNNNNNNNNNNNNNNNNNNNNNNNNNNNNNNNNNNNNNNNNNNNNNNNNNNNNNNNNNNNNNNNNNNNNNNNNNNNNNNNNNNNNNNNNNNNNNNNNNNNNNNNNNNNNNNNNNNNNNNNNNNNNNNNNNNNNNNNNNNNNNNNNNNNNNNNNNNNNNNNNNNNNNNNNNNNNNNNNNNNNNNNNNNNNNNNNNNNNNNNNNNNNNNNNNNNNNNNNNNNNNNNNNNNNNNNNNNNNNNNNNNNNNNNNNNNNNNNNNNNNNNNNNNNNNNNNNNNNNNNNNNNNNNNNNNNNNNNNNNNNNNNNNNNNNNNNNNNNNNNNNNNNNNNNNNNNNNNNNNNNNNNNNNNNNNNNNNNNNNNNNNNNNNNNNNNNNNNNNNNNNNNNNNNNNNNNNNNNNNNNNNNNNNNNNNNNNNNNNNNNNNNNNNNNNNNNNNNNNNNNNNNNNNNNNNNNNNNNNNNNNNNNNNNNNNNNNNNNNNNNNNNNNNNNNNNNNNNNNNNNNNNNNNNNNNNNNNNNNNNNNNNNNNNNNNNNNNNNNNNNNNNNNNNNNNNNNNNNNNNNNNNNNNNNNNNNNNNNNNNNNNNNNNNNNNNNNNNNNNNNNNNNNNNNNNNNNNNNNNNNNNNNNNNNNNNNNNNNNNNNNNNNNNNNNNNNNNNNNNNNNNNNNNNNNNNNNNNNNNNNNNNNNNNNNNNNNNNNNNNNNNNNNNNNNNNNNNNNNNNNNNNNNNNNNNNNNNNNNNNNNNNNNNNNNNNNNNNNNNNNNNNNNNNNNNNNNNNNNNNNNNNNNNNNNNNNNNNNNNNNNNNNNNNNNNNNNNNNNNNNNNNNNNNNNNNNNNNNNNNNNNNNNNNNNNNNNNNNNNNNNNNNNNNNNNNNNNNNNNNNNNNNNNNNNNNNNNNNNNNNNNNNNNNNNNNNNNNNNNNNNNNNNNNNNNNNNNNNNNNNNNNNNNNNNNNNNNNNNNNNNNNNNNNNNNNNNNNNNNNNNNNNNNNNNNNNNNNNNNNNNNNNNNNNNNNNNNNNNNNNNNNNNNNNNNNNNNNNNNNNNNNNNNNNNNNNNNNNNNNNNNNNNNNNNNNNNNNNNNNNNNNNNNNNNNNNNNNNNNNNNNNNNNNNNNNNNNNNNNNNNNNNNNNNNNNNNNNNNNNNNNNNNNNNNNNNNNNNNNNNNNNNNNNNNNNNNNNNNNNNNNNNNNNNNNNNNNNNNNNNNNNNNNNNNNNNNNNNNNNNNNNNNNNNNNNNNNNNNNNNNNNNNNNNNNNNNNNNNNNNNNNNNNNNNNNNNNNNNNNNNNNNNNNNNNNNNNNNNNNNNNNNNNNNNNNNNNNNNNNNNNNNNNNNNNNNNNNNNNNNNNNNNNNNNNNNNNNNNNNNNNNNNNNNNNNNNNNNNNNNNNNNNNNNNNNNNNNNNNNNNNNNNNNNNNNNNNNNNNNNGCCCAUGAGCUUCCAUUUUCUCAAUGGUGACCUCAUGCUCCUCGAGAUGAGAUUCCAACUCCUCAAUAUAUUUCUUGCCCUCAAUGGCAAUGGACAUAAUUUCCAUGAAGUUGGAACAAGCAAUUUUAUUUUUAUGAAGAGCUUUAAAAAUAAUCUCCCCCUUAGUUUUUAAGGAGGCAACAUUAUCAUUCUCUUCAUCAUUAUCCUCAUCAUCAUUAGCAUCAACAUCAUCAUCAAGAGACAUAUUGGGGUACAAAGUAGGAGAUACCUUUGAUGCCUUAGCCAUAAGGCAAAAAGCAAUAGAUGAUGAUGUAGGAUCCCUUGAGGCACCAUUAAACACCACAUCUUGUUCCAUGGAGUGUUCGGUUUCCUCUACAUUGUUAGCACAAUAAUUCGAGGAAAUAGAUGCAUUUUUAUCAUGGCAACAAGACAUAGCAAGCAUAUCAUCAUGCGAUUUAGUCAAGCAAUUUCUACAUGAUAUGCAAGGACUAUCAACACAAGCAUGUGAAACAUUUGGAGUGCUCGAAGUGUUAAAGCCCAAAGAAGGAGCAUUACAAUAAUAUAGUGAUGAAGGAUCAUCCACAAUAAGCAUACUAUCACCAUUGCAAUGACCAACACUACUCACCAUAUCAUUACCUUGUGGCAAACCACAUGUAGGUGAAGUAGAAGAAGUUGAGAAGACUAUACGACCGGAGGUGGAGGGGGAACAAUCAUCCCAAAUAUUGGACACACCAUAUUUAUCUUGAAGCUUUGUCCACAACUCAUGAGCAUCCCGGAACGACAUGAGUUGAAAAAUAACUACAUUGCUCAAAGCAUCAAAAAGCACAUUAGAAGCUUGAGCAUUGAGAUAAGAGUUUUUCUCAUCCUCUAAAGAUAAUCUUUGGGGAUCCUUUGGAGGAGAAAAACCCAUAUCUACAAUUCGCUCUAAAUUUGGGUCCAUGAGCCUAAAGAGAUUAAGCAUGCGAAUUACCCAAACAUCAAAAUUUGUGCCAUCGAAACUAAGAGUGUCAGAGAAUCCUAAUCCCCUAGUCGACAUCUUUACACUCUAGGCGGUUAAGCCUAACAAAGAGAGACGAGGCUCUGAUACCAAUUGAAAGAUCGAGGAUGUCGCCUAGAGGGGGGGCUGAAUAGGCGCUUUAAAAUAAUUACGGUUUAGGCUUGAACAAAUGCGGAAUAAACCUAGCGGUUAAUUUGUCAAGCACAAAACCUACAACAAAUAGGUCACCUAUGUGCACCAACAACUUAUGCUAAGCAAGAUAAGCAACUAUGUGAUAGCAAGAUAUAUGACAAAAACAAUAUGGCUAUCACAAAGUAAAGUGCAUAAGUAAAGGGGCUCGGGUAAGAGAUAACCGAGGCACGCGGAGACGACGAUGUAUCCCGAAGUUCACACCCUUGCGGAUGCUAAUCUCCGUUUGGAGCGGUGUGGAGGCACAAUGCUCCCCAAGAAGCCACUAGGGCCACCGUAAUCUCCUCACGCCCUCGCAGAAUGCAAGAUGUCGUGAUUCCACUAAGGGGCCCUUGAGGGCGGUCACCGAACCCGUACAAAUGGCGACCCUUGGGGGCGGUCACCGAACCCGUACACUUUGGCAACCCUUGGGGGCGGUCACCGGUACCCGUCAAAUUGCUCGGGGCGAUCUCCACAACCUAAUUGGAGACCCCGACGCUUGCCCGGAGCUUUACACCACAAUGAUUGAGCUCCGAACACCACCAACCGUCUAGGGCACCAAGGCACCCAAGAGGAACAAGCUCUAGGGUGCCCAAACACCCAAGAGUAAUAAGCUUCUCAAACUUCACUUCCACGUAUCACCGUGGAGAACUCAAACUGAUGCACCAAAUGCAAUGGCAAGGGCACACGGAGUGCCCAAGUCCUUCUCUCCCAAAUCCCACCAAAGCAACUAAUGCUAGGGAGGAAAAUGAGAGAAAGAACGAAAGAAGAACACGAAGAACUCCAAGAUCUAGAUCCAAGGGGUUCCCCUCACUUAGAGGAGAAAGUGAUUGGUGGAAACGUGGAUCUAGAUCUCCUCUCUCUUUUCCCUCAAGAACUAGCAAGAAUCCAUGGAGGGAUUGAGAGUUAGCAAGCUCGAAGAAGGUCAACAAUGGGGGAAGAACACGAGCUCAAGGGAUUAGGUUCAUUGGGGAAGAAGACCACCUUUUAUAGGACCUCCCGAAUCCAACCAUUAUGUGCUCAGGUCGUGCACAAGCGGUACUACCGCUUGGAGGAGCGGUACUACCGCUUAGCACGGUCAAAACAGCCCAACGAGAGAGAAAACACGAGUUUUUGGUCCGGAGCGGUACUACCACUUAGGAGCCAUGGUAGUACUGCUCUGGAGCGGUACUACCGCUCAGGAGCCGCGGUAGUACCGCUCUAGAGCGGUAGUAAAAAAUUACAUCCGCUCUAGUCACGGUAGUACCGCUGCAGCCUUUACCAAAACAGCCACAACUUUUGCAAACGGACUCCGAAUUCAAUGAAACCAAGUUUGUUGGAAAGCUAACGACAUGGGAUAACACAAUAUUGAUAGAAAUAUCAAGAAUAAGCAAAUGAGAAAGGUCUUAUAAGAAAAUGGUGAGAACCCUUCAUCGGAUAAGACCGGUAAAACCUCCAACACCGAAAACAUCAUAGAAGACGCAUGCGAACUCCGUUUUCGAUGAACUCAAGCUUGUCAUCAAGAUGACCAUAAGCUCUAAGACUCACAAAGAUAACCAAACAAUAACCAAGAAACAUGAUGCAAGGAUGCAAUGGUUUGAGCUCUCUACUAACGAUACGAUCAAGCUACCAACUUGAGAGCCCCCCUUGAUAGUACGUCAAACGAUCCUAUAACUCAGUCUCCCAACUACCACCACAAGACCGAUAAAAUAGAAAACCUAUCAAGGGAAAAACUUUGCCUUGCACAUGGUCCACUUGAGCUUGAUGAAGACGAUCUUGACUCCCUCAAGUUGGACCACCUUUCUUGAUUGCGUUGGCUCGAUGAAGACUAGAUGAUUGCUCCCCCAUAAUUCACUAUGGGUGAGCCACUCUUCGGCACAUCUUCACAAGUCCAUUGACACCACAAUGGAUGGCAAGAUUCAAGCACUUGAUCUCUUCGUGAUGCUCCACUUGAACUUGCACACGGCAAUCUUGAUGACAAUCACCACUUGAUGUCAUCCUUUCCAUGGGUUGUAUGAUAUCUUCCUCUUGACGCAAGCCCAUGGAUACAUACCUAACCCCACAUACAACUCUCACAUAGACCAUGGGUUAGUACAUAAAGUGCAAUGGACAAUGCUUACCAUACCAUGGGAUCACUUGAUCCCUCUCGGUACAUCUUCUAUGCUUUGUGAGUUGAUCAACUUGAUUCACUAUUGACUUAGUCUUGAUCAACCUUGAAUCUUUGCAACUCUCUUCAUUUGGACGAUGUAUUGAAGGUAAACAUGAAUGAUCACACAACCUUCUUCUUCAAGACAUGCUUGCAAUAAGCUCAACACUCGCAUGAUCAAUCUUUGGAUAAUUCCUUAAUAGCACCUUGGUCAACUCAUAAACUCCUUGAAACCAACACAUGGACUUCAAGAAAAGCCUAUGGACAAAUCCUUCAAAUAUAACUCAAGACAACCAUUAGUCCAUAGAGAUUGUCAUCAAUUACCAAAACCAAACAUGGGGGCACCGCAUGUUCUUUCAGUGAUAAUAUUCGACGAUGUACGGACACCAAGAGAUGAUGUACUUUUGCUUAUAAUUAUUGAAUGCAUGCUAAUUUGAAUACUACUUUAUUUUAUGAUUUGGUUUUGCUUAUUUUAUGAUUUGAUUUUGCUUAUUGAAUGCUCAUAUCGGAUAAGUUCUCCUUCAUUCCCGUGUGCUAGACAAUUUGAUGUAAUAAUGCACUCGGGAAUGAAAGGAGGAGCUACGUACAUCACCGAUAGUCAACCCAUGAUUAAUAAUCUAGUUUAAUAUUAGAAUUAUGAACAUAGGCCGGAAAUGUCGUACUCGGACGACGAAAACCGUUCGGGGGAGUGCGACUAGUGCCACGACGACCGAGGUAUCUGCGACAGGUUCAUUGAGCUGGACGAAGAUCGUCGCUUCAGCAUUAAGCUCGAGGAGACCUUCGAUGUUCAUACGGUACGCAACCGACGACAAUAGUUUUUUUUGUAAUUAAUCAUGACUUCAACUAUUUUAAUCAUGACAACAUUUUUCAUCUUUUCCAAUUCGACUAGCUUAUCCCAUGCUUUGCAAGACGCUAUGUCUUGGAGAGGAUGGGUUUUAAAGACCAUGAAAGUUUCGAAACCAAAAACAUUAUCCUAAGUACCCAUCAUGGUGUGGAUUUUCAAGUAAAGUUGUACAAUGCUCAAAGUGUAACCCAUUUUGGUUGCAAAAAUUGGGAAGCACUUUGCAAGAUAUAUGGUCUUGAUGACGGUAUGCUUGUCACCAUGGAUCUUGGUGAUCCUACAAUCGAGCAAGAGAGACCUUAGAUUUGGGUCCUUGUGGAUACACCUCCAAUUCUUCCCCCAUGUGAGCUUAACAUAAUUAUUAAGUAAUUUAUAUUGUUUAUUUCAAAAUAGUUUACAACUUAUCUCCAUUGACAGCUUAUUUUCAUUCUUCAAAGAAUGUGCGAAAGAUGGUAGACAGAACCUACUACACCGAAGGCUCCGAAUUAACUUAUCAGGAGAAAAAUCAUCUGGUCGCAUUUUGGACUGAUCUUGAGAAUUACAAUAUCUACAAUCAAACUCCUCAACAUUAUGGUCAAUACGUGCCACUAGUGCACGUGUUGAACUACGGUAACUACCAUGGAGAUACCCUGGUAAGAUUAUUUUUUACUAUUACAACAUCUGUGCAUCUUUUUGCACACUUCUAAAACUAGUACAUUAUUGCUAACUACGAAGUUAUUACUAUGUUUUUCAACAGAUAAUCCCGAAUGAUUGUGUGCCUCAUCUGAUGUAUACGCAUGGUAGCCUUCAUGUUUUGAACAUACAACCAGGUCGUCCUACAAAUCUCAACUAUCCAUACCGGAUUUCUAAAAGAAGUGGAGACAUAACAAUCAAAGAAUGGAAAAAAUGUAUGGACAGUCGUAAGGAGCUUCUUGGAAGCAACAAGCAGCGAAGGGCAAGAAUUGGAGACAGGAUGAUCGCCAUUCUUCAUAAUGGAGAGUCAGGGUCUAUAUUGUUUUAUGCUAUUUUACCUUAAGGUUGUUUAGGUCCUACCUGAUACUAAUGAUCAUGUGCUAAGAACAAUUAUGUAGGGUUGGGUUCGAUGACUAUGAGGAUGAGGAUCGUAUGACUUAUUAUUAAUAACGAGUAGAAGUUGUAUGAUGAUGCAUGAUAUUAGUAGGACUUGUUAUUAUAUAUGAUGAUGUAUGAUGCGAGCAUGCAUGAGCAUGUUAUAUCAGCGGGUGAAAUGAACAUAGCAGCAGCGUUGAUAAACCAAGGACGAAGAUAUAAGAGAGGACACUUCUCUCUAUUAGCUAGCUAAUAACAACCUAAAAAUAACCCCCAAAACCCCUAAAGCAGCCACUUUUGGAAAAAAAAAGCAUGGACUUUUGGUCCCGGUUGGUGCCACCAACCGGGACCAAAGGCCCCCCUGACUGGGCUCGAUGGACCGGCCACGUGGAGGCACAUCUGUCCCGGUUCGUGUUUGAACCGGGACUAAUGGGUGGAGGUAUUUGUAACAACCCAUUAGUCCCGGUUCAUGAAUCGGGACUAAAGGCUCUUUCGAACCGGGACUAAUUGGUGUUUUUCUACUAGUGUACUAGCCAGCUCAAUUAGAUUAAUUGUUGUGUAAAAGGAAGCACGUCGCACUCUUUUGACCAUUCCACGAUGUUUUCUUUUUCUCUUUUCUUUGAGGAAUCUCCAUCACUCUCUCGUCCCCCUAUUUCUUUCUUAUUCGUAUUUAUCUUUACGUAAACACGCAAUGACGAUGAUUCAUAGGAAAUAAUCUUAGAUCGAGAAAAAAAUGUAUAAUCAAUGAUCUGAUUUCUGAAAAUGAUACUUUAGUGUGCACUUGAUUUGAGAGGGAUUGGGUAGAUUAGGAAUCUCCAACGUCUGUCCUCCCGCAUUUAACUUUUGAAGAAUGGACAAGAUGCACCAUCCCACACCAUGGUUAUUAUGUAGUUACCGGGCUAGAUGUACUAUAGUUACCAACAUGAUUACUAUGUAGUUAUCGGCCUAAAUGUACUAUAGUUAUCAACAUGGUUAUUACGGAGUUACCAUGCUCGAUGGACUAUAGUUAUCAACAUGGGCUACAUGCGGUAGAAUACACCCCCCCGGUAGCUUAUGUGUAAAUAGCAUGAUAAUUUACACAUCCCAGACCUGAUAACUCAUUCACAAACAUUGAUUACUUUUACCCGAGGAAAAAAAGUUGUUUGAAACCAUCCCCUCGUAGCUUAUGUGUAAGAAGCAUGAUAAUUUACACACCACGGACCUGAUAGACUAUGCACAAACACCGUGAUAAUUUUGACCUGAGAGAAAAAAGUUGUUAAGAACAUUUCUGAUAACUUACGCGUAAAUAAAAUGCUAAUGUAUGCACCGUAGAGUUGAUUAUUCACAUACAAAUGUCGUGUUUACUUUUUGAACCGGGUGAAAAAGUUGUGGAAAACAUACCCCGAUAACUUCUACCUAAAUAGCAUGGUAACAUACACACCUCGGCGUGAUAACUCACGCAAAAACACCGUGGUAACUUUGAUCAAGAGAAAAAGUAGUUGUUGAUACCAUACCCCCAAUAAUUUCCACGGAAAUAGCAUGUUAAUAUACUCAUUGCGGACAUGGUAACUUGCGCACAAACAUCACGACAACUUUUACCAAGAGAGUUUUUUGUUUGAAACCAUACCCUUGGUAAAUUUUGUGGAAAUAACAUGGUAAUAUAUGCACCAUAGACAUAAUAACUAAACAUACACCCGAUAAUUUUUGUGUAAAUAACAUGAUGAUGUAUCAUCGCAGACUUGAUAACUAAUAUUUUAUGUUUAAACACCAUGGUGUCUUUCAUCCAAGGGGAAAAAGUUUUUGAAACAUUUCACCGGUAAUUUCUAUGUUAAAUUAUCAUACUUUCCCAUGCUUUUAACCUUCUUGUACUGUAGUUACCAGCCUUAUCAUGGUAUAGUUAUCAUGUUACUCAGACCAUAGUUAUCACGCUGGUCAUUGCCAAAGUUACCAAGCCAAACUUUAUUUUUUCUUUUGAUAUGGCAGAAAUAAGAAAGGUUCAAAUAACAUUGUCAUUCUACAAAAGACAACAACAAAAGGUGGCUUAGUUGGUUAUUAGGCUCAAUAGGUAUUACAUAGACCUGGGUUUGAAUCCUCUUUCAAGCACUUUUAUUUUCUUUUCAUAUUAUGCAGCGAAAAACCAGAAAAAAAUCACUAGCAAUUUACUACAAUUUUUGAGAGAAGGAAAAAAAUCAGUGGAAGCGGGAGAAACGACGCAGCGGGACGAGCUGAAGGAUCGAUCGAAGGUUGUGCAGAUGUGCGGAUCUGUUGCUAAUCACGAGUCGACUGAUGGUUAGCACAGUCCUUAUAAUAAUGAAAUACAUGGGUUUGAUCUAUUUUGUUUGGUUUUCGUUCCAUGCCGACAAUUCCAGCUUUCAUCUUCCAAAGCAAACAAGACGACUUUUGCAAGCGGAGAGAACGUGUUUCGGGGACUAUCCCCCGCACGUGUGUCAUCACUUCUACCUCGAGAACAAGCUGAGACGUGGCAUCCCGGACGCGUCCAGUAGCUGCACACGUCCGGCCUCUCUUUAAUGGGGAGUCACUAGUCACCGGCUCCCGCCGGCCAGCCCACUCAUGCCCGCACACGUAGUGCCUCCGGCGAUCAUAUCCCCUCGCCGCAGACGGCUUAUAAAUUGGGCCUCGUGCUGCACCUGCUUCCACAACCACAAGGUGCAGCUAAGUGAUCAAGUGAGCAAGACAACACACCAGAUUUCUAAGGGAAUCAAGAUCAGCAUCUGUGCAAGAUGGAGCACGGCCAGGCGACUAACCGCGUCGACGAGUACGGCAACCCGGUGGCCGGACAUGGCGUCGGCACCGGCAUGGGGGCGCACGGCGGCGUGGGCACCGGCGCGGCCGCUGGUGGGCAUUUCCAGCCCACGAGGGAGGAGCACAAGGCCGGAGGGAUCCUGCAGCGCUCCGGCAGCUCUAGUAGCUCCAGCUCGGUGCGUGUACAUACACUUCUUGCUUGUUGCUAACACUAGUUGUAAUUUGCAUUUUCCCGUUUAAAUGCAUCAACGACUGAAUUUUCUCGUUCGUCGUGAUAGUCUGAGGAUGAUGGCAUGGGCGGGAGGAGGAAGAAGGGCAUCAAGGGGAAGAUCAAGGAGAAGCUCCCCGGUGGCCAUGGCGACCAGCAACAGACCGCUGGCACCUAUGGGCAGCAGGGUCACACCGGAAUGACCGGCACCGGGGCGCAUGGUACAGCAGCCACUGGCGGCACCUACGGGCAGCAAGGACACGCCGGAGUGACCGGCACGGGGACGCACGGCACCGACGGCACUGGCGAAAAGAAGGGCAUCAUGGACAAGAUCAAGGAGAAGCUGCCCGGACAGCACUGAGCGCGGCCCGCGGCAGCUACUUGAGAGUUGGGGUGCCGAGCUGGCCACCUUUGCAGAAUAAUAAGAUGGAGAUACAGUAGAACUUCCCGAAAUAAAGUGAGCUAGCUCACUCGUAAUAUCCGAGUUCUGAGUUUAGUGGACUUGAAUUUGGGUUGCUUGCUUGUAUUUGUAUGUACCCGGGACGUUUUGCACUCUGUACUUCGAUGUGUGAUUUUUUUUUGGUUGCAUUGUGUAUUUAUUAUAUGGGGAUAUACUGCAUUAUAUUUUGGUCUUUACUUGAGCUUUCUAUGUUAUUGCAUUUUUCGAAAUUUUGUGAGACAUAUUGUACAUUGCAUGGUAAAAUGUUUUAAGAGAAUUUGGAGCAUUCUAGGCAAUUGUUGAAAUUUUUUGGAAGUAUCAAAAAAUAAGGCACACCAAAAAUACACAUACAGAUCUUGAUUUUACUAACUCGGAGGAUGUUGCAUGCGCCGUGGAUCAUAAAUGAACGGCACUGUCGGAGAUCAACAAAACAGAGUGCAUAGCCACCAAAGAAAAAUCCCCACCGCCGAAAGUUUUCCUCUAUGCUCGAGCUCACAUGCACACUGAUGAAUAGUAAAAUAUGAAUAAAUUUAAAAAAUUCUGAAUUUUUUUACACGCUGAUGAAUGUUUUACCUACAUGCAAAAAUUCGUAAUGCAAUGAUAUUUGUGGAGGUCAGGGUUAUAAAAAUAAAAUCAAUGCUCUAAAAUUAGUCUUUCUGGAGCAUUUGAUUUUUUUACCAGACCCUAAUGAAAGUGAUUUCAUCACGAAAAAUUGCACGCAUGUUUAUUAAAAAGGGGCAGAGUUUUUACAUUUUUUUUUAUUUUACUGUUUAUACAGGUGCAUAUAAGCUCGAGAUUAGAAGCUCCAUGUCCACCCACCACUUAAUUCAUUCAUACACAAACUUUUAUUUUAAUACGCACAAAUGUGCUACUUUAUACUCUCCCGUCUCAAAAUAAGUGUCUCAACUUUGUACUAGUUUUGAUACAAAAUUGUAUUAAGGUUAAGACACUUAUUUUGGAACAGAGUGGGUAUUAAAAAAGAGAGAGGGGAUAAACAGCCCCUUCACGAUGAGAUUACAUAGUUCUUACAUACACUCAACUCCACGUCUAACUCAAUCCAUCGCUAAGGGCAUCUCCAGCCGUUGGCCCCCCAGGAGGGGCAAAAUAUCGCUCCCUGGGGACGCACCGGCGCUAAACCGCGCACUGGGGGCGUGUUGCCCCCCAGUCGCGGCGCCCAUGGGUAGUCAAAGAAGUCCAAAACGACUCAAUUUUAACACAAACGGCGGCGAGUUCAAACUUAAAUUUAAACAUAUUUCGUCCAAACUUAAACAUAUUUUACAAAAAAAAAGAAACUACCGCGGGCUACCCCCGCCGUCUCCCUCGCCGCCCGCCUCGUCGCACGCCCACGCGGUUCUACAUGCCAAGGAGGCUGUAGAACCGCGUGUAGUCACCGUCGUCAUCGCCGUCGUCGUCGUCGUCGCCGCCCCCACCUACGCCUCCGCCGUCCCUGCUGCAUCCCUCCCCCGGUUGGGGCGGCGGGUUGGACGGUCCGGGGGCGGCGGCGUCGUCGUCGUCGCUGUCGAGGACCACGACGCCGUGCUCGUCCUCGCGCCCACGCUUGCGGGCGGCGAUCUCCUCCAGGGCCCGGCGCUGUCGGACCGUCUCGUCGCGGAGGUAGUCCUCCCACGCCCACCGCAUGGCGUCCUUGUAGGAGAAGCCGCGCCGGGCUAUCUCCUCGUACUCCGCGGGGAGGCCCGGCUCCGGCUUGGGCUCGACGAGGACGAAGCGGCCGGUGGGUGGCGGGGCGUUGGCGCCGAUGCGGACGCCGGAACUGCGGGUGCGCGAGCUGACCGGCAUACCCUGGGGCUUCGGCUUGACGGGGCGGAGGCAGGGCGAGCCACCGGACGAGGAGGAGGACCCCCCGGUCUCCAUGCGCCUCGGGGUCCAGGAGCUUCCCCGGCGGUGUGAGAAGGAAGGGGGGUCGGGAUACUCGAGGCGCGGCGUGUUGCCGCCCUCGAUGUACUCGAGGACAGCCUCCAACAUGCUCCCGGGCACGCCCCACCACCGACACCGGCCGGCGGCGUUGAGCCUGCCGGAGAGCACGACGCCGUUGGUGGCCUCGAGCUGCUGGGCGUGACGGCGGCGGAAGUACGGUUCCCAGAGCGGGCUGUCGGGGACGUACCUUGGCCCCUCCCUCGCCGCACGCGGCAGGUUCGAGCGGAUGCGUGCGAUCUCCGCACGCCGCGCCACGCCCGCGGGUACCGUGGGCACCGGCACGCCGCCCGCGCUGAUCCUCCACGCCCCCGGCACUCGCAUGUCCGGCGGAACCGGGUACUCGGCCUCGUAAAGGAGGCGAGCCUCGUCUUCAUGAAGAUGGCAGCGGCCGAAGCCGUUCGCCGCUGCGCCGUCGCCUGGGAAGCGUUCGGCCAUGGGUGUGAAAGAGAGGAGAGGAGAGGAAGGAACGACGAUGGCGGGAGAGUGUGCGAGCCGACGAGUGCGUCGGGGCGCGGCAUAUAUAGGCCGAGGCGCCGCCCACGCGCGUGCCACCGUGUGUACGCGUCACAGGCGAGGGAGGGCGAGGGACGCGCGUCGUUCGGUCUUCACUGCGCCGCCCAUGAGGCAUCAAUGGCGCAGGUUGACCGGCGCGGCAGCGCGCGGCAGCUUUGACAUUGAUUCUCCGCGGGAAACGAGGCGAUGCGGACGACGGAGAGCCGAGAAGAGAGCCGUGUCGCUGACGCGGCGGGCCCACGGCUUUUUCGCGCCAAAACAGUUCGCCCGGCGCCCCCGGGCGCCCCCCAGCGCGCCGGGUUCGGGCUGGGUCCGCCGGCGCUAUUUUCGGCCCAAGCCGGCGAAAAUCGGGCUCCUGGGGGCGCGACUGGGCCGUUUUUUCGGCGCCAGCGCGGACAAAACGCCUGGGGGGGCCUUCCUGGGGGCGCGGCUGGAGAUGCCCUAACUCCUCGCGUCACUACCCAUUGUUAGCGCUACUAGGAAAAUAUCCAUGUCCGCUUUGACACUGCCUGCCGUCUUCCAUGAUCUACACUUGACCUCUAUUAUAUGAAUUACGCUUUCCAAAGACGGUGUGGCACCAUCGAAUACGACCCCGUUGCGAUGCUUCCAUUCAAGAACAACCACUGAUCCAGUAAUUGUUGGGGAACGUAGUAAUUUCAAAAUUUUCCUACGCACACGCAAGAUCAUGGUGAUGGCAUAGCAACGAGAGGGGAGAGUGUUGUCCACGUACCCUCGUAGACCGUAAGCGGAAGCGUUAUGACAACGCGGUUGAUGUAGUCGUACGUCUUCACGAUUCGACCGAUCCAAGCACCGAACGUACGGCACCUUCGUGUUCAGCACACGUUCAGCUCGAUGACGUUCCCCGGGCUCCAAUCCAGCAAAGCGUCGGGGAUGAGUUCCGUCAGCACGACGGCGUGGUGACGAUGAUGAUGUUCUACCGGCGCAGGGCUUCGCCUAAACUCCGCGACGAUAUGACCGGGGUGGAAUAUGGUGGAGGGGGGCACCGCACACGGCUAAGGAACGAUCCGUAGAUCAACUUGUGUGUCUAUGGGGUGCCCUUGCCUCCGUAUAUAAAGGAGUGGAGGAGGGGGAGGGCCGGCGCUCUCUAUGGCGCGCCCUAGGGUAGUCCUACUCCCACCGGGAGUAGGAUUCCCUCUUUCCUAGUAGAACUAGGAACCCUUCCAUGUAGUAGGAGUAGGAGAGAAGGAAAGGGAAGAGAGAAGGAGAAGGAAGGAAGGGGCGCCCCCCCCCCCUCCCUAGUCCAAUUCGGACUAGUCCAAGGGGAGGGGUGCGGCCACCCUUUUGGCCCUUUCUCUCCUUUCCCGUAUGGCCCAAUGAGGCCCAAUACGAAUUCCCGUAACUCUCCGGUACUCCGAAAAAUAACCGAAUCACUCGGAACCUUUUCGAACUCCGAAUAUAGUCGUCCAAUAUAUCGAUUUUUAUGUCUCGACCAUUUCGAGACUCCUCGUCAUGUCCCCGAUCUCAUCCGGGACUCCGAACGCCUUCGGUACAUCAAAACUCAUAAAUUCAUAAUAAAACUGUCAUCGUAACGUUAAGCGUGCGGACCCUACGGGUUCGAGAACUAUGUAGACAUGACCUAGAACUAUUCUCGGUCAAUAACCAAUAGUGGAACCUGGAUGUUCAUAUUGGUUCCUAUAUAUUCUACGAAGAUCUUUAUCGGUCAAACCGCAUAACAACAUACGUUGUUCCCUUUGUCAUCGGUAUGUUACUUGCCCGAGAUUCGAUCGUCGAUAUCCAAUACCUAGUUCAAUCUCGUUACCGGCAAGUCUCUUUACUCGUUCCGUAAUACAUCAUUUCGUAACUAACUCAUUAGUUACAAUGCUUGCAAGGCUUAAGUGAUGAGUAUUACCGAGAGGGCCCAGAGAUACCUCUCCGACAAUCGGAGUGACAAAACCUAAUCUCGAAUUAUGCACUCAACAUGUACCUUUGGAGACACCUGUAGAGCAUCUUUAUAAUCACCCAGUUACGUUGUGACGUUUGGUAGCACACAAAGUGUUCCUCCGGUAAACGGGAGUUGCACAAUCUCAUAGUUGUAGGAACUUUGUAUAAGUCAUGAAGAAAGCAGUAGCAACAUACUAAACGAUCGUGUGCUAAGCUAACGGAAUGGGUCAAGUCAAUCACAUCAUUCUCCUAAUGAUGUGAUCCCGUUAAUCAAAUGACAACUCUUUUGUCCAUGGCUAGGAAACUUAACCAUCUUUGAUUCACGAGCUAGUCAAAUAGAGGCAUACUAGUGACACUAUGUUUGUCUAUGUAUUCACACAUGUAUUAUGUUUCCGAUUAAUACAAUUCUAGCAUGAAUAAUAAACAUUUAUCAUGAAAUAAGGAAAUAAAUAAUAACUUUAUUAUUGCCUCUAGGGCAUAUUUCCUUCAGUCUCCCACUUGCACUAGAGUCAAUAAUCUAGUUCACAUCACCAUGUGAUUUAACACCAAUAUUUACAUCUGUAUGUGAUUAAUACCCAUAGUUCACAUCAUCAUGUGAUCAACGCCCAAAGAGUUUACUAGAGUCAAUAAUCUAGUUCACAUGGCUAUGUGAUUGACACCCAAAGAGUACUAAGGUAUGAUCAUGUUUUGCUCAUGAGAGAAGUUUAGUCAACGGGUAUGUCACAUUCAGAGCCGUGUGUUUUGCAAAUAUUCUAUGUCCACAAUGCUCUGCACGGAGCUACUCUAACUAAUUGCUCCCACUUUCAAUAUGUAUCCAGAUUGAGACUUAGAGUCAUCUGGAUUGUUGUAAAAGCUUGCAUCGUUGUAACUUUUUACGACUUGCUCUUUUAUCACCUCCAUAAUCAAGAAACGUCUCCUUAGUCCUCACUAAGGAUAUUCUUGAGCGCUGUUCUAGUGAUCUACUGCUAGAUCAAAAUUGUAUUCCUUUGCCAAACUCAGAGCAAGGUAUACAAUAGGUAUAGUACACAGCAUAGCAUACUUUAUAGAACCUAUGACUGAGGCAUAGGGAAUGACUGUUCAUUCUUUUCUAUUUUCUGCCAUGGUCGGGUAUUGAGUCUUACUCAACUUCACACCUUGCAACACAGGCAAGAACUCUUUCUUUGACUGUUCCAUUUUGAACUACUUCAAAAUCUUGUCAAGGUGUGUAUUCAUUGAAAAAUCUUAUCAAGCGUCUUGACCUAUCUCUAUAGAUCUUGAUGCUCAAUGUGUAAGCAGCUUUACCGAGGUCCUUCUUCGAAAAACUCCUUUCAAAUACUCCUUUAUGCUUUACAGAAUAAUUCUACAUUAUUUCCGAUCAACAUAUGUCAUUCACAUAUACUUAUCAGAAAUGUUGUAUUGCUUCCACUCACUUUCUUGUAAAUACAGGCUUCACCGCAAGUCUGUAUAAAAGUAUAUGCUUUGAUCAAUUUAUCAAAGCGUAUAUUCCAACUCCGAGAUGCUUGCACCAGUCCAUAGAUGAAUCGCUAGAGCUUGCACAUUUUGUUAGCACCUUUAGGAUUGACAAAACCUUCUGGUUGCAUCAUAUACAACUCUUCUAUAAUAAAUCCAUUAAGGAAUGCAGUUUUGACAUUCUUUUGCCAGAUUUCAUAAAAUGUGGGGAUUGCUAACAUGAUUCGGACAGACUUAAGCAUCGAUACGAGUGAGAAAAUCUCAUCGUAUUCAACACCUUGAACUUGUCGAAAAACCUUUUUGCGACAAGUCGAGCUUUAGAUAGUAACACUACUAUCAGCAUCUAUCUUCCUCUUGAAGAUCCAUUUAUACAAUAUGGCUUGCCGAUCAUCGGGCAACUCCACCAAAGUCCACACUUUGUUCUCAUACAUGGAUCCCAUCUCAGAUUUCAUGGCCUCAAGCCAUUUUGCGGAAUCUGGGCUCAUCAUCGCUUCCUCAUAGUUCGUAGGUUCAUCAUGGUCUAGCAACAUGACUUCCACAAUAGGAUUACCGUACCACUCUGGUGCGUACCGUACUCUGGAAUACCUACGAGAUUCUGUAGUAACUUGAUCUGAAGUUACAUGAUCAUCAUCAUUAGCUUCCUCACUAAUUGGUGUAGUAGUCACAGGAACAGAUUUCUGUGAUGAACUACUUUCCAAUAAGGGAGAAGGUACAAUUACCUUAUCAAGUUCUACUUUCCUUCCACUCACUUCUUUCGAGAGAAACUCCUUCUCUAGAUAGGAUCCAUUCUUAGCAACGAAUGUCUUGCCUUCGGAUCUGUGAUAGAAGGUGUACCCAACAUUUUGGGUAUCCUAUGAAGAUGCACUUUUCCGAUUUGGGUUCAAGCUUAUCAUGUUGAAACUUUUUCACAUAAGCAUCACAACCCAAACUUUAAGAAAUGACAACUUUGGUUUCUUGCUAAACCAUAAUUCAUAUGGUGUCGUCUCAACAGAUUUUAUAUGGUGCCCUUUUAACGUGAAUGCAGCUGUCUCUAAUGCAUAACCCCAAAACGAUAAUGGUAAAUCAGUAAGAGACAUCAUAGAUCGCACCAUAUCCAAUAAAGUGCGGUUACGACGUUCGGACACACCAUAACGUUGUGGUGUUCCAGGUGGCAUGAGGUGUGAAACUAUUCCACAUUGUUUUAAUUGAAGACCAAACUCGUAACUCAAAUAUUCGUCUCCGCGAUCAGAUCGCAUAAACUUUAUUUUCUUGUUACGAUGAUUUUUCCACUUCACUCUGAAAUUCUUUGAACCUUUCAACUAUUUCAGACUUAUGUUUCAUCAAGUAGAUAUACCCAUAUCUGCUCAAAUCAUCUUGUGAAGGUCAGAAAAUAACGAUACUUGUCAUGAGCAUCAACACUCAUUGGAUCGCAUACAUCGAUAUGUAUUAUUUCCAAUAAGUCAGUAGCUUGUUCCAUUGUUCCGGAGAACGGAGUUUUAGUCAUCUUGUCCAAAAGGCACGGUUCGCAAGCAUCAAAUGAUUCAUAACCAAGUGAUUCCGAAAAUCCAUCUUUAUGGAGUUUCUUCAUGCGCUUUACACCGAUAUGACCCAAACGGCAGUGCCACAAAUAGGUUGCACUAUCAUUAUUAACUUUGCAUCUUUUGGCAUCAAUAUUAUGAAUAUGUGUAUCACUACGAUCGAGAUCCAACAAACUAUUUUCAUUGGGUGUAUAACCAUUGAAGGUCUUAUUCAUGUAAACAGAAUAACAAUUAUUCUUUAACUUCAAAUGAAUAACUGUAUCACAAUAAACAUGAUCAAAUCAUAUUCAUGCUCAACGCAAACGCUAAAUAACAUUUAUUUAGGUUUAACACUAAUCCCGAAAGUAUAGGGAGUGUGUGAUGAUGAUCAUAUCAAUCUUGGAACUAUUUCCAACACUCAUCGUCACUUCCCCUCAACUAGUCUCUGUUUAUUCUGUAACUCCUGUUUCGAGUUACUAAUCUUAGUAACCGAACAAGUAUCAAAUACUCAGGGGCUACUAUAAACACUAGUAAGGCACACAUCAAUAACCUGUAUAUCAAAUAUACCCUUGUUCACUUUGCCAUCCUUCUUAUCCACCAAAUAUUCAGGGCAUUUCCGCUUCCAGUGACCAUUUCCUUUGCAGUGUAAGCACUCAGUUUCAGGCUUUGGUCCAGCUUUGGUCUUCUUCACGGGAGUGACAACUUGCUUGCCAUUCUGCUUGAAGUUUCCUUUCUUUCCCUUUGCCCUUUUCUUGAAACUAGUGAUCUUGUCCACCAUCAACACUUUGAUGUUUUUCUUUGAUUUCUACCUUCGUCAAUUUUAGCAUCACGAAUAGCUUGGGAAUCAUUUUUGUCAUCCCUUGCAUUAUAGUUCAUCACGAAGUUCUACUAACUUGGUGGUGGUGACUAGAGAAUUCUGUCAAUCACUAUCUUAUCUGGAAGAUUAACUCCCACUUGAUUCAAGCGAUUGUAGUACCCAGACAAUCUGAGCACAUGCUCACUAGUUGAGCGAUUCUCCUCCUCUUUUAGCUAUAGAACUUGUUGGAGACUUCAUAUCUCUCAACUCGGGUAUUUGCUUGAAAUAUUAACUUCAACUCCUGGAACAUCUCAUAUGGUCCAUGACGUUCAAAACGUUUUUGAAGUCCUGAUUCUAAGCCAUAAAGCAUGGUGCACAAAACUAUCAAGUAGUCAUCAUAUUGAGCUAGCCAGACGUUCAUGACGUCUGCAUCUGCUCAUGCAAUAGGUCUGUCACCUAGCGGUGCAUUAAGGACAUAAUUCUUCUGUGCAGCAAUGAGGAUAAACCUCAGAUCACGGAUCCAAUCCGCAUCAUUGCUACUAACAUCUUUCAACUCAAUUUUCCCUAGAAACAUAUCAAAAUAAACAUAUGAAAGCAACAACGCAAGCUAUUGAUCUACAACAUAAUUUGCAAAAUACUACCAGGACUAAGUUCAUAAUAAAUUAAAGUUCAAUUAAUCAUAUUACUUAAGAACUCCCACUUAGACAGACAUCUCUCUAGUCAUCUAAGUGAUCACGUGAUCCAAAUCAACUAAACCAUAACCGAUCAUCACGUGAGAUGGAGUAGUUUUCAAUGGUGAACAUCACUAUGUUGAUCAUAUCUACUAUAUGAUUCACGCUCGACCUUUCGGUCUCCGUGCUCCGAGGCCAUAUCUGCAUAUGCUAGGCUCGUCAAGUUUAACCUGAGCAUUCCGCGUGUGCAAAACUGGCUUGCACCCGUUGUAGAUGGACGUAGAGCUUAUCACACCCGAUCAUCACGUGGUGUCUGGGCACGACGAACUUUGGCAACGGUGCAUACUCAGAGAGAACACUUCUUGAUAAUUAGUGAGAGAUCAACUUAAAAUGCUACCGUCAAUCAAAGCAAGAAUAAGAUGUAUAAUAGAUAAACAUCAUAUGCAAUCAAAAUAUGUGACAUGAUAUGGCCAUGAUCAUCUUGCGCCUUUGAUCUCCAUCUCCAAAGUACUGUCAUGAUCUCUAUCGUCACCGGCACGACACCAUGAUCUUCAUCAUCUUGAUCUAUAUCAAUGUGUCAUCACAUGGUUGUCUCACCAACUAUUGCUCUUGCAACUAUUGCUAUCGUAUAGUGAUAAAGUAAAGCAAUUAUUUGGCACUUGCAUCUUAUGCAACAAAGAGACAUCCAUAGUGCUUCUGCCAGUUGCCGAUAACUUUAACAAAACAUGAUCAUAUCAUACAACAACUUAUAUCUUAUCACGUCUUGACCAUAUCACAUCACAACAUGCCCUGCAAAAACAAGUUAGACGUCCUCUACUUUGUUGUUGCAAAUUUUAUGUGGCUACUACGGGCUGAGCAAGAACCGUUCUUACCUACGCAUCAAAACAAUAACGAUAGUUCGUCAAGUUAGUGUUGUUUUAACCUUCGCAAGGACCGGGCGUAGCCACACUCGGUUCAACUAAAGUUGGAGAAACUGACACCCGCUAGCCACAUGUGUGCAAAGCACGGCGGUAGAACCAGUCUCGCGUAAGCGUACGCGUAAUGUCGGUCCGGGCCGCUUCAUCCAACAAUGCCGCCAAACCAAAGUAUGACAUGCUGGUAAGCAGUAUGACUUAUAUCGCCCACAACUCACUUGUGUUCUACUCGUGCAUAUAACAUCAAACCAUAAAACCUGGCUCUGAUACCACUGUUGGGGAACGUAGUAAUUUCAAACAUUUCCUACGCACACGCAAGAUCAUGGUGAUGGCAUAGCAACGAGAGGGGAGAGUGUUAUCCACGUACCCUCGUAGACCGUAAGCGGAAGCAUUAUGACAACGCGGUUGAUGUAGUCGUACGUCUUCACGAUUCGACCGAUCCAAGCACCGAACGUACGGCACCUCCGUGUUCAGCACACGUUCAGCUCAAUGACAUUCCCCGGGCUCCAAUCCAGCAAAGCGUCGGGGAUGAGUUCCGUCAGCACGACGGCGUGGUGACGAUGAUGAUGUUCUACCGGCGCAGGGCUUCGCCUAAACUCCGCGACGAUAUGACCGAGGUGGAAUAUGGUGAAGGGGGGCACCGCACACGGCUAAGGAACGAUCCGUAGAUCAACUUGUGUGUCUAUGGGGUGCCCCUGCCCCCGUAUAUAAAGGAGUGGAGGAGGGGGAGGGCCGGACCUCUCUAUGGCGCGCCCUAGGGGAGUCCUACUCCCACCGGGAGUAGGAUUCCCCCUUUCCUAGUAGAACUAGGAACCCUUCCAUGUAGUAGGAGUAGGAGAGAAGGAAAGGGAAGAGAGAAGGAGAAGGAAGGAAGGGGGCGCCCCCCUCCCUAGUCCAAUUCGGACUAGUCCAAGGGGAGGGGUGCGGCCACCCUUUUGGCCCUUUCUCUCCUUUCCCGUAUGGCCCAAUGAGGCCCAAUACGAAUUCCCGUAACUCUCCGGUACUCCGAAAAAUAACCGAAUCACUCGGAACCUUUCCGAACUCCGAAUAUAGUCGUCCAAUAUAUCGAUCUUUACGUCUCGACCAUUUCGAGACUCCUCGUCAUGUCCCCGAUCUCAUCCGGGACUCUGAACUCCUUCGGUACAUCAAAACUCAUAAACUCAUAAUAAAACUGUCAACGUAACGUUAAGCGCGCGGACCCUACGGGUUCAAGAACUAUGUAGACAUGACCUAGAACUAUUCUUGGUCAAUAACCAAUAAUGGAACCUGGAUGUUCAUAUUGGUUCCUACAUAUUCUAUGAAGAUCUUUAUCAGUCAAACCGCAUAACAACAUAUGUUGUUCCCUUUGUCAUCGGUAUGUUAUUUGCCCGAGAUUCGAUCGUCGGUAUCCAAUACCAAGUUCAAUCUCGUUACCGGCAAGUCUCUUUACUCGUUCCGUAAUACAUCAUUUCGUAACUAACUCAUUAGUUACAAUGCUUGCAAGGCUUAAGUGAUGAGUAUUACCGAGAGGGCCCAGAGAUACCUCUCCGACAAUCGGAGUGACAAAACCUAAUCUCGAAUUAUGCCAACUCAACAUGUACCUUUGGAGACACCUGUAGAGCACCUUUAUAAUCACCCAGUUACGCUGUGACGUUUGGUAGCACACAAAGUGUUCCUCCGGUAAACGGAAGUUGCACAAUCUCAUAGUUGUAGGAACUUUGUAUAAGUCAUGAAGAAAGCAGUAGCAACAUACUAAACGAUCGUGUGCUAAGCUAACGGAAUGGGUCAAGUCAAUCACAUCAUUCUCCUAAUGAUGUGAUCCCGUUAAUCAAAUGACAACUCUUUUGUCCAUGGCUAGGAAACUUAACCAUCUUUGAUUCACGAGCUAGUCAAGUAGAGGCAUACUAGUGACACUAUGUUUGUCUAUGUAUUCACACAUGUAUUAUGUUUCCGGUUAAUACAAUUCUAGCAUGAAUAAUAAACAUUUAUCAUGAAAUAAGAAAAUAAAUAAUAACUUUAUUAUUGCCUCUAGGGCAUAUUUCCUUCAGUAAUUUCCUAAAUUAAGAGUAUGCAUCCCAUAAUUUCAUCCAUCAUGCAACUCAACAAAAAGCUCGUCUCGCUGCACCUCCACCAUGCAACGUGCGUCACUAUCCACCCUACACCUUAGAAGGGGCAGUGCUCCAACGCUCCUUGAGAUACCCUUAGUGAAGCCACGAUCUCCUUUGUCCAAACCCGAUGAAUGCCUGGUAAUUUGUCCAUGUCACAAAAGACUACAGAACGAAGUUGACUAACUUGUACUAGCAAAGUCGCCCCCGAAUGGGCCAUCCAAUGGACCAACCCAAUAGACCGCUCUAGACGUCUGGGUUGUGCAAGACAGGUCCGGGCCAGACCAGGCCAACCAAUUUCCAUAUUUACUGAACAGGGUUACGAUUUUCAAUGCAUGCAUAUUUUCAUGGACAUGCAAUGAACAUCCAUGAGGUGUAAAUAUGAAUUUGAUAUUACUCGACCAUGUAUACCUGACCCAUUACGAUUUGAUGAAAAAAACUAGCUGCAAAAAAAUAAAUUUAAUCUCCUCCCCCCUCCGUUGCAGCCAUCGCUCCAGUGUCGUGAGGCGGAGGGGUAUCCAUUCCUUUCUCGAUUGUGCUUGGUCUGGUGUUGUUGAGGAGCUCGAGAGAUGUUACUCCUAUUGUUCUUCGUGGAUAAGAGCAUCUCCAGCCGUUGAGCCCUCCAGGAGGCAUUUUUUCGCCGCUUGGGGGGCUGCCGGCGAGAAUUUUGGCCUGGGGACAAAAAAAUCUCCGGUCGUUUCCACCCCCAAGCGCGCCGCCCCGUCCUUCCAGCAGCACAUCAUCGCCUCUGCUGCUGCCCCCGCCCGCUAUGGCCGCCGCUGCUCGCGUCCGCACGUGCCCCCGCGCGCCCUCCGUGGCCGGUGCUGACGAGGACGAAGAGGACGGAGGAGGAGGAAGUGGGCGCCUGGCCGCGCCCGCCCUCCGUGGUCGGCGCCGACGAGGACGGAGAGGAGGGAGUAGGAGGAAGGGGGGCGCCUGGCCGCGUGCGCUCUCCGUGGCCGGCGCCGACGAGGACGGAGAGGAGGGAGGAGGAGGAAGGGGCCGCCCGCGCCCGCACGCGCCUGGCCGUGCCCGCGCCCUCCGUGGCCGACGCCGACGAGGACAGAGAGGAGGGAGGAGGAGGAAGGGGGCGCCCGGCACGCCACGCCCCACGCGGCCGCCUGGCCUCCCGCCCUGNNNNNNNNNNNNNNNNNNNNNNNNNNNNNNNNNNNNNNNNNNNNNNNNNNNNNNNNNNNNNNNNNNNNNNNNNNNNNNNNNNNNNNNNNNNNNNNNNNNNNNNNNNNNNNNNNNNNNNNNNNNNNNNNNNNNNNNNNNNNNNNNNNNNNNNNNNNNNNNNNNNNNNNNNNNNNNNNNNNNNNNNNNNNNNNNNNNNNNNNNNNNNNNNNNNNNNNNNNNNNNNNNNNNNNNNNNNNNNNNNNNNNNNNNNNNNNNNNNNNNNNNNNNNNNNNNNNNNNNNNNNNNNNNNNNNNNNNNNNNNNNNNNNNNNNNNNNNNNNNNNNNNNNNNNNNNNNNNNNNNNNNNNNNNNNNNNNNNNNNNNNNNNNNNNNNNNNNNNNNNNNNNNNNNNNNNNNNNNNNNNNNNNNNNNNNNNNNNNNNNNNNNNNNNNNNNNNNNNNNNNNNNNNNNNNNNNNNNNNNNNNNNNNNNNNNNNNNNNNNNNNNNNNNNNNNNNNNNNNNNNNNNNNNNNNNNNNNNNNNNNNNNNNNNNNNNNNNNNNNNNNNNNNNNNNNNNNNNNNNNNNNNNNNNNNNNNNNNNNNNNNNNNNNNNNNNNNNNNNGUGAGGAGAGAGGCUGACUUGUGGGGCUUUUGCAUGCAAAAAAGAGUGACGGCGCCCCCAGCUAUCUGGGUUUGGGUUGGGACCACCGGACGUAAAUUUGGCUAAAUCCGGCGCUAUUUGAGCGUUUGGGGGCCUCACUGGGCGAAAAAAAUUCUGCCGGCAAUGAAAAAGGCCUCCUGGGGAGGGGGGGGGGGCUCUCGGGGGGACGGCUGGAGAUACUCUAAGGGUUGGUUAUGUGUGCCUACAUCGACGGGGUUCCAUGUGCAUCGGUGACUUCGACAACCUUUUACUUCGAGGUUUUGCCAUAUGAGGAUAGCAGGGUGACCCAGCUCCCCUCCCCUCCCCUCCCCCAAUAUGCUUAGUGUGGUUGCCAAUCUUUGUCGUACGUGGCGGUAUGCUAUUGCGACGACUCAAUGAGGUUUGUUCCUCUAUAGGUCUUUACUAGUAUAUUAGUGGUUCAGUUUCUCAACGUUGUUUGUUGUCGUCGUGGCUAAGGUGAUGCAACAACGACAAAUUGAGCCACGGCUUUGGCAAGAACUUUGAGGCAUGUAGUCAUAGUCCAUGUCUUGCCCUAUCUGUGGUUGUAUCCGAUCUUGUAUUGUUUGAUCCGAUGUAAAUUUAAUUUAAUUUCUGAAAAAACUGACGCAUUAGUAUCAUCUCCAUUAAUGAUGGAAAUACGGUUGGCCUAUUUUCUUACGUUUUCAUUCCAUGCCGACACUUUCAGCUUUCAUUUUCCGAAGCAAACAAGAGGACGUUUGCAAUCGGCGACAACGUGUUUGGGCGAUUGUAUCCCCCGUGUGUCAUCAGUUCUACCUCAAGAACAAGCUGAGACGUGGCAUCCCGAAAGCGUCCAGUAGCUGCACACGUCCGGCCUCUCUUUAUGGGCGAGUCACCAGUCACCGACUCCCGCCGACCAGCCCACUCAUGCCCGCACACGUAGCGCCCCGACGAUCCUAUCCCCUCGCUAAAGACGGCUUAUAAAUUGCGCCCCGUGCUGCAUCUGCUUCCACAACCACGAGUUGCAGCCAAGUGAGCAAGACAACACACCAGAUUUCUGAGAUAAUCAAAAUCAGCACCUGUGCAAGAUGGAGUACCAGGGACAGCAGCAGCACGGCCAGGCGGCGACCAACCGCGUCGCCGAGUACGGUAACCCGGUGGCCGGACAUGGCGCCGGCACCGGCAUGGGCGCGCACGGCGGCGUCGGCACCGGCGCCGGCGCGGCUGCAGGUGGGCAUUUCCAGCCCACGAGGGAGGAGCACAAGGCCGGAGGGAUCCUGCAGCGCUCCGGCAGCUCCAGUAGCUCCAGUUCGGUGCGUGUUUAUAUACUUCUUUCUAAUUAACACUACUUCUGCAUAGUUGCAUGCGUGAAGAGUAUGCAUGAAAAAGCAUCAAUGACUGAUUUUUCUUGUUCCUCGUGAUAGUCUGAGGAUGAUGGCAUGGGCGGGAGGAAGAAGAAGGGCAUCAAGGAUAAGAUCAAAGAGAAGCUUCCGGGUGGCCACGGCGACCAGCAGCAGACCGCCGGCACCUACGGACAGCAAGGUCAUACGGGAACGGCCGGCACCGGCGGCACUUACGGCCAACCGGGACACACCGGAAUGGCUGGCACCGACAGCACCGGUGAGAAGAAGGGCAUCAUGGACAAGAUCAAGGAGAAGCUGCCCGGACAGCACUGAGCCCGGCCCGCAGCAGCUACUCGAGAGUUGAGGUGCCGAUCUGGCCACCUUUGCAGAAUAAUAAGAUGGAGAUGCAGUAAAACUUCCCGAAAUAAAGUGAGCUACUCACUUGUGAUGUCUGAGUUCUGAGUCUGGUGGACUUGAAUUUGGGCUGCUUGUAUGUACCCGGGAUGUUUUGUGCUCUGUACUUCGAUGUGUGAAUUUUCUUUUGGUUGUACUGUGUAUUUAUUAUAUGGGGAUGUAUAUCAUGGUAUAAUGCAAUAUAUUUUGCCCUUUU